CCGACGACCCUUCUUUAGGAUAUUCGAGAUGGUGGAUGGUUGUUCGAAGGAAACUGAUUGCAAGAUGUGGGAGAGGAGAUCUUGUCCGAUGGUGUAAAUUUGGGGCGGUUUGGUGACCGGCCCCGUGAGGCGAUUUUCGGCGGCGGCAUUAGGGUGGUUGCAGGGUGGUCAAGAGCGGUCAAAGGGCAGGACGGGGAGGCGUUACAGCAGUGUGUUUGGUACGAGGAGGGUGAUGAAUUGGUCUUCGCAUCAAUACAGACGUUUGGACAUAUUUAUGUAAUUUUCGGGAAUGAUUCAGGGUUGUUGGAUUGCCUGAGAUCAAUGGAUGGGAUGCCUUGUCCCUGAACGGUGUCGUUUUGGGUGUAUGGUGUGGACUGGGUCGGGGGCUUAUGUUUGGGCUGGGCACAUGUGUGUUUUACAGGGAAAAAUCAUUUGGGCCACUUAGGUCUGGCCCAAUUGUGGCCAGCCUGGGUGGUUAUAUAUAUAUAUGUUCUAGGGGUUGUUACAAUAUUCUUUCAGGAUCAAAUACCCUAUAUACCCCUGUUUCCCUUCUAAUUAACCAACAUGAUGUUUUUUACCCCUGGUUUUUCAUUUGGUUUGGUCAAACCUGACCUUGGUCAAACCUCACCCUGGUCAAAUGUGUUUAAAAUAUAACACAAACAAUAAAAUCUAACAAAUAAAUUAAAAAAAUGAUUAAAAUGACAGGAAUACUAUUUAUAUUUUUGAAUUUUAUGUUUGUAAAAUAUCUCUAAUUAACAAUUAUUUUAUAAAAAACAUGAAAUUAAAUCAUAAAUGACUUUAAGCAUGCAUUAAUAAAAACACACAUUUAAAUCCUAAAACAAAUAUUAAAGGAAAAUCCUAAACCUAAGGGUCCUGUAGGAUUCGACUUAACAGGGCAAAGAUCACAUGCUCACAAUCCCAACCUCAAUAACAAAAUUUUAUAAACCCUAGAUAUUUUAGUCACCGAAACCAAACAUGAAAAAAUUAAGUUUUAAUCAACUAAAAAAAUCAUACGGCUAAAUUUUUACUGUGGUAGAAAAAUUAAUUUGCCCUUAGACCAUCAAAAUCUCCAGAUUGUAAUCAACGGUAAGAGUGAGAGUCGUCUGAUUUAGGUAUGUGAGAUUAGACUUUAGAGAGAAAUAAACUUUAAUCCUUUUUUGUUUUAACGUAUAUACAAGGCUAGGAAUAAUGAAGGGGGUUAGCGGGUCGGGGCUAAACGGGUAAGGGAUCCAACUGGUAAGUGUCCCUCUAGAAAGGUCUAUUAAUAAUGAGGUAAGGAUAUUAAAAUAUAUAACAUUAGGGAUAAAUAAUGUGGGAAAGUAUAACGGAGGUAACUAAUAACUAAUUUCUAAUCGUACAAGGAUAUGUAUGGCAGUUUUCUGUGUAUAUAUAUAUAUAUAUAUAUAUUGAAUAUUUUAAUAAAUAUUAGUUGAGACUUAAAAGGACCAUUAGACUAAAGCUUUUACUUCUGCCAAAAAUUCGUGCGUUCUUUUUUUUUUGGUAAUUAAGGAUUUUAUUAAUCACCAAAGAGAUUUCAAUACAAAACCAUAGUUUGAGCAGCAUGCAAUUGGUCUGUAUUCUUUUACUGUAGUUGCGUUAGGGACUUUAGGGAUCAAAGUGAGAGAGGCACAAUUUACUGCUUUAUACAUCUUGGUAGUCUGGAAGAAGUCCUUGAUUGCACCUAUGAUCUGCUUGCCAAUGAUAUUCCAGGUCUUCUUGAAAAACAUGUUCCUCUAACAUUACAAGAAUAAGCUAUGUCCCUGAGUAGGUUGUCACUGCUGCGGAAAAAAUUCUCAAAAAUCCUCGCAUUUCUCUCCAACCACAAAGCGUAUAAAAGUUCAGCUGCCACCAUUUUGAAUAUGUUAGCCCUACUUGAUUUUCCUUUCGCUUUACUGAUUAUCCAUUGUAUAAAAUGUUCCCAGUUCUGCAUACUGGAAUGAUCUUCUCUGAGUCAGGACAGUGUUUGGUCCCUUAAUUCUGUAGCAAAUGCGAAAGUAUGGAAUAGAUGAUCUCAUGUUUCUGGAGCUUUCUGGCACAGAACACAUUUGUUGUCCACAGUCAUACCCCAAUGUAUUAGCCUAGCCUUGGUUGGUAGCCUGUCAUGAAGUACCAACCAUAAGUUGAAGACAGCCUUGGGCCUAGCAUAGUUUUGAGCAGUUAGAUUCUUCCAUGGGACUCUCGGGAGUUGGCCAAUCUGAAGCAGAUAGAGUUGCCUAAUGGAGCAUACUGGCCUGUGCAGACUUUGGUGUUGUUGUAGGAGUCCACUUGCUGCAAUUAUCUUUCGGACCAUCCAACUAGCUUGCUUGGGUAUAGGAAUGUUCUCCAGUUGGUGCUGCUUUAUAUACACAGUGUGAAUUCAUCUGACCCACAGAGUGUCUUUCUUGUGAGCCAGAUCCCAACAUAAUUUAGCAAUAGCCGCCUUAUUCCACAGCAGGAGGUUUGUGAGGUUCAGCCCACCAGCUGAUUUCGGCACAAAGUUUAGCAAUAGCUGCCUUGUUCCACAAAUAGAGGUUUGUGAGAUUCAGCCCACCAGCUGACUUUGGCAAACACAUUUUGUCCCAGGCAAUGUAGGCCUUCUUAGUGAUAACAUUUGAUCCAGACCAUAUGAAACUUCUGCAGACUACUUCAAUUAGCUUUAGGAUCUUUGUAGGGAUAAGGAAAAGUUGUGCCCAGUAAGCUUGUAUACCAAAAACCACUGACUGUACCAAUUGCAUCCUCCCAGCAUAUGACAGCUUUCUAGCAGUCCAUGAGGUGAUCCUAGCAGUGAUCUUUUCCACCAGAGGUUGCCACUGAAUCAAUGCCAUCUUCUUGGUGGAUAGAGGAAUGCCCAAAUAUUUGAAAGUCAAAUCUACAUACACAUAACCUAGGUGAUCAGUAAUCUGCUGCUGUACUUCAGAACUAACCCCUCCAAUGUAUACUGAACUUUUGCUCAGGUUGGCUCUCAGUCCAGAUGCUUCAGUGAAUUGGGAGAAAUACUUGAAAAUGGUAAUGAUAGACUGAGUUUCUCCUUUAGCAAACAGAAGUAGGUCAUCAGCAAAACUUAUGUAGUGAUGCCCAGCCUUCUACAGCCUGGAUGGUAUAGAAAUUCUUGGUCUUUCUUCAUCUCUGCCAGAGAUCUUCUUAGAUACUCCAUGACUAUUGCAAAUAGGAAUGGGGAGAUUGGAUCACCUUGUCUAAGACCUUUAAAAGCUUUAAAAGGUUCAGUUGUUUCCCCAUUAGUCAUCACUGUAUAGCUUAAUGUUUGAACACACUCCAUAAUCCAGUUUGUGAAUCUGACUGGAAAACCCAAUCCUUCCAUUACCUGUUGCAAGAUCCAUUUGACAGAAUCAUAGGCCUUCUUCAGGUCAAUUUUGAUCAUGCAUCUAGGAGUCACAUGGGAUCUGGAAUAGUUUUUUAUCAACUCAUGAGCCAGGAUGACAUUGUCUGCAAUCUUCUUGCCUGGGAUGAAACCUGCUUGGGCUUCACAAAUGAUGCUAGACAUGAUUUGCUGCAUUCUGUUGGCUAAUAUCUAGGAAAUUAUUUUGUAUAAAACUGAGCAGCAUGCAAUUGGUCUGUAUUCUUUUACUGUAGUUGCGUUAGGGACUUUAGGGAUCAAAGUGAGAGAGGCACAAUUUACUGCUUUAUACAUCUUGGUAGUCUGGAAGAAGUCCUUGAUUGCACCUAUGAUCUGCUUGCCAAUGAUGUUCCAGGUCCUCUUGAAAAACACUGCAUUGUAUCCAUCAAUUCCUGGGGCUUUGUCAUCCCCAAUUGCCUUUAAACUUUCCAGAAUCUCAAGUUCUGUGAUAUCAGAACUUAACUCCUUCUUCUAUUGAUGUGUUAAGCUAGGACCAUUAGUCAUAUAUCCUCGGUUUAUGGCUGGCAGAGAAGCAGCUGAUGUGCCCAUUAAUGACUUAUAGAAGUCAUUUAUCUCCUUUUUAAUGUCAUCUGGGUUAGUGACCUUGAGACCACCAGCUGUAACAAGCUCUGUGAUAUGCUUGUAUUGAUUUCGUUCCUUCAGGAAAGCAGAGAAAUACUUGUUGUUAGAGUCACCCAGUUAGAUCCAUUUUACCAUGGACUUCUGUUGUAGCAUACUUUCUUCAAUCAAGGACCACUUUUCCAGCUUCAAUUCUAUUUCCUUCUCUUGAAGUUGCAGCUCAUCAUUGUAAGCCAGUGCCAUCUGAUUCUGGAUGUCCUUCAAUUCUUGCCUACUGUGAUCAAUUGUUUAAAUAUUUUAAGGGGCCUUUUAGUGACUUGAGAUUGGACCACACUGAUUUCAUAGAAAACUGAUUAUUGUUGUGCCAGUUGCCUUUGAUCAGCUGAUAAAAGUCUUCAUGAUUGGCCCAUGUAUUGAAGAAUCUGAAAGGAGUCUUCCCUUUCCUAGUAACUUCUUCCAGUGUAAUCACCAUAAGGUUAUGAUCGGAGAUUAGGGGAUGAUCAUAUAGAGUUUAAACAUGACUUCAGUUAAUCAUCCACUCAUAAUUGCCAAAGACUCUGUCCAGUCUACUACAUACUCUAUCACUGCCUGUCUGCCUAUUUGUCCAAGUGAAAUACUCCCUUUUCCAGGGAAGUUCUGAAAGUCCAGCCUAUUGUAUACAUUGAGUGAACUCUUGGAUCUCUGCUUGCUUCACUUGAUUACUUGACUGUCUAUCAUUGGCAUACAGAACAACAUUGAAAUCACCAGCAACUAACCAAGGUUCAGUAAUAGCAAUAGAAUAAUCCUGCAGAUUUUUCCAUAGUGAUCUCCUCUGGUCCAUCCCAUUAUAGCCAUACACCACCGUGAGGUAACAGAUGGCAUCUCCAGAAAUGUUUCUGACUCUACAGUGAAUCAGUUGAGCCUCCUCCUGGAUACCAGUGACUCUUAUCAAUUGUGUAUCCCAUAUAAUCCAUACUCUACCAUUUAUGGAGCUUUGAUAAUUUGUUUGUAAACCCCAACCAGGAACCAACAGCUUAGCAAUUCUGCCUGCAUUCUUUUCUUUAACCUUGGUUUCUAUCAGACCAACAAGGUUAAUAUUAUUUUUCCUGAUAUACUCCCUAACCUUUUUUUGUUUAUACCUUUUAUUAAUACCAGACCAACAAGGUUAAUAUUAUUCUUCCUAAUAUACUCCCUAACUUCUUUUUGUUUAUACCUUUUCUUUACACCCCUAAUAUUCCAGAUUAGCCACUUCAUUGACAGUUGCUAGGUCAUCCUUCAUCAUCAGGAGGAAUCUCAACUCUACUAAUAGACAUUGCUUCAAAUCAAUUACUAACCACAAUAGGGGAUAAAGGUGGGGUUGGUGAGGUUGAAUUCUGGGAAUUGAACUUGCUUCCCUUUCUCUUCCUGUUUAUUCUUUCCUGUGACAAGUGAUGCGGGGUCAUGAGGUUCUCUCUGAGAUACACUGCUCUGCCUUGUCUCAGUUUGCUGUAGAGAACCUCCUGCUGAUUCUGAACAGUCUGGAUUGGAGCUUUGGUUCUCCAUUCCUGAAUCACUUAAGGUUUCUUCACUUGAGGAGGCUGGAUUGGUUUUGGAUUCAUCAAACAGCGGUGCCCAACCGUAAGAAAUUUCCCACAGUAAGAUGGUUUCCAGUCCAAAACCACUUCUUGCAGAAAUUUCUUCCCAUUAGCAUCCAUUAACCAUAUAUCCCCAGGUAGCUCUUUGGUAACAUUCAUCUCUAUAAGCAUUCGAGCAUAGGAAAUUCUAGAUUGUUUGGUUGUACAUUCAUCCGCGAAAAUAGGUUUCCCUAACACACUGACUAUUCUACUCAAGGAUCUCAUUCCCCAACAAGACAUAGGAAGUUUAGGAAAUUUGAUCCAUAGUGGAAUCUCGACAGGGAAUUCCUUACUGAAAUCAAACUCUGACGUCCAUUGCUUGAGAAUCAUGGGCCUAUUUGCUAUAGAAUAAGGACCAGCACAUAAGAAUUCUUUGUCAUCAUCAAUUGUUCUGAACAUAACUAUAUUGUAUCCCUCCUCGUGAUAAAACAGCUCUGGUUCUGGAACAUGUGACUAGUGGAGGCUGGUGAAUCUCUUCAUCGCAUUAUACCCACGCCCAUCCCCUAAAAUAUACACAAUUAGGGCAUAUUUCCACUUAUUCUCUUCCUCCUCCACCUCUGCUUUGUUCAGCUGGCCUACUGGUUGACCUUCAAUCAUUACCGGGGGGAUGUAUUCUAGUGCCAUACCAUUAGAAGCAAAUUGAUUCUUCUGAAAGAGAUUAGCCCAGUUCCCCUUUGGUACAUCUGUUUUGUUUGAAAACUUCUCCACUUGCUUCGUUAUGCCCAUCAGUGAUUGAGUUUGGACUGGUAUAAGCUUCUGCAUAUGUCCACUUUGACCGGCCAUCUGCUUCAUCGGAGUUAAUGGCGCUUAAAUCGAAGCAUGAUAGCUUCGUUCCAUAUCCAUUACCACAUUAGAUUGCUGUGAAAUCAAAGGAUUCUCAACUUCGCAUGACGAAUCGACUAGCUGCUCAGUUGCAACAGUGGUGGUCUGAUUCUCCGUAGAUGGUUGAUUAAUGGUUGUGAUGAUUCUAUCUAUUGUGGAAAUCAGAAUUUUUCUGGGUCAUCCCCUACCUCGACCCCUCCCUCUCGCCAUAGAUAUGAGCACGGCGUACGUUAACUAACGUGUGCCGAGAGAAAAGAAAGAAGAAGAAGGGCUUUAAAUUCGUGCGUUCUUGCCCAUUGGUUUCACCCUUUUUUUUUAAUUUAAUGUUUUUUCAUUCUUUUUGAUUUUGUAAGAUUUGACCAUCAUAGUUCUCUUUGGGAUUUUAUAGCUCUUUGUUUCUUACAAGGUACUGACACUACAUAUGAGUUUUUUUAAUUACUAAAAAGUUUACACUUAUACUGAUGAAUAGAUCUUUUGGUUGUUUUUUCUUUCACAAAGAACACUUAUAUUAUCUAGUACUAUGUAACGACUCGAUUGGUCGUUUUGAGCUCUAACGCGUCGUUCAACAGUCUGAGGCCAUGAGCUGCUUCAUUUCAGGUGUUAUGACUUUUACAUGUGGUCGGAAUUGGAUUUUGGGAAGCUCGAAGUUAAUUUGGAAAGUAAAUUCUUAUUUCGGAAAAUUUUGGAAUCCGAGCACGUGGGCCUAAGGGCAAUUUUGUCAACUUUUUGUUCGGGGUUAGAAAUUAUUAUAAAUUGGACUAUAAUGAGUAAUUGAACAUAUAUUAAUGGGUUUAUAUAGUUAUUGGCUAGUUUUGGAGCAUUUUUGCAUCGAUUUGAGUCUUCGAACGGGCGUUGAAUGCCGGUUAUGGAACUUCGGAGCGGGGAGAGUCUCCUUUCUAACCUUGUAAGAGGGAAUUGUCCUCAUAGGUGAAUUAAUUAGAUUUGUGCUCCUAUUUGUGGGAGAUACAUACGAACGAGGUGACGAGAGUCCAUACGUAGAAUUAUUCUAUUGUGUGGGUAGUCUAGGACCCAAAAGCAUGUUUUACUAGGAUCAUUUGUAAACUUAUUGAUAGCUUGAAUUUCUUAAAUCACAUCGACUUAGUAAAUGAAUUUCAGAUAGGAUUAAACAUUAUUUUCUUGACCAUUAAAGAGAAUUGCUAGUUCUUUGGGUAAUUAUUUUUCCCUGAUGAAGUUUUGAUUGACUGUUUGAAUGCAGACUUCUAUUUGACCGCGUCGCAUGGAUGAUUCGCGAGUGGGGUGUUAUUUAUUUAUUUUGACUACAUCGCAUGGAUGAUUCGCAAGCAGGGUAAUAGAUGCAUCUAUGGUUCGAGUCGUUCGACCCUCGGCAGUGCACAGUUUACUUUUAUGUUGGAUCGAGUCGUACGUCCCAUGGUGAUUAUUUGCACAUGCUUGUAUUGAUUGCCUUGAGAUUAUUUGAGAUUGAUAUUUGCUCUUCCCGACUUGAGAUAAUUGUCGCAUGAUGGAUUACGAAUCUGGAAUCUUUUAACAAAAAGGAACUUUUACCUGUUUCAUGAAUUAUCUAAAUUUAUUGUUGUUAAUAAAUCUGUGCAUCAUCGCAUUAAUAAUAUAUCAUUAUUAGACCUCUAGUGUGUGUCAAAGUCGACCAUCUCGUCUCUACUUCUUCGAGAUAAGACGGGAUACUUAUUGGGUAAAUGUUAUUUUCGUACUCGUACUACACUUUUGUGUAUUUUUGUUGCACAGGCACCUGUAUCUCAAGUAGCCUACUGGGUGUAGCAACAAGGUUGAUACGGAGACUUAGGUGGGCUACAUUUUUCGAGAGGACCCGCAGCCAUUAGGGUCUCUUUCAUUUUUAUGUAUUUAUUUCGAUCCAAUAUUGUAAGCCGGACGGUUAUUGUACUUUAUUAUUUCUUAAAAAUUGCUCAUGCACUUGUGACACCGGAUUCUGGGAUGGUUUUGAAAUAUUUUGUAUUAAUUGCUUAUUAUUUAAUUUAAAUUGAAGCAGUUAUCUUUUUAUUUAUGAAAAAUAAUUUGAAGGAAAAUCAUAGUUUUCUAGGUUGUUAAAAAUAAGAACUUCAUCAAGUAAUUUGGUUGGCUUGCCUUACUGCAAGGUCCACCGCCAUCGCGACCCUAAGUAUAUUUUGGAUCGUCAUAACAUGGUAUCAGAGCACUAGGUUCCUAGGGUCCUACGAGUCAUGAGUAAGUUUAGUAGAGCCUAGCGGAUUGGUACGGAGACGUCUGUACUUAUCCUCAGGUGUCUGCAAGACUGUUAGGAGUACUUCCCUUCUUGAUUCAUUAUCGUGCAAUUUGAUUCCUCGAGGCUUAUGCCUUUGUUUCUUUCCUACUCAAUCUUAUGCGACGCAAACUCUUGUUAUAAAUUGAGAAGCGAAGAAUUGUAAAUAGUACUACAGAUGUGGUGAGGAAUGUUUCUCCCUAUAUAGCUGGUCGGAUUAUUAUCGUCUCUUUGUGGAAGGACAUUCUAUUAUUUCAGCCCAGUAGGGAUACUUCAAAGGGCUUUAAGGCUAGGCACAAGUUGCCACGAUACUUAUGAACGAUUGUUCCGCAGUGUUGAUAUGAUGGUGGGAUGUUUGCCUAUGUGUAGGGGCGGUGAAUAACUUGAACGAAGGUUUACUAUGUACAUGAUCUAGAGAUUCGGUAUGUAAUUCCGGGUAGGGGAAAAACAAUUGGCCUACGAAUGCCCAGAUUUGAGCUGAUGGAGUAUUGAGGAUUGAUAUUGCAAGCAUGGUGGAGUUUUAUCCUAUGAUGAGAUGUCGUUGUCCCUACUGAAUGUACUAAACUCGUCGGUGUUAUAAUAUUCUACAAUUCUCCUUGGGGGAAGGAAGUGGUGAGAUAGUAUUGAAGAAGCGACUGUCAGAGAUUGCAUGGUGCGGUGGUUCAAGAUUGAAUCGGUGCUUCUAUUGUUGAAAGCUCGAAAAAAGAUGAUCUCCAGAAAGGUUCAAGUCAGUAGCAUAUGUGGGUCCAAGAGCUAUGAAGAAGGAUUUUAUUUGAGGCAACAACUAAACAGCAAAGUACGAGGAAGGACAUGUGGGAAGCGUCAGUCUGUGUUCAAAAAUUCUAAAAGGCUAUGGGCUUUGUAGUAGGAUGAUCACGUAUCUUAAUGAGAGUUCGGGGGGAUUUGAGAAUAUAGUGAUUGGUCAUUGGGGUCUACGAAUUUAAUCGGAAGUAUGGGUUAUUAUGCGGCAGUAGACUUGGUAUAACGGAAGCAGUUGCUUGAAAUUAAGAAGGAUACAACAUAACUUUGAAUAGGAAGGAUGUUGCCGCACAUUUAGUUGAUGCCCACGAGGGGUGAAAUGACUUAUACAGCUAGAGGGUUAGCUCGGACCCAGGAUGGGUUAUUGAUGUCAUGGUGAUUGUACCCUGUGUAGAAGUGUUGGAAGAUGUCGGAAAGUUAUUUCCACGUGUGGUUUAUUCCCCGUGAGCAAGUUAGCGGUCGCGUGGUUGGCGAAGCUUCCGUGAAGAAUUCUAUUAGUUAUACAACAAAGAGAUCAGUUGUGCAAAUGUGUUUGAUGAUUCAAAAUAUAAAAAGGAGGUCUUGCAGAAAGAUUUCAAGAAUUUUGGUAGUUGAUUGCGCAAGGUUGUGUCAAUAAGAGAUUAAGAAUCCCGGUAAAUUCCAAAGUUUUGUAAUAGUGGCUUCGAGGUAACUGGGAGAGUCCCAUCGCAUCUCAUGGGGUUGUAUGUUUAAUUACACACGGGAUUCCUGAUUAUUAGCAUAUUGAUGGGUUAUCACAGCUACGGGAAAAGAACAUAGGUGUUAAAUUCAGCAAAUGAAUUAUAAAAGGUAGGCUAUCGUUGGCCUUAUUGGCCAAUGUUCAGACUUGGGGAAGGAUUAAGGAUUGUGCUUUGUAAAGAUGCGGAUUCCAAGGGAAUGAUUCUGCCAGGUGCUUCACUAAUGGGGUAUUCAUGUGCUAGAAGAUUUAUGGAAUUGAUUAUAUUCGGGGCCAAAUUAGAGUGUGUGGCUCUCAGCAACGGUCCUAAUGUAUUCAAAAGAUAAAGUGUGAUGCCUAAUGAUUUCUAGCCCAUGGGUUCCGGUAAGAAUCAAGCUUGAUAGCGGCCUUUGAGAAGAGGCAUAGAAUGUUCUAUAAUGUUUUGACUUGCGAUGUAGCAAUUGGGAGGUACGAAAUGAUUUGUGGGAUUUGAGACAGCACGGUCUCGUGAUUCAGGAUCACUCGGGAAGAGUGCGGAUGGAGUUUGUUAAGUGUUGAAUGGGGUUAUCAUUGUUUAUGGCAAUUAAGGACAAAUUGGAAGAAAGGGGAUUGGUUAGCCAUAGUCGAAUUGGCAUAUUGUUGGUAUUGAUUAGUUCUUUCAACGUGAUCAAGUUAUGCAAGUGAAUUAUGACAGUGCAUGCGAGGCUUGUCGGCCGCCGUCGUUAGUGUUAUUCAGAAAGUAUUCUACUGUUGUGUCCCAUUAUGUGGAGGUGGAUCUUAAAAUGGCUAUGGUGGUUUAGACUAUUACUUAGAGAUUUGCAUAUUCUACAGUCAUGAGAAUUCACCUAUGUGUUGCUAUGGUCCUCCUGAAGUGAGUUAAGUGGAACGUUUUAUAUUAUGAAGUAAUAAUCUAAUAGUAGUUCCAAAGCUAUGAUAAAAAACGACAUCUAUCGUAUAUUGGCAUAUUGGGUGCAGUGAGUGGUAUGGAAUUUGAAGUGAUGAUCAAGGUAGCAGUUCUGUGUCGACGAGGAUGUCACGAGCUCGGAUAAGCAGGAGAGACGUUUUGAUGUCUGAGAUAAGUUGGUAUUGUCUUCAGCGUCACCUGAGAUCGGUGUUUUGUAAAAAGGGCUUUGCAUCCUGGUUAAUAAUUCUUGAUCGCUUUUCAGUGUUAGUGCGGCCGGUGGUUUGGAGGUACGACCUAGUUAUUUUUUAUGGUAAGAUGUGGGACUGUGUCCCAUAUGAAGAUUGUAUAAGUGUUGCAGGUAGUCACUGGAUUGAUUAAAGACUUAAACCAAGUAUGAAGGUUGUGAUGAUAUCGUUGAUUUGAGAACAUAUGCCUGGAGGGCACUUAGUUUAUUGGGUUGUGGAUUGCAGAGGAUUAAUCCUGUUGUGAUGGUUGUUCUAGUGUGUUAUGAGAAAAGGGAAGUUAGUAUGGACAAUUGAAGGGUUAUUGGCCUAGUUUGGUACGAUUAGGGUCGACUCGAGGGUGGUGGAUGGUUUGAAAUGUAAAUAUGGGCUCUAUAUCAGGCCAGAUGUGUUCAUUUCAACACAACACUCCUUAAUGGAGGAGUAGUCGGGGUGUUAUUUUGUCAUCAGCUAUUUCAUGUAAUGACGUAUUGUGCCGUGUGAGUUGUGAGACGGCUUAAUGAAUUUCUUAUGUGUUGAGGUUCCGCAUAGAGAUGAUUGUAUAAGCGGUAUGUCUUUUGAGAUUCAUAUCAUUAUCGCACCUCAAAUAUGUGUGAGUUUUGUAGCUUAUGGCACUAUAUGUUCCCCUAGGGAUAAUAUUAUGCACUUAGUGUGCUUAUGACCGAUACUCGGUAUUUUGUUGUAAUGAGCAAUUUAGCUCGAUGUAUAUAUCCUUAUGUGAAUUCUAAGAAUGUACCGGAUGGCACACCCCCAUGGGUAUGUUAUUUAGAUCGCGUUGCACGCCAAAAUAGUGUGAUAUAAAUACAGUUUUCUAUAUGCUAUUUUUAUAUGCUUUGUUUCCCAUUUUCUAAGGAAAGUCGAUAGUAGUGUGUGAGCUGAAUAGUUCCUUCCAGAAUUCGUUUUCUGUUGUAUCGCAUUCGUUAUGGUAGCCUAUUGGCACAUUAUAGCAUUAUAUGAGGCAUUUGGUCAUAUCGGGAUGACUUAUUGUCUAAGCAGUUCGUACUGGGUGAGAUGAGAUCAUCGAAUUUUGGAUUAGUGCAAUAUGAUUAUAUGAAGUAUACUAAGGAGCUAAGACCAUUAUUUGGUUCAGAAUGGGGUGAUAUUUCUUGUUAGGGGUAUAGACCCAAUGAUUAUUGAUUCAAUAGUUGGUUAUGAAUUUCUACACAUCUCUUCCAUUGUGUCGGUAUUGUAAGAGUUAGAAUGAGACCUAUGUAUGUCAUGUAGAAUGAGACCUAUGUAUGUUAUGCGGUGCCAUGGGAGCAUCAGAUUCGUGGAAUUUCGACUAAAGUGAUCAGAGAAUGUUUUUGUGGUCCUAUAAGUAAAAUAGUGCAUAGUGUGAAGUCAGCUAAGGUAUGCAGUCAUGCUUUGGUGUCGGGUGUAGUUAUUAAUAUGGUGUUCAUAUAUUGGAAGCAGGCCUGGCAAAGAAUUCCGGAUGUUUGAAUUAGGCUCUACGCUUAUUUUCUUUAAUAAAAAGGGAAUAUUUUCAGAAUUGAUCGAGCUAAUAUGCUCAACUGAGCUGUGGUAGCACGGUAAGGUGCAUGAGGUUUUAAACAGUGAUUUCAGACUACUUCAGGGAGUUCUCAGCACGUUCGAGGACGAACUUGUGUUUAAGAGGGAGAGAAUGUAACGACCCGACCAGUUGUUUUGAGAUCUAGUGUGUCGUUCAGCAGUCGGAGGCCAUGAGCAGCUUCAUUUCAGGUGUUAUUACUUGUACGCAUGGUCAAAAUUGGAUUUCGGGAAGUUCCAAGUUGAUUUGGAAAGAGGAUUUUCAUUUCAGAAGCUUAAAGUUGAAAGAAUUACCUAAGAUUGGAUUUUUAAGUAAACAACCUCGAAAUAGAGGUCUGAAGGUUCCAGCAGGUUCGUAUGAAGAUUUUGGGCUUGUGCGUAUGCUCGGAUCGGUUCUUGGAUGACCCGAGGGCAUUUUGGCGCCUAUUGUGGAAGUUAGCAUUUUGGAAGAAAUUUCACAAGUUUGGCUUGAAGUACAUUUCAGUGUUACUAAUGUCCGUUUGGGAUUUUGAGUCUGUGAAUAGCUCCGUAUGGUGAUUCUGGAGUUGGGAGCGCGAUCGGAAGUGAAUUCGGAGGUUCGUAGGUCAUUUUGGAGUCAUUUGGCUAAAGAUNNNNNNNNNNNNNNNNNNNNNNNNNNNNNNNNNNNNNNNNNNNNNNNNNNNNNNNNNNNNNNNNNNNNNNNNNNNNNNNNNNNNNNNNNNNNNNNNNNNNNNNNNNNNNNNNNNNNNNNNNNNNNNNNNNNNNNNNNNNNNNNNNNNNNNNNNNNNNNNNNNNNNNNNNNNNNNNNNNNNNNNNNNNNNNNNNNNNNNNNNNNNNNNNNNNNNNNNNNNNNNNNNNNNNNNNNNNNNNNNNNNNNNNNNNNNNNNNNNNNNNNNNNNNNNNNNNNNNNNNNNNNNNNNNNNNNNNNNNNNNNNNNNNNNNNNNNNNNNNNNNNNNNNNNNNNNNNNNNNNNNNNNNNNNNNNNNNNNNNNNNNNNNNNNNNNNNNNNNNNNNNNNNNNNNNNNNNNNNNNNNNNNNNNNNNNNNNNNNNNNNNNNNNNNNNNNNCCGAGUCAUUUGGCUAAAGAUAGAAAUUUGAAGGUUUUUGAGAAGUUUGAUCGGCAAUGGACUUUUUGAUAUCGGGGUCAGAAUCCGAUUCUGGAAGUGGCAUUAGGUGCGUAACGUCAAAUAUGAUUUGUCUGCAAAAUUUGAAGCCAAUCGGACGUGAUUUGAUAGAUUUAAACAUCGAAAAUAGAACUUUGAAAUUUUAGAUUUCAUUAAGCUUGAACCGGAGUGCAAUUCAUAGUUUUAGCGUUGUUUGACAUUAUUUGAGGCUUCAAGCAAGUUUGUGUUAUGUUAUGGGACUGAGGUGUGUGAUUGGACAGGGUCUCGGGGGCCUCAGGUGUGUUUUGGGUUGUAUUGCGCUCUUAUUUUAUGUUGUAUCGUCGUUUUAUUUGGAAAUAAAGGCGUUCCAUAUUAAUCAAAUGAGAUCCAAAUUCAGUUUUUAUUGGACCAUUAGAUCUGUAUCGUAAUUACGGAGCCAUAGAAAAAAGAAUCAUCGAAUUUGGACAUUGUAUGAGAAAGUUAUGCUCAUUUUUGUGUCGGGAAAAACUGUUGCUUCUAGUAUGGUUGCAAUUGCGAACAUAUCCAUCAGAAUUGCGAUGCUCAGUUCGCAAUUGCAAACUUUUUGUCACAAAGGCCAUUUUUUCCAGCCCUUCUUUGUUCGCAAUUGCGAAGGCAUUCUUCGCUAUUGCGAGGGUUCGCGAUUGCGCACCCUGGAUCGCAAAUGCAACAUCUGCAGCUUGAUUUCAGCUAUGUAGCUCGAGUUUUUGCUUCAUUUUAUCAUAUUUUGAACCCUAGGUCCAAGAGUGGCAAUUUUAAGAGUGAAUGUUUGUAUCAAAUAAUAGGGAAAGUUCCUCUAACUAAUUGUCAACUAUCUUUUGUGGUUAUACCUUAGAUUUAACAUCAAACUUCAUGAGAAUCUAAAGGAACAUUUGGGGUUUUAAAGAAAAACCUAGAAAAUAAGAUUUUUGGAUUUUGACCAUGAUUUUGGCAUGGAAUUGAGAAUAAAUUAUAUAUUUGAGCUUUUAAGGUAAUGGGUAAACUUUAGCUUUGGAAAAUUUUGGAAUCCAGGCACGUGGGCCCGAGGGAAAUUUUAUUAACUCUUUGUCCGGGGUUAGAAAUUAUUAUAAAUUGGACUAUAAUGAGUAAUCGAACAUAUAUUAAUGAGUUUAUAUAAUUAUUGGCUAGUUUUGGAGCAUUUUUGCAUCACUUUGAGUCUUUGAAAGGGCGUGAAAUGUCGGUUAUGGAACUUCGGAGCGAGGAGAGUCUCCUUUCUAACCUUGUAAGAGGGAAUUGUCCUCAUAAGUGAGUUAAUUGGUUAUGUGCUACUAUUUAUGGGGCUACGUACACAUGAGGUGACGAGAGUCCGUACAUAGCUACUAUUAUGCUAUUGUCUGGGUAGUCUAUGACCCAAAAGCAUGCCGUACUUUGAUAAUUUUUAAACUUAUUGAUAGCUUAAAUUUCUUAAAUCACAUCGAAUUAAUAAAUGAAUUUCGAAAGGAUUAAACAUCAUUUUCUUGACCGUUAAAGAGAACUUCUAUUUCUUAGGGUAAUUAUUUCCUUGAUGAAGUCUUGAUUGACUGUUUGAAUGCAUGCUUCCAUGUGUACCUGCGUCGCAUGGAUGAUUCACGAGCGAGGUGCUUGUUUAUUUUUAUUUGACCGCGUCGCAUGGACGAUUCGCGAGAAGAGUGUUAUUUAUUUACUUUUGACCACGUCGUAUGAAUGAUUUACAAGCGGGGUAAUAGAUGCAUCUAUGGUUCGAGCCGUUCUACCCUCGGCAGUGCACAAUUUGCUUUUAUGUUGGAUGGGGUCAUACGUCCCACGGUGAUUAUUUGCACAUGCUUGUAUUGCUUGCUUUGAGAUUGAUGUUUGCUCUCGCUGACUUGAGAUAAUUAUCGCGUGAUGUAUUACGAAUCCAGAAGCUUUUAAUAAAAAGGAAAUUUUACUUGUUUUAUGACUUAUCUGAAUUUACUGUUGUUGAUAAAUCCGUGAAUCAUCGCAUUAAUAAUAUAUCAUUAUUGGACCUCUAGUAUGUGUCGAAGUCGACCAUCCCGUCUCUAAUUCUUCGAGAUUAGACGGGAUACUCAUUGAGUACACGUUAUUUUCACACUCAUGCUACACUUCUGUGUGUUUUUGUUGCACAUGCACCUGUAUCUCUAGUGGCCUAUUCGGCGUAGCAGCAUGGUUGAUAUAGAGACGUAGGUAAGCUGCACUUUCCGAGACGACCCGCAGCCAGUAGAAUCUCUUUCAUUUUUCUGUAUCUAUUUCUAUCCAAUAUUAUACUUCGGACGGUUGUUGUACUUUAUUAUUUCAUAGAAAUUGCUCAUGCACUUAUGACACCGGGUUCCGGGAUGGUUUUGAAAUAUUUAUAUUAAUUGCUUAUUAUUUAAUUUGAAUUGAAGUUGUUAUCUUUUUAUUUAUGAAAACAAUUAAAGGAAAAUCGUAGUUUUCAAGGUUGUUAAAAAUGAUAAUUUCAUCAAGUAAUUUGGUUGGCUUGCCUGACAGCAGUGUCCGACGCCAUCGUGACCCUCGGUGGAUUUUGGUCAUGGCAUACUAAAUAUCUAACACAUAAACAUGUUCAUGCAUAAAUACAUAUAGUUAAAAAUUAUUUCAUAUCUAUGAUAAAAAAGUAUUACUUAUAAGUAAUACUUAUUUUUCAAAUAUCUUUAAUCACAUAUAAUUUAGCCCACUAAACUAAUUCAACAUAUUACCAUAUGGUUCUUGAUUUAAAUAUAAAUCAGAAAAUUUACCUGUGUCAGCAUAUGAAUUGCAUUAUUAAAUGGUUAGCCAACCAGUUACUUAGGCAUAUCGAUCACCAUGGAGUUGCUCCUAUAUAGGUGACUCUGUUUUUGUAGAGGACUUCAUAAGAUGUUCUGGUUAUACAUAAUUUAAAUAGUAACCAGAUCAAUUAAUUAAGAAUUUAAUUAUUUAAAGCUACGUUGGACUUAUAAGGCUCCAUCGCUUCUCCCUCAAUGGUUACGGAUAAGGAACCAUAGUUCUGAGUUUAAUGUCGCCAGCUCUACUUAUUAAUUGUAGACAUCAUCAAUCUAUCAAAGUAAUAUAUGGUUAUUGCUCAAAAUGCCCUCUAAAAUAUAAUUUUAAUAUGUGACACAUUUACCUUAAAUUUGUCUCCUCUAUUGGUAUGUUGAAUUUCAAUUUCUCCAUAUGGAGUAACAUCUGUAACAUUAUAAGGACCCGUCCACCUGGAUUUUAAUUUUCCUGAAAAUAGCCUGAGUCUACUGUUGCAUAGAAGUACAUAUCUUCAAUUUUAACAAAAUCCUAUCGGAUUAAGUUGUCGUGCCAUUUUUUAUUUUUUCUUUAAAAAUUUUGGCCUUUUCAUAGGCUUCUAAUCUGAGUUCUUCCAAUUCAUUCACCUAAGAGAAUCUAUUUUUACUAGCAGAGGUUAAUUCAAAGUUUAAUAUUUUCAAUGCCCAAAAAGCUUUGUGUUAUAAUUCGAGUGGAAGAUGACAAACUUUUCCAAAGAAUAAUCGAUAUGGAAACGUACCAAUUGGCAUUUUAAAUGUCGUUCGAUAUGCCCAUAGUGUGUCACCUAAUUUUGAAGCUCAGUUUUUUCUAGAGAUUCCAGCCAUUUUUUCAAGUAUUCUUUUUAAUUCACGGUUAGAAACAUCAAUUUGCCCUUGUAUUUGAGCAUGAUAUGGUAUUCCUAUUUUGUGAAUCAUGCCAUAUUUGCCAAUAAUGCUGAAAAUUAUCUAUUUAUGAAAUGAUGACUCGUGGUGUACCAAAUCUGGUACAAAAAAAUUCUUGAAAAAUUUGCACACAGUUUGAGCAUCAUUUUUCCUUGUUGGGAUGGCUUCAACCUAUCUUGAAAUAUAAUCCACAGCCACAAGGAUAUAUUCAAAAGAAUGAGAUGAAGGAAAAUGACUCAUGAAAUCCAUUCCCAAACAUCAAAUAUUUCACAUACUUGUACUGAUUGUAAUAGCAUCUCAUCUCUCUUAGUGAUAUUACAUGUUCUUUGACACCUGUCACAUUAUGCAAUGUAGGCACGAGCAUCCUUAAAAAGUGUUGGCCAGAAAAAUCCAUCAUCUAGAACUUUAAAGACAGUUCGAUUUGAUGCAUGAUGUGCAAGUGCUCCAUCGUGGAAAUGAUACAAAAUUUUGGUCAUUUCUUCUUUUGGUACACAUCUUCUGAUAAUAUUAUCUGCACAAAUUUUAAACAAGUAAGGAUCAUUCCACAAAUAACAUUUAACAUCAGAUAUCAACUUUUUUCUCUGUUAGUAAGUGAGAUUUUGGGGUGUCCAUUUACCAACCAAGCAAUUUGCAAUAUCUGUACACCACGGUGGUUGAGCCACAACUGAGCUAAUAGAAAAAAAAAUAUUCAUAAGGAAACUCUUCUUUUAUAUCACAUAACUCAAGUGGGGAGGGGGGGUCUCCAUUCUAAACAAAUGGUCAGCUAGCUAAUUCUUUAUUCCCCUUUUAUUUUUUUUUUUGGAGCUCAAAUUCUUGUAGAAGUAAAAUCAAUAAUAACAAUCUAGGUCGCGCAUCGUUUUUUGCUAAGAAGUAUCUUAGAGCUGCAUGAUCAGUAAAAACAGUAACCUUAGUUCCUAUCAGAUAGGAAUGAAACUUAUCAUAUGUAAAUACCAUUGCUAGUAGUUCUGUUUCAAUCGUGGCAUAAUUUAGCUGAGCCUCAUUCAUUGCCCUAAUGGCACAGUAAAUUGGGCGAAAAAUCUUAUCUUGUCUCUAGCAUAAAAUAGCUCCAACUUCUGUAUCACUAGCAUCACACAUGGCCUCAAAGGGUUGGUUCCAAUCAGGGGACACAACUAUAGGAGCAAUUGAUAAUUUUUCUUUAAAGGUAUCAAAGUCUUUCAUACAAUCACCUGAAAAUUCAAACUUAACAUUGUUCAUUAAAAGGUUAGUCCGCGGUUUGAAAUCUUUAAAAAAUCUUUUGUGAACCAUCUGUAAAAACCUGUAUGACCUAGAAAGCUUCUGUCAUGACCUAAAAUCUACUAAAGAUCGUGAUGGCGUCGGACUCUAUUGUCAAGCAAGUCAAUAACAAAUAACUAGUAACUUCUUGUUUUAAAUAUUUCUGAAAUCACUUUUUUAUUUGUUUAAACAAUACAUAAUAAAUUCCGCUGAAUAAAUAAUUAAAACAUUUAACAGUUUUAAAAUUUUUUAAUAAACUCGUAAACAUCCCAGAACCCGGUGGCAUGCAUGAGUAAUUUUUAAGAAAUAAUGUAAUACAACAAUCAUCCGAAAUACAAUAUUGGAUAGAAAAUAAAUACAGUAAUCUGAAAGAGACUUGCUGGCUGCGGGUUGUCUCGGGAAGUGCAGCUCACUUAAGUCUGUAUAUCAACCAUGCUGAUGUGCCCUCUAGGCCACUAGAGAUACAUGUGCAUAUGCAACAAAAAUACACAGAAAGUGCAGUAUGAGUACGAGAACAACGUAUACCCAAUGAGUAUCCCAUCUAAUCUCGAAGAAUUAGAGACGAGAGGUCGACUUCGACACUUACUAGUGGUCCAAUAAUGUUAUCUCAAUAAUAUAGUAAUUCGUGGAUUUUUAUAAACAUGAUUGUAAUUCAAUAGAUUAAAGAAGUAAGAGAUUCUUCAUUUAUAGGAAAUUUUCAAAUUUCCUUUUUAUUGUUUAUACAUAUAUUCUCAAGCCGGGAAGAGGUCAUAAAAACUUCAAUAAGUUCAAGGCAAGCAAUACAAGCAUGCACAAAUCAUGCCGAUAUCGUACGGCCCGAUCCAAUAAUAUUUAAACUGUGCAAUAUUAGAGGGUCGAAUAGCGCGAUCCAUAGAUGCAUCUAUUUAAUCUACCAAGGCGUUCGGCCCGUUCCACAAUAGAUAAACACAUUCAAACAGUCAAUCACGAAUUCAUCAAGGAGCAAUUAUUCAGGAAAAGGGCAAGUUUCUCUUUUAAAAGUCAAGAAGUGAUAUCUAGCCAUAUAGAAAUUUAUACAUUCCAUAUGUGUUUAAGAAUUUUUAAAUUGACAACAAGGUUGCAAAUAUUACAAGUAAAGUAUGUUUCUGGGUCCUAGACUACCCGUACUUAAGCAUAAUAGUACACACAGACUGUCAUCACUUUGUACGUACUUAGCCCCCACAAAUACGAGCACAUACUUAAUUAAUUCACUUAUGAGGACAAUUCCCUAUUACUAGAUUAGAAAGGAGACUCACCUUGCCCCAAAGCGUACUUCCAAGACCAAGAGCGAGCUCAAAUUCUCAAUUUGGAACCGAACGAUCCAAACUAGAUAAACGAGGUAAGAACUAGUCAAUACAAGCUCACAAGAUAGUAUUCUGACUAUUUAAGCAAUUUUCCAACCUAGAACAAAAGUUUCCUAAAAUCUGACUCGGGUCCACGUGCCUGGCCUUGGGCUGCUUCUACGAUAGGUGGACCGCUUCUGUGGUCUCGCACCUGGGGUUUUGGCAGCAACUAGCAGCUUUAGCCUUUUCCAGAAUCCAUUUUGAUCUGUUAACCACCUGAAAUCCACCCAAGGCCCCUGAGACCCCCAACCAAUCAUACCAACCAGUCCCAAUACACAUUACCAACUUGCUCGAGGCCUCAAAUCAUAUCUAACAACACUAAAACCACGAAACACACUCCAAUUUAAGCUUAAUGAACUUUAAAAUUCCAAACUUCUGCUUUCGAUGUUUAAACCUAUCAAGUCAAGUCCGAUUGACCUCAAAUUUUGCACGCAAGUCAUAUUUGACAUUACAGACCUAUGGCCAACAUUCAGAAUCGUAUUUCGACACCUAUAUAAAAAGUCCACUUCCAAUCAAACUUCUAAAAAACCUUCAAAUUUCUAUAUUUAGUAAAAUGACUUCAAAAUGACCCACUGACCUCUGCAUUCACUUCCAUUCGCUCGCUCCCAACAUCAGAAUCACCAUAUGGAGCUACUCCUAGAGUCAGAAUCCCAAACGGACAUCGAUAACACUGAAAUGCACUUCAACCUAAAUGUAUGAAAUUUCUUCUAAAAUGCUAACUUCCACAAUAGGCGCCAAAACACUCUCGGGUCAUCCAAAACCGAUUUGGGCAUACGCCCAAGUCCGAAAUCAUCAUAUGAACCUGCUGGAACCUUCAAAUCCUUAUUCUGUUGUUGUUUCCUCAAAAUUCUUUCAACUUAAAGCUUCUGAAAUGAGAACUCUCUUUCCAAAUCAACUCUGAACUUCCCAAAAUUUAAUUCCGAUCACGCGUACAAGUCGUAACACCUGAAAUGAAGCUGCUCAUGGUGUCAAGUUGUUGAACGAUUUGCUAGAGAUCAAAACGACCAGUCGGGUGGUUACAUUCUCUCCCGCUUAAACAUACGUUUGUCUUGAAUGUGCUAAGAUUGGUAUUGGGGUUAUCCGAAAUUACUGUUUAACACCUCUAGCACCUACCCGUGCUACCACAACUCAGCUGGGAACCCUACCUCGAUCAAUCUGAAGAUAUCUUUUUUCACUCAAGCAAAUAAGCCUUAGAGCCCAAUUCCAACAUUCGAAAUUCUCUACCAGGCAUGUUGCAACAUACACUCACUGUAACAAUAACUACACGCAUCACCAAAGCGUGACUGCGUACAUUAGCAGAAUUCACAACUUUCACCACUUUACUCACAGGACCACAAUAUCAUUCUCUAAUCAAAUAAGUCAAAUUUCCACGAAUAUGAUGCUCCCAUUUCACCUCAUGACCUACAUAGAUCUUUCGCUAACUCUUACAAUGCUGCAUGAUGGAAGAGAUGUGUAGAAAUUCAUAACUGAGUGCCGAAUAAACAAAUUAUUAGGUCUAUACUGCUGACAAGAACCCUCACCUCAUUCUGGACCAAAUAAUGGUCUUUGCUCCUUAAUAUACUUCAUAUAAUCAGAUUGCACUAAUCCUAAAUCCAAUGAUCUCGUCUCACCCAGUACAAAAUGCUUAGGCAAUAAGCUACCCCGGGCAUGAUCAAAAGUCUCAUAUAAUGGCCAAUAUGCUGCCAAUUCGAACGCGAUACAAAAGGAAAAUGAACUCUAGAAAGAACUAAUCAACUUGUGCAACUAAUAUGAACUUUCCUCGGAAAAUAGGAAACAAAACACAUAUAAGAUAAAGUAUGAUAACUGUACUUAACAUCACAUUGUUGCGGCGUGUGACCCAAUCCAAACAUAAAAUUUACCUAGGGAGAUGAACAUCGAGCUAAUUUCUUAUUAUUAUACAAUGCCAAAUAUCGAUCACCAGCACGCUAAGUGCAUAAUACCAUCCCUGAGGGGACAUAUAGCGCUAUAAGCUACAAAACUCAAGCGCAACUGAGGUGCAAUAUACGAUCUAAAUCUCAAGAGCCAUUUUGCUCAUAUAACAUCAUCUCUAUGCGGAACCUCAACACAUAAGCAAUUCAUCAAGCUGUCUCACAUCUCACAAGGCUCAAUAUAUCAUUACAUGAAAUAACUGACGAUGAAAUAACACCCUAACUACUAUUCCAUAGGAGCAUACCAUGUUGUAUCAAAACUCAUACGACACAGUAUAUCAUUACAUGAAAUAACUAACAAAACAACACCCUGACUGCUCUUCCAUAAGGAGCGCAUUACAGAAAUGAACAUAUCUGGCUUGAUAUAGAGCCCAUAUUCAUAUUCGAAUCUAUCCACAGACCUCAAGUUGAUUCUGAUUGCACUGAACUAGUCUAAUAACCUUUCAAAGGUCCAUAAUAACUACCUUUUUUCUCAUAACACACAAGAACAACCAUCAUAAUCGGAGUAAUCAUCCAUAGUCCACAACCCAAUAAAUUAAGUGCCCGUCAAUUCCCGAAUCAACAAUAUCACCACAAUCUUCAUACUUGGUUUAACUCUUCAACCAAUCAAGUGACGACAUGCCACAUGUAUACAACCUUCCUGUGGGGCACACUCCUACAACCUUCCAUAAUGGAUAACUGAUCUGUACAUCUAAACCACCAGCCACACUAAUGCUAAAAAGUGAUCAUGAAACCUUAACUAGGAUGCAAUGCCUUUUUCAUGAAACACCGAUCUCAAGUGACGUUGAAGGCAAUACCCACUUGCUUUAAACAUCGAAACUCCUUUCUUGCUCAGCCGAGCUCGUGACAUCCUUGUCAACACCAAAUUGCAACCUUGAUCCUCACUUCAAAUUCCAUACCACUCACUGCACCCAUCAUGCCAAUAUACUAUCAAACACAAUAUUUGCCAUAACUCUGGAACCACUAAUAGAUUAACGUUUCAUCGUAUAAAAACCUUUCACUUAACUCACUUAAGGAGAACCAUAGCGACACACAUGUUAAUUCUCAUAACCAUAGAAUAUGCAAAUCUCUAAGUAGUGAUCUAAGCCACCAUAGACCUUCCGGGAUCCACCUACACAUAAUAGGCUAUAACAGUUCCUGAAUAACAUCAAUUACGACAGCCAACAGGCCUCGCACGUACCCCUACAAAUUACUUGCAUAAUUUGUUGAAGGAACUAAUUACUACUACAAAUAUGCCAACUCAAUUAUGGCUAACCAGUCUAUCUCCUUCCAAUUUAUCCUUGUUUUCCUUAGUAAUAAUAACUCUAUUCAACACAUAACACACUCUAUCCGCACUCAUCCUGAGUGAUCAUAAAUCACGAGACCAUGAUGUCUCAAAUCCUACUAACUCUUUCAUACCUACCCAUUUGCAUGUCAAAACAUCAUAGAACAUUCUGGGCACCUUCUCAUAAGUUGCUACAAAGCUUGAUUCUUAACUGUACCUAUAGGCUCGAAAUCAUUAGGCACCAUACUUUACCCAUUUGAAUCUGCUAAGACCAUUUUUGAGAGUCACCCACUCUGGCUUGGUCUCGAAUGUAAUCAACUCCCAGGCCCCCCGACACAGGAACACCUAUCUCAAUGAAGCACUCGAAUGGAUCACUUCCCUUGUAAAUCACCUCUGAACGAAGCAUAAAUCCAGAAUCUUCCCAACCCUUUAACAUGAGCGGCCAACUAUAGGAUAUAUUUUCCAAUUCCUUUGUUCAGAUACCAUUUACUUUCUUUUCCCUUAGCCGAAAUAACUUACCAAUACGCUAAUAACCCGAAACCUCACAAGAAGUUAACCAUACAACCCAAUUGUGGACAGUGGGACUCUCCCACUUAGCUUGAACCCACCAUUACACAAAUCUAGGACUUAACAAGAUUCUUUCUUCAUUGUUGACAUGCUCUUGCAUAACCAACCUGCCAGAUCCUUUGAACUCUUUUUGUAAAAUGCUUUACGGAUAUUCUGAAUCAUUAACCACAUUCACAUGACCGAUCUCUUUACCAUAUGGCUAGUAUAAUUCUUUGCAGAAGCUUCACCAACCACGCGAUCGCUAACAUGCUCAUAGAGAAUAACCCGAUGUGGAAAUCACUCUCUGACAUCUUCUAACAUCGCUGCAUAGGGUACAAUCACUACGACAUCAAUGACCCAUCAUGAGUCUAAGCUCACUCUCUAGCUGCAUAAGUCCAUUCACUCCUCAUAGACAACAAUUUAAUGUGCAGCAACAUCCUUCUGUCACACCUCAUUUACACGGCUACCCUGAAGGAUAAAAUGCAUAAGGGAAUUUUUCCAAUUAAAGUGACAUUAAUCGAAAUGGAAUUAUUUAUUUAGAGUCUCCACUUGGAAUAGGUUUAGCUUUUUGUGUCCAAGUCACCGGCUUAAUUAAAAUCCCAAAUCGAGGAAAUAUUUUGACUACCCAAAUGGAGUCUGCGAACCAGCAAUUCUGAGUAAGGAAUUCUGUUGACCCGACGGAAGGUGUUAGGCACCCUCGGAUCCCGUGGUUCUAGCACGGUCGCUUAAACUAUUAUAAUUGGCUCACAAUUCUGAUUCUCGUACAUGUUCAUCCUAUAAUGCAAAUUAAAAUUAUUUUAUACCGCUUUUAACAUUUUUUAAGGAAAUUUGCAAUGUCAUUAAAACAUGUCGCGAACUGCGUCAUAAAUGCGCACGCAGUUUUUGAUAUAUUUCAACUUCAUUGAGAUUUGAAUUUGGGUCACAUAAAUGCGCAUCCGUACUUUAAAAGAUAAAAUUAUUAAAGACGCACCUAAAAGUGACUAACAUGUUAUUAUAUUUGCAGGAAAGCCGUGAAAUUCGCUAAAUGACAUGUCCUGAAUCUCUACGUAUUUUAAUAUGAACAUUUAAAGAGGGUCACGCAAUUUUUGGAUUUUGUUUGGCGCGGCACCUUAUUUUAUCAUUUUAAAGGUCAAUCCUAGAAAAAACUAUUAUUCUCUUAGAUAAUUGGCGUGGAGUCCGGGCUUUUGAACUCGAGUCCAUAUUUAAAUAAGAAGAAAAUUUCCUUUAUUCCAAUGUGUUAUCUAGUUCGAAAAAUCUGAAUUUAAUUCAAUCAUGCCUUCAGCUAAAUCUGGCCAGCAAAGACCAUUUUUUUUCCCUCAAUGCAAGCCCUGAACUGAGAGAUACAUGGAUGGGUCGAUAUUGGACUUGAUAUUGCUGCCCAUCGAGUCCAAAGAAGGUCUAGUAAAUACGUAGAUACUUUCAAAUUUCCAGAUUUUUAUAUUGCAUCAUGUAAGUGAAGAAUAAUGCAAAGUAACGGCAAAACUAGAACCAACUUUCAAGUCCACAUAUAAUCAACGAUUUUAUAAUGUAUAAAGGUUCAGAGGAAUAAUCCUAAAUAGACCUAUCACAAACACUCAUUUACCCUGAGUUUAACCAUGAUAUAAUCACAUCAACUAACACAAGCAUGUCACCAUACCAAGGUUGACAGUAUAUUUGAACUAUAAAUUCGUUUCACUACUGACUACUCUAACACUUAAGAGGAUUAUGCUAAUAUCAGUAUUUUUACUCAUUGAAUCAAAAAAUAAUAAUUAUUUAACAGUCCAAAAUAUUCCCAUAAUUAUUUACAGUGAAUAUUUAAACAAAUCAAAAGGCUACUCGAAAUUUAAACAACAGAUCCAGAAAUAAUUUAGUGCAGCGAGCUUCAUCUCUCGUCUCAAAUUGGUUUUUACAUGGUCAGGGUUAAGAAGUGUACCUGGAAUUUGAGUAAACAAAGGCUGAGCGUCAGCAGGCUCAAGCAAUAAUAUAAUCAACAGGAAUCAAUAGCUCAUGAGCAAUUAGGAACCUAGGAAUGAUACCAAUAUAACCAGGAAGAUUUAAUACCCAACCAAACCAGCAAAAACACUCAAUUAACUCAAUAAACCCCAACCAGCCGAAAAUAUGAAUCCAUGAUAAGUGUUGAAACCUUAACACUUCAAAUAGGCAUAUUUUAAGUCAUCUUUCAUCCUAUAGAGCUAAACAUUCUACUGGACAGCUGAAAUUAGGAUUAUUCUGAGGAAAACAAGUCAAAUGGAACAGUAAACACCACUGAAUUCAGAGGAUUUCAAGACCUUGAUAAACUUUGGAUUUCUAGAAGCUUUUUCAGGAAUUUUUUGAGAUUCUUUAGGCUUCAAAAUUUUCUGGGAAUUGUUUAUAGAUUUUCAGACUGUGUAAAAGCUUUUCUGAAUGAAUUAGGGUGCCUUUUUUAUAGCCAAAGUUUAGGGCAACCCCUUUAUUUUGUUUUAACUACUAGUCCCUCUUUUAUUUUUCAGAUUUUUCAUUCUUGGUCCUUUAUUUUCUAACUUGUUUCUCAAGUCAUUGCACUAAAACUACUGAAUUUCAGACUAUGGCCCUCUUCUAAAAGAGUCUAAAGGAUUCUAGCAUUGUUUUCUCUUUAUAGAAUACCUAUACUACCAUUAUCCUUAUCUUGAAAUUACCAGGUCUACCUCAAACAAACCCAACCCCUUGGUCUCAAUCUUACUAUGGUCAAGUAAUAUUGGAUCAAUCAGCUAUACCCAAACAAACCUUAAAUUUGAACUGGUUAUUUUAGUUUAUACUAAACCUAGACUAAACAGCUAUAUCCAACAAACUAGUAUCACUUAGAGGUUCAGGGAUUACCAACAAAAUUAAAAUCAAUAAAAACAUAGGAAUUCUGCUAUAACCAAAACUAAAAAUUGCUUCUAAUUAAAACAAAAACACAAUCAAGUUUAAUUAAACAGAAUAAGAAAAAUGCAUGGUCAGGGAAUUUAGAACUACACAGGAAGAAUUUUUAACUAAACUAAAAAAGAAAAUCAAACAGUAACGUAUUACUCGCAGAAAAAAUAAAAUAAUCUAAUAAGAAACAAAGCAUUAGAGACAGAAAUCAAAAAUCAAGUCUAAACUACUCAAAUAGCUUAAGAAUUAAACAUGAUGUAAUCUUCACUUAAACUAAGAAAAAUCAUAAAUAAUGUAAAACUUAAUUAUAAACAAGAGAAAUAAAAAUAAAAUAAAUAAAAGAGAAAACAAUCAAAAAUGAAAGUGAGACUCACUGAUUGGGUCUUCAAAGAAAGCUUGGCUGGAUUCGACUCGAAUCCUCAAACGGAGUUACAUGUUAGUUUUGGUCAAAACAAAUAUGCAACUCCAUUGGGAACACAAGUAUAACCUUGAUAGUCCGUCUCAAAAUUAGUCAAUUCCCAAAUUUGAAAUUCGAGACGAUUUAGGGUUGUUCGAAGGAGAUAGGGUUCGAUUUUGGGUAGAGGAGGCCAAGGAGAGUAUGGCGUGUAUUUUUGGUAGCCAUGGGAGCCGGAGCCGUCGUGGACGGCGGAGCAGCCUCUCCUUUGGAGGAAUAUUCGAAGCGUUUGGCUAGGGUUUGAUGGUUGAUUUAUGGGGGUUGGAAAGAGGAGAAGACGGGGAGUAUGGGGUGUUAAUUUGGGUGGAUUUGGAGUUACGCCGUCGCCGCCGGCGGGCGUUAUAGAGACGGUGGGGAUAUGGUGGUGUUACACCGGAGGUAGGUUUGGUACGAGGAGGAUGAUUUUUGUCUCUAAGGAUUAUGCAUAUCAUUCAGACACUUUUAUUAAAAAUGUGUGGCUAAAUCUGGGUCGUUGGAUUAAAAGGAAUGAAUGGCUGAGAUCAAAUGGACGUCAAGUGACGUCGUUUUGAUGCCUCCUCUGGCUGGACCGGGUAUGGGAUUUGGGUCUAAGUUGAUUUAGUGGGUCUGGCGGUUUGGGCUCCAAAUUGUUGCCCAAAUCAUAGUCUUUAAUGAGAAGAGCCAAUUUGUGUGUUUUUCUCUUUUUUAUUUUUUUUUUAAUUUAGUUUUUAGACUUAAAAAAAAAUAGACUAAAAUAUAUUUAACUUCCACAAAAUAAAUUAAUUAACCAUUUAAAAUAACCUAAAUUUUAAAUUUAAAAAGGAAAUUAAACAAAUGUACAAAUAACCAAUUUUUUUGUUAUUUUCUAUAUUAAUUAACUAAUAACCCAAAAGAAAAAAAUGUAAAAAUUAAGUCCUUGCUGCAAAACAUGCUAUUUUUGUAUUUUUUAUUAAAAAACGCACAACAUGCAAAUAAACACAAAGUCAUGCAAUUAAUUCCUUUUAAUUUAAAUUAUAAAAGGAAAAAUGCAAAUAAACACAAAAUCACGCAAUUAAUUCCUAAAAAUUCAAAUAAUAAAAGAAAAAUCCUAAUUUAAUGAAUUUUAUAGGAACAUUUUGAGCGAGGCAAAAAUCAUGUGCUCACAACUUCCCCUCUUUGCUUGGAGACACGAAGGAUUUCGGGGCAAAGAUAAAUGAGCAACUGAUAGAUUUUUGCCUGCUUUGCAUUCUAAGAGAAGCAUUUUGAAAACUGUUUGACCGAACCCUGCUUCAAAAGUUUCCUACAUAUCCUUGGAUAUAAACGAAUCACGUCAGUAUAGUUCUGGAGUGUUUGGUAGAUGGGACUACCAUGAGCUGUGAUCCGGGACUUGGAAGAAAGACUCCUAGGCUAUGCUAGGGGGAUCCGCGGGUUAUGCCGGGAUUUGAAAGAAAAAGACUCCUGGGUUAUGCCAGGGGCAUCCGCAGGUUAUGCCGGGAUAGGAAGAAAAGACUCCUGGAUUAUGCUAGGGGAAUCCACGGGUUAUGUCGGCAUUAAGAAAAAAAGGACUCAUGGGUUAUGCCAGGGGAAUCCAUGGGUUAUGCGGAGAUUUGCAAGAAAGACUCCUAGGUUAUGCUAGGGGGAUCCGCGGGUUAUGCUGGGAUAGGAAGAAAAGACUCCUGGGUUAUGCCAGGGGAAUCCACGAGUUAUGCCAGGAUUAAGAAAAUGGCUCAUGGGUUAUGUCAGGGGAAUCCAUGGGUUAUGCCGGGAUAAGAAGAAAAAGACUCAUCGGUUAUGCUAGGGGGAUCCGUGGGUUAUGCUGGGAUUUGAAGGAAACAAACUCUUGGGGUUAUUCAAGGGGCAUCCGCAGGUUAUGCCGAGAUAGGAAGAAAAGACUCCUGGGAUAUGCCAAGAAAAUCCACGGGUUAUGCCAGGAUUAAGAAAAAAAGGGGCUCCUGGGUUAUGCCAAUGUAAUCCACGGGUUCUACCGAGAUUUGGAAGAAAGACUCCUGGGUUAUGCUAGGGGAAUCCAUGGGUUAUGUCGAGAUUAAGAAAACGGCUCCUGGGUUAUGCCUGGGGAAUCCACGGGUUAUGCUGGGAUUAAGAAAGAAAUGACUCGUGCUGGGGAAAAAAGAGAAAGACCCUCAUAUUAUGAUGGGGAAUGCUGGGAAUGACAGAAAGAAAAGUACCUCAGGUUAUGUUGGGGAUACAAGGAAAUUGGUCCUUAGGUUAUGCUGGGAAAAUGAAAGAAAGAAAAGUCCCUCAGGUUAUGCUGGGGAUGGAAGAAAGAAAGGUCCCUCGGGUUAUGCUGGGGUAGAGAGAAAGGAACCAUCGGGUUAUUUCGGGGAGUGAAGGAAAUGAAUCCUCAAUUUAUGCUGGGGAGAUCUAGGGAAUGUGGUCCUAGAUUUGAAGAGAUGGAGUCGAGGAUCGGGUCCUAUACUACCAUGAUUUGUGAUUCUCCUUUUCUUCUUUUCAUUUAUAAAACUGCGAGAAAAGAUGUAAAGAGAACCUCCCUUUUGGUUGCUCAUUGUUGCAAGGCUAUUCUUAGCUCUUGUGCAUUUCCUUUGGUCGCAUUUGCCAUUUAUCACAUUGAUUUGGAUUACACCUAUUUAACAUUUUCAAACAAAGCAUAAUUUGUUAGUUUAAAGCGAUGGACGAUUUUGUGGCCUUGAUUUGUUUCAUCUCGACCUCCCUUCUGUUGAGAAGACCUUGGGCUUUCCAUACUUUGCCUUGUUGGUUGGUCAGGAGGUCUCAUCUUUCAGAUAUAUUUCACCUUCCUAGGCUUUUUGGUUACGAUUUCUUUGCCCCGAUUUCCAUUUCAGAGCCUUUAGGUAUCCUACCUUUUGAAACCAUGUUGAGGCGAUUACCUCACUCGGGCUUAAACCUUCUAAUCUUCAUUUUUUGUUCAUGGGCAUUGGACUUUGAUUUGUUUUUUUCUACCUUUCUGCUUCUGAAUUUCCAGCCAUCAUGACUAGCCAGGAUCGGCUAGAUACGUCCGCUAAGGCUGGGUAUUUUAGUCCUUUCCAGGCGAGCCUUGUGAAACCAGUCUUACCCACUUUUCUUGAGGAAUUUUCACAAAUCAAAGUUAAGCCAAAAGGGAUUUGAGGAAGCAAAAAGCAAUCAUAUGGAUUUAGAGAGAAGUGUCCCUUUCGAGGAAAAGAGAAGGACUUAUCUGGGGGUGCGUGCUGACUUCAAAUGGACAUGACAUGCUUCUUGGACUGGAUGCCCAACCCGUACACAUUUUCAGCUUUUUGUGAACUUUAUUUCAACCUUUCGAAACUAGGGAAACUUACCCGGACUUUUGAUGAUGAUAUAUCUUCCUUUCGGCCAACAGUGCCCUUUGCGGGUUUUCGCCAAUCGGCCUCUCUCAUUUAUCUUCUCUCGUCGCCCGAUAGUGCUCUUUACGAGUUUUCACUAAAUGAACUCUCUCAUUUUAUUUUCUGUACUCACCAUCGCCUUAUGGUGCCCGAAGGUUUUCACCGAUAAGACUCUCAUUUUUUUCUCUCAAUUGAAUUGUGCCAAAUCCUAACAAUGGCAUUUGUCAUAUCCCUGCCUUUGGUAAUCGACCGGAAGGACUUGGGCCAGGUUUUUGGGUAAAGGAAAUUGGAUGGAAACUACAACUUUGGAACCAUUUAGGCGGGUUCAUGUCCAAACCAUUACAUCAACAGCCCCAGUUUUGAUUGGGNNNNNNNNNNNNNNNNNNNNNNNNNNNNNNNNNNNNNNNNNNNNNNNNNNNNNNNNNNNNNNNNNNNNNNNNNNNNNNNNNNNNNNNNNNNNNNNNNNNNNNNNUUUUAUUUGGGGGGGGGGGGGGAAUUGGGGUUCUUAUAUUGAUAUGACUAAAUCUCAGGGAGAGGCUGCCUACGUACCCUUUCGAAAUCAAGUCAGAUGUAGUUCAGGAAGUGUUUUCCUAAACUAAUUUUGUUUUGUUGCUUCUUCUUCUCGUUUUUUUCAUUUUUCAUUAAUUUUUUUCAUUUUUCUUUUGUUUUCUUUUUUUUUUGUUUUCUUUUUCUUUUGUUUUCAAUCUUUUUUUUCUUUUUUUUCCGAAUAGCACUUCCGAGUUCAAAAGAGGGUGAUCAAAAAACCGUAACCGGCUCAAAGGGUUUGCGAAGGAUUGAUAUUGUUUAGGGUAGCGGAAAAGAAAAGCCUUCGUCAUUUUAACCAGCCUGAAUCAUUGCUGCAGGGAAUUCAAACAUAAUACCUUUUUACCCUAUUUGCAUUUACUACUGUUUCGGGAUCGUCUCCUUCGACGUCACCCAGGUACAAUGCUCAUUUGGGCAGUAUUUUCUGAUAAUGUAUGGACCUUUCCAGUUCAGAGCAAACUUUCCUUUAGCUUCCUGAUAGUGAGGGAGAAUACGCCUCAAUACAAGCUGUCCGAAUUGGAAAUUCUUAGGGUGCACUUUCUUGAUAUAAGCGCGGGCCAUUCUUUGUUGGUACUACUGCAUAUGACAAACCGCAACCAUUUUUUGUGUCAAUUAAUGACAACUGCUCUAGUCGAGUCUUAACCCACUCACUAUCUUCAAUUUCCACUUCGACAAUUAUCCGGAGCGAAGGGAUUUCUACCUUUGCGGGUAUAACAGCUUCAGUCCCAUAGACCAAUAAAUAUGGAGUUUCCCCUAUCGAUAUGCGCACCGUGGUGCGAUAUCUAAGCAAUGCAAAAGGUAGCUUUUCAUGCCAUUGUCUUGAGCUUUGAAUCAUUUUUCUCAAAAUAUUCUUGAUGUUCUUGUUAGCUGCUUCAAUGGAACCAUUGGCAUUGGGCCGGUAAGGAGUGGAGUUUCUGUGUGUUAUCUUGAAUUCACAUAGUUCUCCCAUCAGGAGACUAUUCAGGUAACGGCACCAUUGGCUUUGGGCCGGUAAGGAGUGGAGUUUCUAUGGGUUAAUUUGAAUUGUUCACAUAUUUCUCCCAUCAGGCGACUAUUCAGAUUGCCAGCAUUGUCUAUAAUGAUGGUUGUAGGAAUUCCGAAGCGGCAAAUGAAGUUGGAAUGCACAAAGUCUACCACAACUUUCUUGGUGACUGACUUAAGUGUGAUGGCUUCGACCCACUUUGUAAAGUAGUCAAUAGCAACCAAUAUGAAUCUAUGUCCGUUUGAGGCUUUUGGUUCAAUGGGCCCAAUGACGUCCAUGCCCCAGGCAGCGAAUGGCCAUGGUGCUGACGUAGGAUGCAAUAGAGUUGGCGGCGCAUGAAUCAAGUCACCGUGCACCUGACAUUGAUGACAUUUCCAAACGAAGCUGAAGCAGUCUUUCUCUAUGGUCAUCUAGUAAUAUCCUGCCCAAAGUAUUUUCUUUGCCAAGCAUACCCAUUCAUAUGAGGCCCACACACUCAUGUGUGUACUUCAGGCAUAAUCCUUCCGGCUUCUUCGUCAUCAAAACACCUUAGCAAGUUGAAAUCUGGGUUCCUCUUAUAUAAGAUGUCACCACUCAAGAAGAAACCACUCGCAUGUCAUCGCAUGGUUCUCUUUUGAUCCCCAGUGGCUUGCUCGGAAUACUCUUGUGUUUUCAGAAAUUUUUUGAUAUCAUAAUACUAUGGCUGAGUGCUGGAUUCUGCCUUGGUCACAUUACAAUACCCAUGCCUUUCCCUGAUUUGGAUUUCCAAGGGAUCGAUAUAGGCGUUUCCGGGGUAAGGCAACAUGGAGGCCAAAGUUCCGAGUGCAUCUGCUAACUCAUUGUGACAGCGAGGAAUGUACCUGAACUGUACCGACUUUAAUCGUUUGCUGAGAUCCUCCACAUGCUUUUGAUAAAGGAUGAGUUUGAAAUCUCUCGUUUCCCACUCUCCUUGGUUUUGCCGGAUAAUCAGAUCUGAAUCCCCCAUGAUUAAUAAUUCCUCGAUGCCUUGGUCAAUAGCCAUAUUCAUGGCCAUGAUGCAGGCCUCGUAUUCAGCUCUGUUGUUGGUGCAGAAAAACAAAGCCGUGUUGUGGCUGGGUAGUGUUGACCAGUGGGUGAGAUAAGAUUGCCCCAAUUCCAACUCCUUUUGCGUUUAUUGCUCCAUCGAAGAACAUUUUCCAAGCAGUGAUGUCUUGAGAUGUUACCUCCACCAAAUUCACUUCUUCAUCCGAGAAAUAGGUAUUCAAGGGUUGAUAUUCAUCAUCAACUGGGUUCUCAGCUAGAUGUUCUUCUAGCGCUUGGGCCUUCAUCGUCGUGUGAGUGACAUAGACUAUGUCAAACUCGGUGAGCAGGAUUUUCCAUUUCUCCAAUCUCCCCGUGGGCAUCGGUUUUUAGAAUAUGUACUUCAAAGGAUCCAACCUAGUUAUGAGGUAGGUGGUGUGGGCUUGCAAGUAAUGCCUUAGCUUCUGGGCCACCCAAGUUAAGGCACAACAGGUUCUUUCUAACAAGGUGUAUUUGGCCUCAUAACUGGGAAACUUCUUGCUCAGGUAGUAAAUGGCUUGCUCCUUCUUUCCGGUGACAUCAUGCUGCCCGAGAAUGCAUUCAAAAGAGUUCUCCAAGACCGUCAAAUAUAGGUUCUUACUUAGGUAAUAUAUGGCCUGCUCCUUCUUUCCAGUGACAUCAUGCUGCCCGAGAAUGCAACCAAAAAAGUGCUCCAAGACUGUCAAAUAUAGAAACAAUAGCCUUCCCAAUUAUGGCAGGACCACGACUGGUGGAUUGGAAUGGUAAUCUUUAAUUUUGUCAAAAGCCUCUUGACAUUCAUUAGUCCAUUUAAUUGUUGAAUCAUUUUUUAACAUCGUGAAUAUGGCCUUACACGUAGAGGUAAACUGGGCGAUGAAUCGGCAAAUAUAAAUCAGUCUUCCCAACAUGCUCAUUAAAUCCUUCUUGGUUUUCGGAGGAGGUAGCUCUCGUAUGGAUUUUAUCUUGGUUAGAUCUAUCUCAAUACCUCUCCGACUGAAGAUGAACCCCAGGAGCUUGCCCGAUGGGACCCUGAAUGCACACUUGGCUGGGUUCAAUUUCAAAUCAUACUUGCAAAGCCUUUCAAAGAACUUUCUUAGGUACCGUACAUGAUCACCUUGAGUCUUGGACUUGAUAAUCACGUCAUCUACAUACACUUCUAUCUUCUGAUGCAUCAUGUCGUAGAAGAUAGUGGACAAAGCCCUCAUAUAUGUCGCCCCAUUAUUCUUUAAACCAAAGGGCAUAACCCUGUAGCAAUAAGUACUCGAAGGUGUGGUGAAGGCAGUUUUCUCAACAUCUUCAUCAUCCAUCAACACUGGGUGGUAUCCUACGUAAUAAUCCACGAAAGACUGUUUCUCGUGUUUGGGACAGUUGUCAACAAGGAUGUGGAGAUUAGGCAAAGGGAAAUUGUAUUUUGGACUUGCCUUGUUCAAAUCUAUGUAAUCUACACAUACUCGGGUUUUCCCGUCUUUCUUUGGCACCAGGACUACAUUGGCCAACCACGUGCUCCUCUUUAUUUUAUCGCUGAUAUCAGGCUUGAACUUUCUCUGUUUUUGUUGGACUGGAGGACAUUCAGGGCAUCUAGGCAACAUAUGAACGACCAAAUCAAAACUCAACUAUGGCAUAUUGUCGUAGGACCAAGCAAACACGUCUUUGAAUUCAAAAAGAAGUUGAUCAGUGAGUCCCAUAUUUCCUCAUUUACAUGGAUGCUUAUUUUGGUUUCCCUGGUUUAGCCGGGACCACCCUAGUUAACCUGUUCGGUAUCAUUUAGAUUUGGCUUAGGUUUAUUUUCAAAAUGUUCCAGUUCUCGAUUGAUUUCCCAAGAAGCCUCUUCUUCUUCAUACUCUGCUUCUUGGUUCAUUAUUUGACAAUUAGGAGGCAUGUCUGGAUUGGGUCAUGAAGACUCUAAAAGCCUCUUCUUCGUUAUACACCGGUUCUUGGUUCAUUAUUUCACAAUUAGGCGGCAUGUUUGGAUCGGGGCAUGAAGUCCGCGAGCAUGUCAUAUUAUUUAAAGCCAAACUACUGGAACUGAAAGAAAUGAAUAAAGAAAACAGAAAAAUCAGAAAGAAUAAAGGAAUGUAGACGAUGAAAUAUUGAUUUCAAUUCUUUGAAAUUGUAAGAUAACAGGGUUUACAUUUGGAAAUUAAAGGACAAAAAACUAAAGGAAAACACCCGAGUUACACCCUGAAAUAACUCGUGAAGCAAGAAAAGAUGGCAAGGCAGGACUCACGGGCCUCCCGCCUGACUGGGAAAGGCGAAGCCUUCCAAUUUUGCAAUUUGGCAUCCGGUCCCAUGUAGAGCACCUCAGCGGUGCUCGAGCCUUCUCCAAGCUGGACCAUGUUAGCUUCAUACAAUAGUUUUUCAUGGCCCCACAUAUGUCUUCAAUUUCUUCCGCUGUGAAGGUCUCGUCUUUUUCAUCAUCACUGUACUUAGGCUUCACAAAUGUUUCGUACAAGUGGAGUAAGGGUUGAGGUAAAGCCUAUCCAUUAUGCUUUCUGCGAUUUGCCUAUGUUAUAUCCUCUGGUGUUGGGUGGAAGCCUAACCCAAAAAACUUCUCUACAGUAGACAAAGCAAUUGGCUCAAUUAUCCCUUGUAAAGAACUUUCGAUCCCCUUCCCUGGUUUGAAUCGUUGAUGUAUCAUCUCUCUAGCCACCAUGAUUGGGGCAUUGGAGAGGAAAGGUUGGGGACAUGGUUUGCCUUCCUCGUGUUGAUCAGCUACCACAAUUUCAAAAGCCUGAUAGACUAUAUGCUCACUUCGUUCUUUAGCUUCGAGGCAGGGGACAGAGGGAUCGCGGUAAAUGGAUUGUUCAUAUUCACCAUGAACCACAAUUUCCUGGUUCUCAUGUUCAAAUUUCAACAUCUGGUGUAGAGUAGAAGGCACAGCCCCUGCUGCAUGAAUCCAUGGCCUUCCCAGCAAGUAAUUGUAGGAUGUGUCCAUAUCUAACACUUGAAAUGUUACCUCAAAAUCAACCGGGCAAUGGUCAACACCAGAUCAAUCUGUCCUAUUGUGUUUCUUUUAAUUCCAUCGAAAGCUCGGACACACAUUUUAUUGGGGCGAAUCCUCUCCGUCCCGAUUUCCAUUCUUUGUAAUGUUGAUAAUAGGCAUAUGUCCACCCUAGAGCCUCCAUCUACCAUUACUCUUUUGACGUAAUAGCCUUUGCAUUUGAUGGUGAGAUGCAGGGCUUUGUUGUGGGAGGCUCCCUCUUGGGGUAAAUCAUUCUUACUAAAUAUAAUCUGAUUAAUGGCGAAGAAUCUCUCCGCCAUUCUCUCAAAUUGUUCCGCGAAGGUUUGAACCGGCACGUAAGCCUCAUUUAAAGUUUUGGCUAACACCUUCUGGUGCUCCAGAGAAUCCAUCAGCAAUGAUAAUAAAGAGACUUGUUUAGGGGACUUCCGGAGCUUGUCCACUACUUCAUAGUCCGGCAUUUUCAUCUUUCAAAAGAAGGCUUCUGCCUCUUUGGCACUUACUGGUUUACUGGGUGGGAAUCGCCUUUUGGUAGCAUUGUUCACUUCCUCCAAGUCAGAAUAUUUCUCUACAGUGUGGCUUUCUUGAGUUUCACCAGUGAUUUCUUUGCCUUUGUAUGUCACCACUGUUUCUUGAUAGUUCCAAGGGACUGCAAAAGGGUCUGUCAUAGCCCUCUAAGGUGAGUGCCUAACUACCACGGGCUCAUUCAGCCUUUGCGGUUUAGUUGGCCCCGUACCACAUAGGUUCCUUUGUGUACGUACAUAGUCCUGUUUAACUCAAACAUCUUUGUGGGACUCAGAGUUGGCUACUUUUCUUGACGACGCCGUAGGACGUAAAGGAUAGUUUCUUUGACGGGUGCCGGCACAUUUUAGCUUCAACCUUCUUUUCAACUUCUGGUUGCGUGGUUUUAUUCUUCUUCUCCUCCUCUUUUUAGGGGUAACCUUUGACUUUUUAUCUGCAUCAGCAAUAGCUAUUAUGUCUUUCAAAGCAGGGUUGAAUUCUUUGCCUUUGCAGAUCAUCCUGAUUUUUGGCUUGUUGUGAGCCGGUAAUGGGCUGUUAGUCAUAUUCGGGACAUCUUCAUCCCUCAACACUAUUUUUCUUUAUUCUAUUAGAUCUUCCAUAGCUCGCAUUAGAGUCCAACAAUUUUUUUGUGUCGUGCCCCUCAGCCCCUGAAUGAUAAGCACAGCGGACACCCCAUUGGUGAGAAGGUGACUUAGGGUUCUGUCUAUUCAGAGGCACAGGCUGCAAGAGACCCAUUUGGACCAGCUUUAGGAACGUUCUAGAAUAAGACUCCCCAAUUGUCGUAAAGUUUUGCCUUCUGGGUAGCUCCCUGAGACGGAAAUUAUUUUGAGGAGGGCGGGGAUUAUAGUGGUUUUUGGGAAGCUGAUUUCUCGGGGCCUGGUUCCUGUUGACCUGCUGCUGCUGUCGUGAAAAUGGCUGGGCCUUCAUAACUCUGUAAGGUUGGGGAGCAUAAUGCAUGUCUUGAUGGGGUUAAUAUUUUUGAGAGGUUCUUUCCGAGAACAUGUGCCUAUGAUAUCUUCUCAUACCGGAGGCUGUCAUCGAAGCUUCUUCUUUCUUUUUGUUCCUUGCGACCCUCCUGCCCCGCCUUGGAUGGCCUAGGAGGUUGCUCUGAUGGCUUACUGACUCAAAAUUCUUCCUGUUUUCAAACCAUUUUCUACCAUCUCUCCAAUCUUGAUUGCUUCCGAAAAAGGCUUGCCUAUGGCUGACAUCAUAUUUUGAAAAUAAUCUGCUUCUUGGGCUUGGAGAAAAACAGUGGCCAUCUCUAUCUCGUCCAUGGGCAGCUUCACCCUCGAUGUCUGUUCGCGCCAUUUAAUAGCAUAUUCUCUUAAACUCUCUGAAGUCUUCUUUUUCAAAUUGGCCAAGGAGUUCCUGUCUGGCGCAAUGUCAAUGUUGUACUGAAAUUGCCUUACAAAAUCCUGGGCAAGAUCAUCCCAAAUAUGCCAUCGUGAGACAUUUUGGUCCAUAUACCAUUCUGAAGCAAUGCCUACCAGACUCUCUUCGAAGUAUGUCAUCAAUAGUUCUUAUUUUCCGCCUGCCCCACGCAAUUGGUUGCAAUACUUUUUCAGGUGAGCAAUGGGGUCGCCAUGACCAUCAUACUUUUCAAACUUUGGCAUUUUAAAUCCCAUGGGAAGAUGUACAUGCGGGAACAUGCACAGGUAUGUGUAUGAAACACUCUUUUGCCCACUCAAGCCCUGCAUGUUCUUUAAGCUCUGCUCAAGGCUCUUUAUUCUUCUUGUUAUCUCAUCUUGUUCAGGCAUUUUAGGAGUUUUAUCCUGCAUUGGUGUAAUUUCAUAUGGUGUUUGAGGAUAAGUGUAUGAGGCGUAUGUGGGAGGCUCAGUUUGGUCAUUGGGAGUUUGAAAAGUGAAAGUCGUCGGAUCAAACAUGGGUCUUGGCACCGCGGGCUGUGUGGUUGGUGCACAUGGGGGAGCCGUAAAAUGUUGGGGACUAUGCUAGAGGUGAACAUCUGAGGGUGGACUUCAAAAGGUGCUCCGACAAAAUUGGCCGGCAUGGUAGGCUAUCCUAGGAAGAUGUUUGGAUGGCUAAUGGGAAUAGUGGAAGUACCCCAUGACCUUGCGAAGAGCAUAGGAAAUCCAAGGAUGGCACUUGGAGGCUCUUUUCCAUUCGUCCAUGCAUCCCACAUCUCCAUGACCCUAAGUCGUAGGAUCCUAUUUUCUUCGGCUGCCGUAGAUUCAGAGGUUGGGAUGCCUGUAACCGGGCUAUCUUAUGAGAUGGGAAUUGCCAGCAAAGUCAUUUCAAAUGGCAUUUCUGCGCUUCCUUUUGAUCUGGUGAAAUAACGAUCUGAUGCCAGUUUACCAUAAACCAACCACCGUUUCUAAAACCUGGACUGGAAUUUGUAACAGCAAACGGUUAGUUUGAGACAGAUAACAGAUAGGGAAUCGCACAUUGGGGUGUGAUGCACCUACACAGUUAACAAAUGUCUACAUGUUUGCGAUGGUUGCAUGUGUCAUCCCGGAAUUUAUUCCAAUUUUUCCUUUUUGAUUUCCACUCUUUAUUUUCUUGCUUUCCCCAUUUUUUGUAUUUUUCUCCCUCUCUGGUUUUUCUUCUGUUUUGGUUUUUCUCUCUUUUUCUUUCUUCUCAUUCCUCCUUCUUCCCUUUUUGGCUUUUGUUUUUAUUUUUAUGAAUACGGUCUAAUCCUAUGAAGAUUACCUAUGAAUCAUGCCUCGCAUGAAUCAGACCGAGCGUAGUUCGUGAAAAAUAAAAUGAAACCAACAAAAUAUUUUUUUGGAAUUUCAAUUUUCAUAAUAACAAACUUCGGUUACAAAGACUGACAUAUUUAAAUAGGCAACUAGCAUACUCUGACAUAAGAAGAACUACAGACUUGAAGAACAAUUAACCAUGCUUAAAAAGAAAAUACAGACUCUAAGACAAACUAUACAGACUGUAAAUAAAAAUACAAAUUUCCAAAAUCACGAAUACAUUAGGACUUCAACUGCCCCUGGAGCCCGCAAAGCAUCGUUUGGCCUUGUCGCAGGUCGACUAGGUAAUCCCCUUGGAGGUGAUGGAGAUAUUCCAUUACGCGGCGAACAAAAAGCAUCACGGUGGCAAAGAACAUGGAUCUAGGCAUGUCCUCAUAGCUAUUACAUUUCAUUGUGAUAUAGUGAGUGAUUCCUUUGAUUCUUUCUCGUAUGACAACUUUCUCCUGUAGUAACCACCCAGUCUGCUCGGUUCUGGAUCCCAAAACUUGUUCGGCUACUUGAUUCUUCUUUUGAAGCUAUUGCAAAUCCAAUUCUUACUGUGCCAAUGUUGUGUAACAAUGCUCCCUUUCCAUUUUUAAUUCUUUUGCUUGUUUGAGAAUUUUAUUUUCCGUGAUGACGACCCUUUUCUUUAAUCCUGACACCUCACCAUCGAACUCUUCUUUUAAUUGCCUUACCAGACGUGCUCGUUCUGCUGCAUUUUCAUCCAAUUGUUCCCGAGCCCUGGCUAGCUCCUUUUCUGCUUUGCUCAAAUCAAAACAAUAGUCAUCCACCUUCUGUCUCAAGCCAUUUAUAAGUUUCACAUCUUUGGCACUCCAGACGGGGUUUUCCGCUACUACUUUCAUCUUCUGAAUUUGGGCCGGAAGGGCUUCAUUUUCCUUGACUAGUUUCUUCUUUCGCCCUCAUGUGCGGCAGCCUAAAAAUCUUUCUGGAAUUGCAAAUUCAUGACAUGUUUCUCUAGUUUGCUUAUCGUAGCCCUAUACUCGCGUUCUUUAUCUAGCCAAUCCCACUGCUCUUGUGAUGCAUCAACGAAUUCCUGGAGAUGGGGCCUUUUGGACGGCCUUUCAAACUCAAAUUCUCUCCUAUACCAAGCAAGAUAUCCUGGCGACACUUUGCCUUUAAACCGAUCCCGUACACAAGUGUUUGUUGUUAGGUAUUAGCAUUCAUUCAAAAUUUUGCGGACUGUUGCUUCGGGGAACUGACCGUUAGGUCCAAUCUCGACUACUCGGGUACUGAGAUCUUUGUCUUUUGGCACUACCUGGCACCUUCCAAGCUGUCUCAAGACUCGGUGCGGGUCAUUAGGCUGGAUACUCCUAAGACCCAUCAAGAGGAAGUGAGGUUCUGUUGUUCGCUUGUUAUGAUCUCAUCCACAAACAACUAUCCCAACGUCUGUUCUAUUUGACUGGUAGUGAGGGACUGAAAGUAAGAUAUCCAUUUUGCUACUCCUUCGGGAAAAUUGAGCCCUUCAAUCCUUGUGUAAAAUUCCUCUAUGCAAGUUUUCUCUGCGGACCCAUAGCUCAUAAAUUGGGGAUGAUGGCAUAGAUGCUUGAUCAUCCAUAUUUGCAAUAAUAGAUUACACCCCCCAAAGAAAUCUUUCCCGGCCUUGCAAGCUGUGAGAGCGCGAAAGAUCUCAGCUGCUAUCAUAGGUGCGAGUGUACACUUGGUUUGGGUGCAUAGAGUGCUGACAACCCCUGGUAUUUAUAUGUCGAUGUUCCCGUCUUUCCUUGGGAACACCAGAAGCCCUAGAAAAGCAACCAUAAAAGCGAAACUUCUGUGUUCUUACCCAUUUCACACGGUUUCCUUUGCUGCAGAUUUUGUUUUCUGGAUUGUUCAACCCUCCUAUGUGACCAUAUCUUCUGGUAUACAGGAAUGAAAAAGUGCAAAACCCUUCUGCCAUGUUCGAGUCAUGUACCACUCUGCUUAUCUUCAAGGUAUCUAAGAAUUUAUGCACUGCUAUGCUUCUUAGAGCAACCAAAUAUUUAUGUCUUAAAGGAAGCUCAGCAUCUCCGAUGUACCCAGCUAUUUCUUCUAAGGUUGGGGUAAGUUCAAAAUCUGAGAAGUGGAACACAUUGUGCGUCAGAUCCCAGCACGUGACCAACGCUCUUAUGAUGUCACCUCGAGGUACAAUCUCCAGGCCUCCCAAAAAUUUCUUUACCUCAUCUUGCCCUUCUAUACCUAGAUCAUUCCACUACAGCCGUAACUCCAAAGGGAUUCUGCUUACUAAUGAAAAAUGUUUGUUUCGGAUUGUCCUCAUCCUGCAAAUUUAUUAAGGCGAAUUAGCAACUUAAGAUUUUUAUUUCGUUUGACUUCAAAAUAAAAAAUUGACCCCUUUCUUUUAUGCAAUUUAUUUUCUGAAAUCAGAGCCCAUCUUUGUAGAUACGACCUUUCAGCACUUCAGGAGGAAGACGUGACCAAUGCUCUUAUGAUGUCUCCCCGGGGUAUAAUCUCCAUUAAGCCCGGAAGGCCCCCCAAAUAUUUCCAUAUCUCAUCUUGCCCUUGUAUACCUAUAUCAUUCCACCAUAGUCGCAACUCCGAAGGGAUUCGGCUUACAAAUGAAAAGGAGUCAUUUUGGAUUGUGCUCAUCCUGCAAAUUUGAGGCGAAUUAGUAACUUAUGACUUUAUUCCCGUUUGACUUCAGAAACCAAAAAUUGACCCCUUUCUUUUAUGAAAUUUAUUUUCUAAAACCAAAAGCCUAGCUUUGCGAAUACGGCCUUUCAGCACUUCUGGAGGAAGUUUUUAAGGCUGUGCCUGCUAGCUGGCCAAAAAUACAAUAAAGACCCAAAGGUGGCCGUUUGUGCAAAAUCAGCCUUCCGGGUCCCGUUCGGGAACAUUUAGCUAUUCUUGACAAUAACGGCAUCACCCGAUUUAUUUAGGACAACAAAUAAAAAUAUGACAUUUGUUUUGGCUAUUUUUUGCAAAAAGGGAGGUUGGACCCGAUGGGGGUUGCCUACGUAUCUCACACCUGGUGAGGAUAAAACCGACGUAGUUCGGGCAAAACAUUUUGUCAAAACCAAAAAUUUGUUGAAAACCCCCUUUUUCUUUAUCUUUUUUUGUUUUUUUCCUUUUGUUUUUUUCCUUUUGUUUUUUCCUUUUUUCUCUCUUUUUUUCUUUUUUUUCAAAAAUUCGGCAUUAUUUCGGCCCUAUUUAAGCAUUGAUUUUGCAAAACAAACAGUUACUCUUAGUCAUCCCUAAUACUACUAUUUUAUCAAUUUUUCUCUCCUUAUUCACGAGUCGGUCAACAUGCAAAUCCAAUGCAAGUAAAUGCGCAAGUAGCACGUAAUAUGCAUCAGGAUGGUCCUCUCAUUUCGGGUCACCUAUCUUAGACAAACCCAACCCCUAUGUUGAGUCCCCUGAGUCAAAUGCACGUGAUGCAAACAGAUGUUCCUACUAGGGAUCUUUGUUUUACUAAGUUCAGAACCUGGGUAUUUGUUCUAGAUUGUGUACCCGAGCGAACAACUCGAGUCAAGGAGGGGGCUACGUACCGGGGACCCACAAGAUCGUCUGGCUUAGUAACUUGUCCGAGCGUCUUUCUUAUGUCAAGGUAUGACACUAACAGAAUUGGGAGUCUUGACCAGUGAGCACAUCCCCGAAGAUGAAGAGAGAAGGGUUUCGUAACAAUUUAUAUACAAUUCAUCCAAUAUCAAAGCGGUAAAACAUUUAGCACAUUAUCAUGGAACAUGUAGGAAAAUCAUAAAAAGCCAGAUAUAACAGUUAUACUAAGCUCGAAUUGUCGAACCCUGAACCAGAGAUUCUGGGUUCGCUCCCCAGCAGAGUCGCCAGAGCUGUCAUACCUCCUUAUACACGGCCACCCUGAAGGAUAAAACGCAUAAGGGAGUUUUUCCAAUUAAAAUGACAUUAUUCAAAAUGGGAUUAUUUAUUUAGAGUCGCCACUUGGGAUAGGUUUACCUUUUGGCGUCCCAAGUCACCGGUUUAUUUAGAAUCUCAAAUCGAGGAAAUUUUUCAACUGUCCAAAUGGAGUCUGCAAACCAGAAAUUCUGAAUAAGGAAUUCUGCUGACCUUAGGGAAAGUGAUAGGCACCCUCGGAUCCCGUGGUUCUAGCACGGUCGCUUAAACUAUUAUAAUUGGCUAACAAUUCUGAUUUUUGUACAUGUUCAUCCUAUAAUGCAAUUUAAAAUUAUUUUAUACCGCUUUUAACAUUUUUUUAAGGAAAUUUGCAAUGUCAUUAAAACAUGUCGCGAACUGCGUCAUAUAAAUGCGCACACAGUUUUUGAUAUAUUUCACUUCAUUGAGAUUUGGAUUUGGGUCACAAAAAUGUGCACCCAUACUUAAGAAGAUAAAAUUAUUAAAGACGCGCCUAAAAGCGACUAACGUGUUAUUCUCUUUGCAGGAACGCUGUGAAAUUCGCUAAACGACAAAUCCUGAAUCUCUACGUAUUUAAAUAUGGACAUUUAAAGAGGGCACACAAUAUUUGGAUUUCGUUUGAUGCGCCGCACCUCAAUUUAUCAUUUUAAAGGCCGAUCCUAGAACAAACUAUUAUUCUCUUAGCUAAUUGGCAUUGAGUCCGGGCUUUCGAACUCAAGUCCAUAUUUAAAUAAGAAGAAAAUUUCCUUUAUUCCAAUGUGUUAUCUAGUUCAAAAAUCCGAAUUUAAUUCAAUCAUGCCUUCAGCUAAAGCUGGCCAGCAAAGACCAUUUGUGUUUGGGCGUUAAUGCAAGCCCAGAACUGAGAGAUACAUGGAUGGGUCGAUAUUGGACUUGAUAUUGCUGCCCAUCGAGUCCAAGGAAGGUCUAGUAAAUACGCAGAUACUUCCAAAUUUCCAGAUUUUUAUAUUGCAUCAUGUGAGUGAUAAAUAAUGCAAAGUAACGGGAAACUAGAACCAACUUUCAGGUCCACAUAUAAUCAACGAUUUUAUACUGUAUAAAGGUUCACAGGAAUAAUCCUAUAUAGACCUAUUAAAAACACCCAUUUACCCUGAGUUUAACCAUGAUAUAAUCACAUCAAUUAACACAAGCAUGUCACCGUACCAAGGUUUAUAGUAUAUUUGAAUUAUAAAUUCAUCACAUUGCCCACUACUCUAACACUUAAAAGGAUUAUUCUACUAUCAGUAUUUUUACUCAUGGAAUCAAAAACAAAACAAUUGUUUAACAGUCCAAAAUAGUCCUAUAAUUAUAUACGGUGAAUAUUUAAAGAAAUUAAAAGGCUACUUGAAAUUUAAACAACAAAUCCAGAAAUAAUUUAGUGCAGCGAGCUUCAUCUCUCGUCUCAAAUUGAUUUUUACAUGAUCAGGCUUAAGAAGUGUACCUGGAAUUUGAGUAAUGAAAGGCUGAGCGUCAGCAGGCUCAAGCAACAAUAUAAUCAACAGGAAUCAAUAGCUCAUGAGCAAUUAGGAGCCCAGGAAUGAUACCAAAUAACUAGGAAGAUUUUAAUACCCAACUAAACCAGAAAAAUACUCAAAUUACUCAAAUAAAACCCAACUAGCUGAAAAUAUGAACCCACGAUAAGAGUUGAAACCUUAUCACUUCAAAUAGGCAUAUUUUAAGUCUUUCAUCUUAUAGAGCUAAAACAUCUACUGGAUAGCUAAAAUUAGGAUUAUUCUGAGGAAAACAAGUCAAAUGGAACAGUAAAAACCACUGAAUUUCAGAGGAUUUCAAUACCUUGAUAAACUUUGGAUUUCUGGAAGCUUUUUCAGGAAUUUUUUAAGAUUCAUUAGGCUUCAAAAUUUCUGGAAAUUUUUUAGAGAUUUUCAGACUGUGUAAAAGCUUUUUUUGAAUGAAUUAGGGUGCCUUUUUUAAAGCCAAAGGCUAGGGCAACCCCUUUAUUUUGUUUAACACUAGUCCCUCUUUUAAUUUUCACUUUUUACUUACUUGGUCCUUUAUUUUCUGACAUGUUUCUCAACUGCACUAAAACUACUGAAUUUCAGACUAUGGCCAUCUUCUAGAAUAGACUAAAUGAUUCUAGCAUUGUUUUCUAUUUAUAGAAUACCUAUACUACCAUUAUCCUUAUCUUGAAAUUACCAGGCCUACCUCAAACAAACCCAACCCUUGCUCUCAAUCUUACUAUGGUCAAGUAAUAUUGGAUCAAUCAGCUUUACCCAAACAAACCUUAAAUCUGAAUUGGUUAUUUUAGUUUAUACUAAACCAAGACUAAACUGCUAUAUCCAACAAACUAGUAUCAAUUAGAGGUUCAGGAAUUACCAACAAAAUUAAAAUCAAUAAAAUCCUAGGAAUUAUGAUAUAACCAAAACUAAAAAUUGCUUCUAAUCAAAACAAAAAUACAAUCAAGUUUAAUUAAACAGAAUAAGAAAAAUGCAUAAUCAGAGAAUUUAGAACUAUAGAGGCAGAAUUUUUAACUAAACUAAAAAAGAAAAUCAAACAGUAACGUAAAAUCCGAAUUACUCAUAGAAAAAAUAAAAUAAUCUAAUAAGAAACAAAGCAUUAGAGACAGAAAUCAGAAAUCAAGUCUAAACUACUCAAAUAUCUUAAGAAUUAAACAUGCUGUAAUCUCCACUUAAACUAAGAAAAAUCAAAAAUAAUGUAAAAUCAAAUUAUUAACAAGAGAAAUAAAAAUAAAAUUAAUAAAAGAGAAAACAAUCAAAAAUGAAAGUGAGACUCAGUGAUUGGGUCUUCAAAGAAAGCUUGGAUGGAUUCGACUUGAAUCCCAAACGGAGUUAUAUGUUUGUUUUGGUCAAAACGAACAUGCAACUCCAUUUGGGAACUCAAGUAUAGCCUUGAUAGUCCGUCUCAAAAUUAGUCAAUUCCCAGAUUUGAAAUUCGAGACAAUUUAGGGUUGUUCCAAGGAGAUAGGGUUCGGUUUUGGGUAGAAGAGGCCAAGGAGAGUAUGGGGUGUGUUUUUGGUAGCAAUAGGAGCCAGUGCCGCCAUGGACGGCGGAGCAGCCGCUCCUUUGGAGGAAUAUUUGAAGCGUUUGGCUAGGGUUUAAUGGUUGGUUUAUGGGUUGGAAAGAGGAUAAGACGUGGAGUAUGGGGUGUUAAUUUGGGUGGAUUUGGAGUUACGCCGCCACUGGCGGCAUUUUCUGGCAGGCGGUGGGCAGUGGAGAGACGUUGGGGAUACGGUUGUGUUACACCGAAGGUCGGUUUGGUACGAGGAGGAUGAUUUUUGUCUCUGAGGGUUGUGAGUGUCAUUCAGACACUUUUAUUAAAAAUGUGAGGCUAAAUAUGGGCCGUUAGAUCAAAAGUAAUGAAUGACUGAGAUCAAAUGGACGUCAAACGACGUCGUUUGGAUGUCUUCUCUGGCAGGACCGGGUAUGGGGUUGGGUCUGGGUUGAUUUGGUGGGUCUGGUGGUUUGGGCUCCAAAUUGUGGCCCAAAUCAUGGUCUUUAGUGAGAAAACCCAAUUUGUGUAUUUUUUUCUUUUUUAAUAUUAUUAAAAUUUAUUUUUAGACUUUAAAAAAUUAAUUAACAUCCACAAAAAAAUAGACUAAAACAUAUUUAACAUCCACAAAGUAAAUUAAUUAACCAUCUAAAAUAACCUAAAUUCUAAAUUUAAAAAAGGAAAUUAAACAAAUGUAAGAAUAAACAAUUUUUUUAUUAUUUUCAAUAUUAAUUAACUAAUAACCCAAAAUAAAAAAAUAAAAAUAUAAGUCUUAGAUGCAAAACAUGCUAUUUUUGUAUUUUUAAUGAAAAACUGCACAACAUGAAAAUAAACACACAACCAUGCAAUUAAAUUCCUAAAAAGUCAAAUAAUAAAAGGAAAAAUGCAAAUAAACACAAAAUGACGCAAUUAAUUCCUAAAAGUUCAAAUGAUAAAAGAAAAUUCAUAAUUUUAAUGAAUUUUAUAGGAAUAUUUUGAGCGAGGCAAAGAUCACGUGCUCAUACCUUCCAAUUCAAAGCUAGGUUGUAUCCUUCUUCAUUUCAAGCAGUUCUUUUCUGUUAUAUCAAAUUUCGUGCCGCAUAAUAGUCCAUACUUCAAAUUAAUCCGUAGGCCAAAACCACCAAUCACUAAUAUUCUCAAAUCACUCCAAACUCUCCUUAAGGUGCGUGAUCAUCCUGCCACAAACCCAUAUUCAACUCCGCCACUUUCCCACUUUGGUGAAAUUACCCCUUUGGUCAACUACCCGACCUUUGCUUCUUAUACCUGGCCUUCUAGAAAUUUUAACCACUGCUUGAUACUCUCCUCAUGUCCUUCCUCAUUCUUUGUUGCUCAGUUAUUGCCUUAAAUAAAAUCUAUCUUCAUAACACUUGAACCCACCAAUCACUACUAACUUUACACCUUUUCAAGGAUCAUCUUUCCCACUGUUGACAAUAGAAACAUCGAUUCAAUCCUGAACCACCGCACCCCGUAAUCUCUGACAUUCACUUCUUCAAAAUUGUCUCAUAACAUCCUGCUUCAAAGGCGAAUUGUAGAAGAUCAUAACAUCGGUGAACUUAGUAAAUUCAACAGUACAACGACACCUGAACACGGAUGAUAAUUCUACCAUGCUUGCAAAUAGCAAGCCUCGUUACUCCAUCAACCCAAAUUUUAAUAUUUUAGCCUGAUUGCCUUUCCUCCGCUGGAAAUAAAUGUAAGGCCCUGUGAAUUUCAUACUCAAAAAACCCCGAAUCUCGUAGUGCCAGGUUGGGAUCAUGUGUUAGAAAUUCAUAAAAGAAUGUUCAGACCUUUCGAGUUGAUCAUUCUAUUAAAAAGUCAAGAAAUUAUGUUUCCAGAAAAAAGUGCAAUUUUGCGGUCGAUAAUGCGGUCGCAUAUCAGGUAUGCAGACCUUAUUUUUGCUAUAGAGUGAGUCGGUGUGUUGGCCAAAUUUGAAGUCAACUAUGCGGUCAAUUAUACAAUCGCAUAACAAAAAUGUGGACUACAUAGUCGUCGCAUAAUUUUUUUGGGAUUUUGUAGGGGCAGUUCUGCGGUGCAUUUUGUGACUGCAGAUGAAUGUGGACCGCAUAUCUGCUGCAACCCAGUCAGUGUGUCUAGUUUUUGGGGAGCAUUUUGCGAUCCACUCUGCGGACCGCAUGAUUGCAGAUCUGACUCGGGGCUCCUAUUUUCUAAAAUCCGACUCCACCCUAUUAAGAACGCCCCAAUAGAUCUUUUUCUGUUACUUUGCUCAACAUAGAGAGAGAGGGGGGAGUUCUUAAGUGAGAAGAGGUGAUCUUCAUCAAGCUCUCUUUAAAUCCUUGAACAAACCCUUGAAGAUUGUUAAUUGAGGCUACUAGGUCUUCAUCCUAAUUGGUAAGAACUGUACCCUCAUCAAUAAUUUCAAUUAUUUCUAUUAAAAUGAGUAGUUAGCAAGUGAAUACAUGGGUAUAAGGAUAGUAAUUUCAUGCAUAGGAGACAAUGGGAUAUGGGGAGGAUGAGAAUUAAAAAGAAAGCAAUUGGGGUAUAAUGUAGAAGAAAUUUCCUUAUGAAGGGGCUAAGAUCACAAUGCACCUUUGGUGUUUGAUAAAAUGCUCAAAUUAGCUAGAAUCUCAAUCUUGUCUCUAAAUUUCAGUUCGUUUUGUAGUUCUUGCACAAUAGAUCGAAGUGCUAAGAGUUUCGAAAUUUUGUAAAGAUUAAGGAGAACUAUAUUGAGGUAUGUAUGGCUAAAACCCCCUUUUAUUAUAAAUUGAGCUCCGUUGGCAUUUCCACAGGUGCGGUAAGACUAGAAUUGGUUUAUGUAUUGAUUGUUACUUCACAUUAAUUGAUUUGCAACUGUAUACAUAUAUGCAUGAAGGAUGUGCCUCAAUGUGAGUAAUAUAAAAUUCUUGAUAUUUAGAUAAGUUUUAAGAAUACGAAUCAUGUGUUGAAAUGCUUAGGCUAAAAGCCAAGAUUAAAACCGAGAUUUGUCAUGCUAACUAUGUGGAAACUAACAUGUGCUUGUAACCUAAAUUGCUUAUAUAUGCCUAUGAUCGUGAAAUUGUAAGAUGGAUACCGAAAAUGGAAUGAUGUGAUAAUUGUGGGCUUAAGUGCCAAUGAACUGAAAUGAUCUAUGUGAAACAAAGAUUUAAAUGAGAUGACCAAUAUGUCUAGGUAAGGUGGCUUAGCCAGUCAAGCUGUGAUCGGACACCAUGCCGCACACAUGGUGGUAAUGUGCUAACAUUGAAUUAUGGGAAAAAAGAAAUGAAAUGGUGAUUGUGAUGUAAGCCUCAAGUGAGGCAACCUAGCCGAUCGGAUCGUGAUUGGACUCCCCUUAAGAUAGCAGUGACAUUAAGGACAUAGAUGAAUGUGAGCACGUGAUUUUUGCCUCGUUAAAAUUACUCCUACAGAAUUCUCAGAGUUAGGAUUUCUCCUUUUAUUUUUCAAUAUUUAUGAUUUAAUUGCGCAUGUUUGUGUGUAUUUUUAUUGGUGCGUGCAUGAUAAGUCAUACAAAAUACAAAAAACUUGCAUGAGCAUUUUAGGAUUUGAUUUUUACAUAAUUUUGCUAGAAUUAAUUAGUAAUUAGGUUUUUGUUUUACAAAAUAUAAAAAUUACAAAGAAAACGUUGAUUUUUUUUAAUUUUUCUUUUAAUAAUAGUAGUUUAAUUGUGAUUUAAUAGUUUUGAAUAACUUUUCGUGUUUAAUUGUAGUUGAAUUUUAAAAAUUGAAACAAUUAUUAAAUAAUAGGUAAUUGAAAAAGAAUUAAAAAAGAGAAAAAAAAAAAGAGAUGAAUCAGGUUGGCCUUACAAUUGAGCCAAAGCUAGAUGGCCCAAACACCCCCUACCCGUCCAAACCACCCUAAAACCGGCCCGAACCCAUCCUAAACCCGGUCUUUCAUUAAGGGACGUCCCAAAACAACAUCAUUUUAGGGCCAGUAAUAUUAAGCGUUCAUAUGCCAUCAUUCAACGGCCCUGGAUCAAUCUCAAUUAUUAAAUAAAGAUGUUCGAAAUUGUGCCAAACCCUAGAGAUCAAAUAUCACUUCCUUGUACCUAUCGUCUCCACUGAUACUCUACCUUAAAGUCACCGACCGGAAAUUGUCGCCGACGGAGGCGAAGCACCAAUACCACCCAAAAAUACACCCCUGAACCACUAUUCCCUCCUCUUUCUAAUGCCCAAAAAACCAACUUUCAACUAUGAGCCAAACCUUUCGAAUAUAGGAAUUUGUGGACGUCGCCUCCGCCGCCUACGGCGACGCCACUGCCGAAACCCUCUAAAAAUAACACCCCAGGUUCCUUACCCCAUCCCCAUAAUGGAUCCAGCCUCAAUUUCUUUCAAACUUUAGCCAAUCACCUUGAAUAUUCAUUCAAAGCUCCAAUCAAAUCCUCAACCUCCCCGGAAUUCCCUAAAAUUGACACCACAUAACCCCAUCACCUCCAUCUCCAUGAAUCUAUAACCAGUAACCCUCGAAUAUGACCGGUUCGUGUCAAAAAUCAAAUCAAAAAACCAAUCUAAAGCCCAACCCAUUCCAAACCCAACUAAUCUUACACCCGCUAUUGUUUUCACCCUCUUUCUCUCAAAUUUCUGUUCAGCGUCUCUCAAAUGUCAAAAGACCAUCUCAAAUUUGAAAUCAAGGGAUGGCCGGAAACCCUAAAAUUCAAAGGUCAUGGGCUUUUGGCCAUGCUAGUCGUUAAGCUAAGUUUCCCUGUUCAUGUUUUAUUUUCAUCUUGUUGUUACAUGUUUGUUCUACGCUAUUUGUUCUUUCUUAUCUGAUAAUGAUUUUCUAUUAGUUUAUUUGCAAUUUUGGUCUAUUCAGAAUUAUGUUCCUCUGUUUAAAGUCGUUGAUAAUCCGCUUUGAAUGAUUCCUUGUCGAUUGGAAUUCUAGAUUUUUCUUUUUAGAUUGAGUCAUUCUGUAUUGAUCCAUGAACAGCAUGUUUGAGUAAUUCAAAUUGAAAAGUUGAGGAUUGAGUUGGUUUGAUAAGAAGUGAUUAUUUCAUCAUGCUUAGGAUUAAUUUGGGGUUUGUGAUUACAUGAUUCUUGUUUAGCAUUUAGUCAGUAUUGAGGUCUUCAAUUUUAUUGAUUCUGUUUGCUUUUGAAUUUAGUUAAAAUAAUUGAUGAAACUUCAGUCUCCUUUACAUCUAGUGUCCAUGUUUAUUAUUACAUUUUGGCUCAGUUUAGUUAGGGUGAUAAUCAGACUGGGUUGGGUCAGGGUUAAAUCAUGCUAAAUUAACUAUAGUCAAUUUUUGACCAACUUGAUAAGAAGUGGGGUGUAGUUGGUUAGGCUGAGUAAUUGAGGGGAAAGGACAAGGGUAAUAGGGGUAUUUGGGUAUAGGAAUCUUGCAACAGACCCCUGGAACCUUCUAGUUGGAGGUUCAAAGACUAAUUUCUUAUAAUUUUCUAAUAAGAGGCACAAGCUAGAAAUUGAGGUACUAAAUAAGCAAUUAUGAGAAAUAGGAAAGGGACUAGUGAAUAAAACACAAAAGAAAAGAGUUGCCCUAGGUCGGUGUUAUAAAUAGGCAAGUGAGUGCUUUCAUAAAAAAACUGAAACAAAAACCCCUGAAGAGUCUGAAAAUCUUUGCAAAAAUUCCCAAGUGUUUUGAAGUCUCAAAAUCCCUGGAAAAAUCCUUCUGAGCUAGCACAAUAGUAGGUCUGAUUCCAGAAAAUCUAUUAAAACUAAAAAAACACAAAAGGCAAAGGAAUGCUAGAAUUAUUGUUCCAUUAACACCAAUCGCGUUUGAAUUCAAACUAGAAGUUAUUCUGUGUUAAGAGUUGUGUAGAUCCUUGGUUUAUUUUGCGCAAAAAACUCUUUAGCUGUCACUAGGUGUCGAGCUUGGUUUUCUUUUAAUCUAUUGGUGGAUUUGCUGCUAUUAUUGUCUCUUGCUUACCUACUCAUACGUGUUUCUUCUUUGCUGUAAUUCCAGGUACACACACAUGAACCCGAUCUGAUGUAACCAUGUUUUGAAAUCGAAAUGAUAAGCAUUCCAUGCAUUCUUCCUUUUAAUUGAAUCUGGUUGGCCUUCAAUAAUGUAGAAUCGUGUAGUCUUAAACGAUUUGUAAUAUCUGGUGUAUCUUAGUUUGAACUGUAUGCAUAGACCAUUUUGAGUACUAGUAGGAUGAUAUAUCUUAUGUAGUAAUGUUUAGAUUGAUUAGUUUCUUACACUUAAUUAAAUAGUAGUGAUAGUACGUAUGCACUUAUGCAGAUUUGUAUAAAUAAGUCUAUCAUUUUGGUUAAAACUUGAUUUUCAACAUGUGAAUCCUGAAAUUUGAUAAUUCCUGCUUUAAGAUUUAGGAGUUGUGUAUUACCAUGCUAAAUAUUUAGAUUGUUAAAGCAACACAACACAAAUAUUAACAAAGUUAACUUAUAACGGCUGUAGCGUUGUAAUUUCUGGAUUUUGAUCCUUGAUUCAUGAUUGGUGUUUAUGUUGUUUCCUCCAGUUUCUGGGCUCCAAUUGUUGGGCCCAAAUGAUUACCGCCCGAGAUCAAUAAAUGUUGAGCCUUCUGGGUUAGUCUUCCGGACAAUGCGCCCAAAUGCGAAAUCAGUACAGAAAAACAUACUGAAGAUAUGCAUGUUGAACGUUUUUGAGGUAAAUCAUUAACAUGUGAAUUAAUUAGAACUUCUCCUUUAUUUUACAGACGUCAUAUGAUAGACAAUCGUAGUUACUUUAUGUUACCUUUCUAAAAGCAAAAGAGGUGCACUACGCCAAACCAAAUCAUACGGUGUGUGGCCUUUUAAUCAUAGUAAAAUGCUUAGAAAUCCGGGAGAUGCCGUUUAGCGAAUUUUGAGGUUUUCCCACGAAGUUAAAAACGCGUAGCUGCUUUAGGCACAUUAUUUUAAUAAUUUAUCUUCCUUAAUUACGGUUGCACAUUUAUGUGACCCAAAUCCAAAUCCCGAUGAAGUUGAAAGAUAUCAAAAACUACGUGCACAUUUAUGUAACAUGGUUUGCGAUAUAUUUUAGCGACAUCGCAAAUUUCCUUAAAAAGCAUCAAAAGCGGUGUCAGUAAUUAAAUUGCAUUUUAGGAUGAACAUGGGUAAAAUCAUAUUCUUAGCCACUUAUAAUAGUUUAAGCGACCAUGCUAGAACCAUGGGAUCCGAGGGUGCCCAACACCUUCCCUCGGGUAACAAGAAUUCUUCUGGUUCGAAGACUCCAUUUGGGCAGUCGAAAUUUUCCUCGAUCUGGGAUUCAAACAAACUGGUGACUUAGGACACCAAAAGACAAACCUAUCCCAAGUGUAGACUCUAAAUAAAUAAAUAAAUAAUCUCAUUUCAAAUAAUGUCACUUUAAUUGGAAAACUCCCUUAUACGUGUCAUCAUUCGGGGUAAUUGUGUAAAAAGGAAGUGUGACAGCUCUGGCGACUCUGCAGGGGAUCGAACCCAGAAUCUCUGGUUCAGGGUACAAGAAUUCGAGCUUAGGAUAACUGUUAUAUUUAGCUUUUUUCUGAUUUCAUUACAUGUUCCAUGUUAAGUGCUAAAUCCUUUUACCGCAUUGAUAUUAUCUGAACUGUAUAAACUGCUACGAAACCCUUCACUGCUCACCUUCGGGGAUGUGCUUACUUGUUAAGACUCUCUAUUCUGUUAGUGUCAUACCUGAAAAUAAGAAAAGGCCGGACAAGUUACUAAGCCAGAUGGCCUUUUGGUUCCCAGUACGUAGCCUCCUCCUCGACUCGGGUUGUCCGCUCGGUUGCACAGUCUAUACCCUAUACCAAGGUUUUUUAACUUAGAAUAACAUGACUUCAUGCAGGAUCCCUAGUUGGAACGCUUAUUUGCACCAUACGUUUGACUUAGGGGGCUCAACACAGGGGUUAGAUCCGUCUAGGACAAGUGACCAGAAAUAAAAGACCAUUCUGAUGCACUUUACCUGCUACUUGUGCAUUUAUUUGCUUUGGAUUCGCAUGUUGACCGGCUUGUGAACAAGGAGAGUAGAUUGAGGAAAAUAGUAGUAUUAGGGUGACCACUUGUAAAACCUAUGCUCAAAUAGCACCGAAAUGCUGCCGGAUUUUUCAAAAACAAAAAAAAAACAAAAGAAAAAAACAAACAAAAGAAAAUGGGGGUCUUUCAAUAAUAUUUUGGUUUUGAUAAAUUGCUUUAACCGAACUACGCCGGUUUGAUUCUCGUCCGGAGCGAGAUACGCAGGAAACCCCCAUCGGGUCCAACCUCCCUUUUGCAAAAAUAACCAAAAAAAGGAAAAUAAUUGGCCAUUUUUAAUUAUUUUCAUAAAUAAAUCGGGUGAUGUCGUCACUGCCAGAAACAGCCGAAUGUUACCACAAGGGACGCUGGAAGACUGAUUCUGCACAAAUAGCCACCUCUGAGUCUUAUUUGACCGGCAAGAGAGCACAGCCUUAGAAGAACAUGCAGGGCUUGAGUGGGCAAAAGAGCGUUUCCUACAUAGAUCUGUGCAUGUUCCCGCAUGUACAUCUUCCCCUGGGAUUUAAAAUGCCGAAGUUUGAAAAGUACAAUGGUCAUGGUGACCCCAUUGAUCAUUUGAAAAAGUACUGCAACCAAUUGCGUGGGGCAGGUGGAAAAGAAGAACUGUUGAUGGCAUACUUCGGGGAGAGUUUGGUAGGCAUCGCUUAAGAAAGGUACAUGGACUAAGAUAUCGCACGAUUGCAUAUUUGGGAUGAUCUUGCCCGGGAUUUCAUAAGGCAAUUCCAGUAUAACAUUGACAUUGCCCCGGACAGAAAUUCUUUGGCCAACCUAAAAAAGAAACCUUCAGAAUGUUUUAGAGAAUAUGAUGUCAAGUGGCAUGAGCAAGCAUCGAGAGUAAAUCCGCCCAUGGAUAAGAUAAAGAUGGUCAUUGUUUUUAUCCAGGCACAGGAAGAAGAUUAUUUUCAAAAUAUGAUGUCAGCAAUAGGCAAACCUUUCGCGGAAGCAAUCAAGAUCGACGAGAUGGUAGAAAAUGGUUCGAAAACAGUAAGAAUUCUGAGCCAGUCAGCCAUAAUGGCAACCUCAUAGUCCAUCCAAGGCGGGGCAGGAGGAGUCGCAAGAAACAAAAAGAAAGAAGAAGCUUCAAUGGUAGCCUCCGGUAUAAGAAGACACCAUCCCCCAGGCCCAUAUUCUUAGAAAGGACCUCUCAACACUACUAUCCCCAUCAAGACAUGCAUUAUGUUCCCCAACCUUAUGCAGUGGCCCCCAGAAAUGAGCCUCCCCAAAACCACUAUAAUCCUCGCCCUCCCCAAAAUAAUUUUCUUCCUAGGGAGCCGCCCAGAAGACAAAACUUUACACCGAUAGAGGAGUCUUAUUCCAGCUUAUUCCCAAAACUGGUCCAGAUGGGUGUCUUGCAGCCCGUGCCCCCGAACAGGUAGAACCCCGAGUCACCUUCUUAUCAACGGGGUGUACGUUGUGCUUACUAUUCAGGAGCUAAAGGACACAACACCGAAAAUUUUAGGACUCUAAAGCGAGCUGUCGAGGAUCUAAUAGAACAAAGGAAAGUAGUGUUGAGAGAUGAAGAUGUCCCGAACGUAACUAAUAACCUGUUACCGGCCAACAACGGGGUAGUCAUCAUGAUGAUUUGCAAGGACAAAGAAUUUGAUCCUGCUCUGAAAGUCAUAAUAGCCAUUGCUGAUGUAGGUAGAAAGCCAAAGGUUACCCCCAAAAAGGUUGAAGAAAGGAAUUGAGUGAAGCCAAGCACUCGGAAGCAGAAAAGAAGGUUGAGGUUUAAAUUGAGACGGCACCUGUCAAUGAAACUGUCCUUUACAUCCCACGGGGUCAUUAAGAAAAACAGCCCACUCUGAGUCCCCCAAGAAGAUUCGAGUUGAACAAGAUGAUAUACGUACCCAAGGGAUCUUAUGUGGUGCAAGGAUCGAUUAAACCGCCAAGGGUGAAUGAGCCUGUGGUAAUCGGUCGCCCGCCUCAGAAGCCAAUGACAAACCCUUGUGCAGUCCCGUGGAACUAUCAAGAAACAAUAGUAACAUACAACGGCAAAGAAAUCACUGGGAAAAAUCAAAAAGGCUACCUUGCAAAGAAAUAUUCGGACCUGGAAGAGGUGAACAAUGCAACCAAAAGGCGAUUCCCACCCAAAAAACCUGUAAAUGCCUAAGAGGCGGAGGCCUUCUUUGGAAAGAUGAAAAUACGGACUACUAAGGUAGUCGACCAGCUCCGGAAGUCUCUCGAGAAAGUCUUUUUAUUAUCAUUGCUGAUGAAUUCUCCAGAGCACCAGAAAGUGUUAGACAAAACUUUAAAUGAAGCUUACGUGCUGGUUCAAACCUCUGUGGAACAACUGGAGAAAAUGGAAGAAAGAUUCUUCACUUUUAAUCAGAUUACAUUCAGCAAGAAUGAUUUGCCUCCGGAGGGAGCUGCCUAUAACAAAGCCCUGAAUCUCACCGACAAAUGCGAAGGCUAUUACGUAAAAAGAGUAAUGAUAGAUGGAGGUUCCGGGUGGACAUAUGCCCACUGUCAACAUUGCAAAGAAUGGAAAUCGGGGCAGAGAGGAUUCACACCAAUAAUGUGUGUGUCCGAGCUUUUGAAGGAAUUAAAAGAGACACCAUAGGAGAAAUUGACUUGGUAUUGACCAUUGGUUCGGUCGAUUUUGAGGUAACAUUUCAAGUAGAUAUGGACACGUCAUACAACUAUCUCCUAGGAAGACCAUGGAUUCACGCAGCAGGAUAUGUGCCUUCACUCUGCAUCAAAUUUUGAAGUUUGAAUAUGAGAACCAGGAAAUCGUGGCCCAUGGAGAAGAUGAAAAAUCACUUUACCGUGAUCCCUCCAUCCCCUGCCUCGAAGCUAAAAAAGGUAGUGAGCAUAUAGUUUACCAGGUUUUAGAAAGCGUGGUAGUUGAUCAACACGAAUAAGGAAAACCAUUUCCCCAGCCUUUCUCUCCAAUGCCUCAAUCAAGGUGGCAAGAGAGAUGAUACGUCAAGGAUUUAAACCAGGUAAGGGACUUGGAAGUUCUCUAUAAGGCAUAAAUGAGCCAAUCACUUUGCCCACCACAGAGAAGUUUUUUGGGCUAGGUUUCCACCCAACACCAGAGGGUAUCACCUGGGCCAACCGUAGAAAACGUAAUGGAUGGGCUUUACCACAACCCCUACCCCACUUAUACGAAACAUUUGUGAAGCCAAAGUACAGUGAGGAAGAAGAAGACGAGACCUUCACAACGGAGGAAAUUGAAUAAAUAUGUGGAGCCAUGAGGAAAUUAUUGUAUGAAGACAACAUGGUCUUGCUUGGAGAAGGCUCAAGCACUGUUGAGGUGCUCUACAUGGGACUGGAUGCCAAGUUGCAAAACUGGAAAGCUACGCCUUUUCCAGUCAGGCGGGAGGCCCGGUAGUCCUACCUUGCCACUUUUUCUUGCAUCACGAGUUAUUUUAAGGCAUAGCUCGGGUGUUUUUCCAUUCGUAUUUUGUCCUUUAAAUUCCAAAUGUAAACCCUGUUAUCUUAGAAUUUCAAAGAAAUGAAAUCAAUAUUUCAUUGUCUACACUCCUCUAUAUUUAUUUGAUUUUGUUUUUCUUUUAUUUAAUUUUUCUUUCAGUUCAAUUAAUGCGGCUUUAAAUAAUAUGACAUGCUCACGGACUUCAUGCCCCGACCCGAACAUGCCGCCUAUUUGUGAAACAAUAAAUCAAGAACCAGAGUAUGAUGAAGAAGAGGCUUUUAGCUAAAUCAACCGAGAGUUAGAAAAUUUUGAAAAUAAACCUAAGACGAACUUAAAUGAUACCGAACCGGUUAAAUUGGGUGGUCCCGGCGAAACUAGGAAAACUAAAAUAAGCAUCCAUGUGAAUAAGGGAAUCCGGGACUCACUGGUUCAACUUCUUUUUGAAUUCAAAGAUGUGUUUGCUUGGUCUUACAACAAUAUGCCUGGGUUGAGUGUUGAUUUGGUGGUUCAUAAGUUGCCUACAUACCCCGAAUGCCCUCNNNNNNNNNNNNNNNNNNNNNNNNNNNNNNNNNNNNNNNNNNNNNNNNNNNNNNNNNNNNNNNNNNNNNNNNNNNNNNNNCCCGAGUGCCCUCCAGUCCAACAAAAACAAAGAAAGUUCAAACCUGAUAUCAGCGAUAAGAUCAAAGAGGAGAUCACAAAAUAGUUAGAGGCGGGAGUAAUCCGAGUGAUUUGAUAAACCACAUUGUUGGCCAAUGUGGUCCCAGUACCGAAGAAAGAUGGGAAAACCCAAGUAUGUGUAGACUACAGAGAUUUGAACAAGGCGAGUCCCAAAGACAACUUCCCUUUGCCUAACAUCCACAUCCUUGUUGACAACUGCGCCAAACACGAUAUUCAGUCCUUUGUAUAUUGCUAUGCAGGAUACCACCAAGUGUUCAUGAAUGAGGAAGAUGCUAAGAGAACUGCUUUUACCACACCUUGGGGAACUUAUUGUUAUAGGGUUAUGCCUUUCGGUUUAAAGAACGCCGGGGCAACAUAUAUGAGGGCUAUGACCACCAUUUUUCAUGACAUGAUGCAUCAAGAGAUAGAAGUAUAUGUGGACGAUGUGAUUAUCAAGUCCAAGACUCAGGGUGACCAUGUACGGGACUUAAGAAAGUUCUUUGAAAGGCUUCGCAAGUAUGAUUUGAAAUUGAAUCCAGACUCAGGAUGAUCAUGUAAAGGACUUAAGAAAGUUCUUCGGGAGGCUUCGCAAGUAUGAUUUGAAAUUGAAUACAGCCAAGUGUGCAUUCGGGGUUCCAUCUGGCAAACUUCUAGGAUUCAUUGUCAGCCGAAGAGGUAUUGAGUUGGAUCCAACCAAGAUAAAAUCCAUUCGAGAGCUACGUCCUCCAAAAACCAAGAAGGAUGUAAUGAGCCUGUUGAGAAGACUAAAUUACAUUAGCCGAUUCAUCGCCCAGCUGACUUCUACAUGCGAGCCCAUAUUAAGACUAUUGAAAAAGGACGCAGCAAUUAAAUGGACUGAUGAGUGUCAAGAGGCUUCCAAAAGAAUCAAAAAUUACAUGUCCAACCCACCAGUCUUGGUCCCCCCGGAACCAGGAAGGCCAUUGUUUCUUUAUUUAACAGUCCUGGAGAGCUCCUUUGGUUGCAUUCUUGGGCAACAUGAUGCCACGGGAAAGAAGGAGCAAGCCAUAUAUUACUUGAGCAAGAAGUUUACCAGUUACGAGGCCAAAUACACGCUGCUAGAAAGAACCUGUNNNNNNNNNNNNNNNNNNNNNNNNNNNNNNNNNNNNNNNNNNNNNNNNNNNNNNNNNNNNNNNNNNNNNNNNNNNNNNNNNNNNNNNNNNNNNNNNNNNNNNNNNNNNNNNNNNNNNNAGCUCAGAAGCUGAGGCAUUACUUGCAAGCCCACACCACCUACCUCAUAACUAGGCUGGACCUGUUAAGGUAAAUAUUCCAAAAACCGAUGCCCACAGGACCAUUGGAAAAAUGGCAAAUCCUACUCACUGAGUUCGGCAUAGUCUAUGUCACUCAUACUGCAAUGAAGGCUCAAGCAUUAGCAAAUCAUCUGGUCGAGAACCCAGUUGACGAUGAGUAUCAACCUCUGAAUACCUAUUUCACUGAUAAAGAAGUGAAUUUGAUGGAGGUAACAUCUGAAGAUAUCUCUGCUUGGAAAAUGUUUUUUGAUGGAGCAGCAACUGCGAAAGGCAUACGAAUUGGGGCAAUUUUAAUCUCACCCAUUGGUCAACAUUACCUGGCUACAGCAAAGCUCCGGUUUUUCUGCACCAACGAUAUAGCUGAAUACGAGGCUUGCAUCAUGGGCAUGAAUAUGGCCAUCAACCAAGACGUUGAGGAAUUGUUAAUCAGGAGGGAUUCAGAUUUGAUUAUCCGACAGGUCCAAGGAGAGUGGGAAACAAAAGACGUCAAACUCAUCCCCUAUCGACAGCAUGUGGAAGAUCUCAGCAAACGGUUCAAGUCGGUGCAAUUCAGGUACAUUCCUCGUUGUCACAAUGAGUUAAUAGAUGCGCUCGCAACUCUGGCUUCCAUGCUGCCCUACCCUGGAAAUGCCUGCGUCGAUCCUUUGGAAAUCCAAAUCAAGGAAAGGCAUGGGUAUUAUAAUGUGACUGAGGCAGAAUCCAGCACCCAGCCCUGGUAUUAUAAUAUCAAGUAAUUUUUGAAAACACAAGAGUAUCUCGAGCAUGCUACCGGGGAGCAAAAGAAACCAUCCGACGGCACGCGAGUAGUUUCUUCUUGAGUGGUGAUACCUUAUACAAGAGCACCCCAGAUCUCAACUUGCUGAGAUGUGUUGACACUGAGGAAGCUGGGAGAAUUAUGCAUAGGUACACAUAGGAGUGUGUGGACCUCAUAUGAACGGGUAUGUACUGGCAAAGAAAAUUUUUCGGGCAGGGUAUUACUAGAUGACCAUGGAGAAAGAUUGUUUCAGUUUCGUUUGGAAGUUUCAUCAAUUUCAGGUGCACGGUGAUUUAAUUCAUGCACCGCCAACUGAAUUGCAUCAUAUGCCAGCACCUAUGCCAUUCGCUGCCUGGGGCAUAGAUGUUAUAGGACGAUUGAGCCAAAAGCCUCAAAUGGACAUAGAUUCAUAUUGGUUUCUAUUGACUACUUCACAAAAUGGGUUGAAGCCAUCACACUUAAGUCUGUCACCAAGAAAGCUGUGGUAGAUUUUGUGCUUUCCAACAUCAUUUGUCGUUUCGGUAUCCCCGCAACCAUCAUUACAGAAAACCCAGCCAAUCUGAACAGUCGUCUGAUGGAAUCGCACUUAAGUCCGUCACCAAGAAAGUUGUGGUAGACUUUGUGCAUUCCAACAUCAUUUGCCGCUUCGCUAUUCCUGCAACCAUCAUUACAGACAACACGACCAAUCUGAACAGUCGUCUGAUGGGAGAAAUAUGUGAACAAUUCAAGAUAACACAUAGAAACUGUCCAUCACAAAAAAAGCCGGUAGACUUUGUGCAUUCCAACAUCAUUUACCGCUUCGGUAUUCUUGUAACCAUCAUUACAGACAAUGCAGCCAAUCUGAAUAGUCGUCUGAUGGGAGAAAUAUGUGAACAAUUCGAGAUAACACAUAGAAAAUCCACUCCUUACCAUCCCAAAGCCAAUGGUGCCGUCGAAGCAGCUAAGAAGAACAUCAAGAAGAUUUUGAGAAAAAUGAUUCAAAGUUCAUGACAAUGGCAUGAAAAGCUGCCUUUUGCAUUGCUAGGAUAUCGCACCACAGUGCGCAUAUCGGUAGGGGCAACUCCGUAUUUACUGUCUAUGGGACUGAAUCCGUCAUACCUGCAGAGGUAGAAAUCCCUUCACUCCGGGUAAUUGUCGAAGUAGAAAUUGAGGAUAGCGAGUGGGUUAAGACUCGGUUGGAGCAGUUGUCAUUAAUUGAUGAAAAGCGAAUGGCUGUGGUUUGUCACGGGCAGUUGUACCAACAAAGAAUGGCCCGCGCUUACAACAAGAAAGUGCGCCCCAUGAAUUUCUAAGUCGAAUAGCUGGUAUGAAUGGCUGCAGUUUGUCACGGGCAGUUUUACCAACAACGAAUAGCCUGCGCUUACAACAAAAAAGUGCGCCCUAGGAAUUUCAAAGUCGGACAGCUUAUAUUAAGUCGUAUUCUCCCUCACCAUCAGGAAUCUAAUGGAAAUUUUGCUCCGAACUAGAAAGGUCCAUACAUUAUCAGAAAGAUACUGCCCAAAGGAGCAUUGUACCUGGGUGACGUUGAAAGAGACGAGCCUGAGACAUUAGUGAUACAGUAAAAAGGUAUUACAUUUGAACUCCCUAUUGCAAUGAUUUUGGCCGGUGGAAAUGACGAAGGCUUUCUUUUCUGCUACCCUAAACACUACUAAUCCUUCACAAACCCCUCGAGCCGAUUAUGUUUCUUUGUUUACCCUCUUUGGAACCCAGAAUUGCUAUUCAAAAUAUAAAAUAGAAAAAAAGAAGAAGAAAAAUGAAUGAUAAAAAAAGAGAAAAAAAAAGAAAAAAAUGAAUAAAAAUGAAUGAUUGAAAACAAAAGAAUAACAAACAAAUUAGUUUAGGAAACACUUCCUGAACUACGUCUAACUUGAUUCUGAAAGGAUAGGUAGGCAGCCUCUCCCUGAGGUUCAGUCAUAUCAAAAUAAAACCCCAAUUACCCAAAAAUAAAACUGGGGUAGAGAUGUAAUAGGUCGGCCAUAAACUCGCCAGAGCGGUUCCAAAGGUGUAAGUUUCCAUCCAAUUUCCUUUACCCAAGAACCUGGCCCAAGUCGUUCUGAUCAAUUGGCCAAAGCAGGGACGUGACAAACACCAUUGUUGGGAUUUGGCACAACUCAAAUUGAGAGAAAUAAAAUGAGAGAGUCUUAUCGGUAAAAACCUUCAGGCAUCAUAAGGUGACGGUGAGUAGAGAAAAAAAAAAUGAGAGAGUUCGUUUAGUGUAAUCCAAAAACAAUUGGGACAAAUGGAAAAUGCAAUCAAAGGAACGACACAAAGGCUAAGAAUAGUGCACCAAUGAUCAACAAAAAGGUGAGGUUCUAUUUACAUCUUUUUCUACAGUUUUAUAAAAACAUGAUAGCAUGGGACUCUGAUCCUUGACUCUUUCCCAAGAUUUAGGGCCACAUCCUUAGUCUUCCCCAGCAUAACUUGUGGACCUCCUCAGCACAACCCAAGGAUCACGCCCCACUCUCCCCAGCAUAGACUGAGAAAUUUCUUUCUUUCAUUCCCCGGCAUAACCUGGGGGUUUCUCUCUAUGUCCCCAGCACAACCUGAGGAGCCUUUUCUUCUCUCCGUUCCCGGCAUAACCUAAGGUUCCUUCUUCUUCCUUUAUUCAGCAUAAUCUGAAGGCUAAACCCCUUCUGUCCCUAGCAUAACCUAAGGGUCUUUCCUUUCUUUCUCUAUCCUUAGCAUAGCCAGAAGGACUUAUGUGGCCUUUCACUCCUUACCAUUCCCCUGGCAUAACCCAGGAAUUUUCUCUUUCCAAUCCCGGCAUCACCCGCGGAUCUCCCUAGCAUAACCUAGGAGUUUUUCUUUCAAUCCCGGCAUAACCCGUGGAUUUCCCUAGCAUAACCUAGGAAUUUUCUCUUUCCAAUCCUGGCAUAACCCGCGCAUCUCCCUAGCAUAACCUAGGAGUUUUUUCUUUCAAUCCUGGCAUAACCCGUGGAUUUCCCUAGCAUAACUUAAGAACUUUUUCUUUCCAAUCCCGGCAUAACUCGCGGAUCUCCCUGGCAUAACCUAGGAUUUCUUCCUUCAAUCAUGGAAUAACCCGUGGAUUUCCCUAGCAAAACCUAGGAAUUUUCUCUUUCCAAUCCCGGCAAAACCCCCGGAUUCCCCUGGCAUAACCCAGAAAUCUUUCUCUCAAUCCCGGCAUAACUCGCGGAUCUCCCUGGCAUAACCCAGAAAUUUCUCUUUCAAAUCCCAGCAUAACCCGUGGGUUUCCCUAGAAUAACCUAGGAAAUUUCUCUUUCAAAUACCGCCAUAACCCGUGGAUUUCCCUGGCAUAACCCAGGAAUCAUUUUUCACCGGCACAACCUGUGGAUUUUUCCUUUCAUAAGCAGCAGGGACCUUUCAUUCCCAUCCCAGCGUAACCCGUAGAUCCUCCUCUUACCCCCAGCAGGGACCCUUUAUCUUUCCCAGCAUAACCUGGCAAUCUUUCCAAAGGAUACACAAUCCCGACUUUUAUUGUUUUCAAUAAAGAAAUAGUUCAUAUUUGUGUUGCAAAUAACUCACGAAAUUUUCCCAGUGAAAAUUGGGGCAGAAAAUUUAGUCUGUUUGUGUGUUUUGGUGUCCAAGCAGGUUUUACCUCAAGGCACGGGAUUCGAGGUGACCAAGAGCGUAAAUAUCAAUCCAGAAUAAAAGAAAAGAAGAAAAGAGCAAAAGAUGCAAACUCAGAAUAUUCAAAGAAGGAAAGGAUGCGGACAACUCAAAGUUUGAUUGAAGUCACAAGUCUCGUAUAUCCCGCUCCAGUCCAAUGUUGAAACAAAAACCAAUACCUACAGCGUGCGAGCGUCAAGAUUCAGAUCGAGGUCUACAGAAAAAUAAGCUAAGACUCGAGAUCAAGCUUCAAGAGAUGUAUAUAUAGGAAUCUCGUAACUCGUAGUAAACAGGACUAGCUAGCUUAGCUUUUGAUUUUCCUUUGGUGUAAUAAGGGGUCAGCAAGCAGUAGCAGAAAAAUCAGCACCGAAAUCACAUCUCAUGGUAGUCUCAGCUACCAAACACUCCAGAACUACACUGACCUGAUUCCUUUAUAGCCAAGGAUAUGUAGGCAACCUUUGAAGCGAGUUCGGUCAGACUUUUUUCCAAAAUGCUUCUCCUGGAGUUUUGAGCAAGCAAAAAUCCCGCAUGACGCUCAUUUAUCUUUGAACGAAAACCCUUCGUGUUUCCGGGCAAAGAGGGGCAGCUGUGAGCACGUCAUUUUUGCCUCGUUAAAAUUACUCCUACAGAAUUCUCAAAGUUAGGAUUUCUCCUUUUAUUAUUCAAUUUUUAGGAUUUAAUUGCGCAUGUUUGUGUGUAUUUUUAUUGGUGCAUGCAUGAUAAUCAUACAAAAUACAAAAAAAUUGCAUGAGCAUUUUAGGAUUUGAUUUUUACAUAAUUUUUCUAGAAUUAAUCAGUAAUUAGGUUUUUGUUUACAAAAUAUAAAAAUCACAAAGAAAACUUGAUUUGUUUUAAUUGUUCUUUUAAAUAAUAGUAAUUUAAUUGUGAUUUAAUAGUUUUGAAUAACUUUUCAGGUUUAAUUAUAGUUGAAUUUUAAAAAUUGAAACAAUUAUUGAAUAAUAGGUAAUUGAAAAAGAAUUAAAAAAGAGAAAAAAGAGAUGAAUCAGGUUGUCCUUACAAUUGGGCCAAAGCUGGAUGGCCCAACACACCCCGACCCAUACAAACCACUCUAAAACCGACCCAAACCCGUCCCUAACCCGGCCUUUCAUUAAGAGACGCCCCAAAAUAACGUUGUUUUGGGGCCAGUAAUCUCAACCAUUCAUAUACCAUCAUCCAACGGCCCUAGAUCAGUCUCGAUAUUAAAUAAAGAUGUCUGAAAUUGUGCCAAACCCGAGAGACCAAAUAUCCUUUCCUCGUACCUAUCGUCCACUGAUACUCCGCCUUACAGUCGCUGGCCGGAAAUCGUCGCCAGCGGCGGCGAUGCACCAAUACCUCCCAAAAAUACACCCCUGAACCAACAUUCCCUCCUUUUUCCAAUGCCCAAAAAAACCAACUUUAAACUAUGAGCCAAACCUUUCGAAUAUAGGAAUUUGUGGACGCCUAUGACGGCGCCACCGCCGAAACCCUCCAAAAAUAAGUCCCAGGUUCCUCACCCCAUCCCCAUAAUGGAUCCAGCCUCAGUUUCAUUCAAAUUUUAGCCAAUUACCUCGAAUAUUCAUUCAAAGCUCCGAUCAAAUCCUCAACCUCCCCGUAAAUCCCUGAAGUUGACACCAGAUAACCCUCUCACCUCCCUCUCCAUGAAUCUAUAACCAGUAACCCUCGAAUAUGACCGGUUCAUGUCAAAAAUCAAAUCCAAAAAACCGGUCUGAAGCCUAACUCAUUCCAAACCCAACCAAUCUUACACCCAUUACUGUUUUCACCCUCUUCCUCUGAAAUUUCUGUUCAGCCUCUCUCAAAUGUCAAAAGACCCUCUCAAAUUUGAAAUCAAGGGAUGGCCGGAAACCCUAAAAUUCAAAGGCCAUGGGCUUUUGGCCAUGUUGGUCGUGAAGCUAAGUUACCUUGUUCAUGUUUUCUUUUCAUCUCGUUGUUACAUGUUUGUUCUACGCUAUUUGUUCUUGCUUAUCUGUUAAUGAUUUUCUGUUAAUUUAUUUGGAAUUUUGGUCUAUUUAGAGUUAUGUUCCUCUGUUUAAAGUCGUUGAUAAUCCACUUUGAAUGAUUCCUUAUCAAUUGGACUUCUAGAUUUUUCUUUUUAGAUUGAGUCAUUCUGUGUUGAUCCAUGAACAGCAUGUUUGAGUAAUUCGAAUUGAGAAGUAGAGGAUUGAGUUGGUUUGAAAAGAAAUGAUUAUUUCAUCAUGUUUUAGGAUUAAUUUGUGGUUUGUGAUUACAUGAUUCUUGUUCAGCAUUUAGUCAGUAUUGAGGUCUUCAAUUUUUUUUGAUUUUGUUUGCUUUUGACUUUAGUUAAAAUAAUUAAUGAAACUUCAGUCUCCUUUACAUCUAGUGUCCAUGUUUAUUAUUACAUUUUGGCUCAGUUUAGUUAAGGUGAUAAUCAUACUGGGUUGGGUCAGGGUUAAAUCAUGCUAAAUUAACUAUAGUCAGUUUUUGACCAACUUGAUAAGAAGUAGGGUGUAGUUGGUUAGGCUGAGUAAUUGAGGGGAAAGGACAAGGGUAAUAUGGGUAUUUGGGUAUAGGAAUCUUGCAACAGACCCCUGGAACCUUCUAGUUGGAGGUUCAAAGACUAAUUUCUGGUAAUUUUCUAAUAAGACUUGAGGCAAAAGCUAGAAAACUAGGGACUAAAUGAGCAAUUCUGAGAAAUGGAAAAUGGAGUAGAGAAUAAAACACAAAAGAAAAGGAUUGCCCUACGUCGGUGUUAUAAAUAGGCAAGUGAGUGCCUUCAUAAAAAACUGAAAGAAAAACCCCUAAAGAGUCUGAAAAUCUCUGCAAAAAUUCCCAAGUGUUUUGAAGUCUCAAAAUCCCUGGAAAAAUCCUUCUGAGCUAGCACAAUAGUAGGUCUGAUUCCAGAAAAUCUAUUAAAACUAAAAAAACACAAAAGGCAAAGGAAUGCUAGAAUUAUUGUUCCAUUAACAUCAAUCACGUUUGAAUUCAUCCUGGAAGUUAUUCUGUGUUAAGAGCUGUGUAGAUCCUUGGUUUAUAUUGAGCAAAAAACUCUUUAGUUGUCACUGGGUGUCGAUCUUGGAUUUUUUUGAAUCUAUUGGUGGAUUUGCUGCUAUUAUUAUCUCUUGCUUACCUACUAAUACGUGCUUCUUCUUUGAUGUAAUUCCAGGUACACACACAUGAACCCGAUCUGAUGUAACCAUGUUUGAAAAUCGAAAUGAUAAACAUUCCAUGAAUUCUUCCUUUGAACUGAGUUUGGUUGGUCUUCAAUAACGUAGAAUCGUGUAGUCUUAAACGAUUUGUAAUAUCUGGUGUAUCUUAGUUUGAUCUACGUUUGUAAACUUGGGACUCUGUAAUACUGACUGUACCUGAACUGUAUGCAUAGACCAUUUUGAGUACUAGUAGGAUGAUAUAUCUUAUGUAGUAAUGUUUAGAUUGUUUAGUUUCUUACACUUAAUUAAAUAGUAGUGAUAGUACGUAUGCACUUAUGCAGAUUUGUAUAAAUAAGUCUAUCAAAUAGAUUAAAACUUGAUUUUCAACAUGUGAAUCCUGAAAUUUGAUUAUUCUUGCUUUAUGAAUUAGGAAUUGUGUAUUUACCAUGCUAAACAUUUAGAUUGUUAAAGUGACACAACACAAAUAUUAACAAAGUUAACUUAUAACGGCUGUAACAUUGUAAUUUUUGGAAUUUGAUCAUUGAUUCAUGAUUGGUGUUUAUGUUGUUUCCUCCAGUUUCAAGGCUCCAAUUAUUGGGCCCAAAUGAUUACCGCUGAGAUCCAUAUAAAUGUUGAACCUUCUAGGUUAGUCUUCCGAACAACGAGCCCAAAUGCGAAAUCGGUACAUAAAAACAUACUGAAGAUAUGCAUGAUGAACGGUUUUUGUGGUAGAUCAUUAACAUGUGAAUUAAUUAGAACUUCUUCUUUAUUUUAGGGCGACAUAUGAUAGACAAUUGUAGUUGAUUUAGGUUACCUUUCUAAAAGUAAAAGAGGUGCACUACGCCAAACUAAAUCAUACGUUGUGUGGCCUUUUAAUCAUAGUAAUAUGCUUAGAAAUCUUGGAGAUGUCGUUUAGCGAAUUUCACGAUUUUCCCACGAAGUUAAAAACGCGUAGCUGCUUUAGGCACAUUAUUUUAAUAAUUUAUCUUCCUUAAUUAGGGGUGCACAUUUAUGUAACCCAAAUCCAAAUCCUGAUGAAGUUGAAAGAUAUCAAAAACUAUGUGCACAUUUAUGUGACGUGGUUUGCGAUAUAUUUUAGCGGCAUCACAAAUUUUCUUAAAAAGCAUCAAAAGCGGUGUCAGUAUUUAAAUUGCAUUUUAGGAUGAACAGGGUAAAAUCAUAUUCUUAGCCACUUAUAAUAGUUUAAGCGACCAUGCUAGAACCACGGGAUCUGAGGGUGCCUAACACCUUCCCUCGGGUCAACAGAAUUCCAUCCUAAGAAUUUCUGGUUCGCAGACUCCAUUUGGCACUCAAAAUUUUCCUCGAUCUGGGAUUCAAACAAAGUGGUGACUUGGGAAACCAAAAGCCAAACAUAUCCCAAGUGGAGACUUUAAAUAAAUAAAUAAUCACAUUUCAAAUAAUGUUACUUUAAUUGGAAAAACUCCCUUAUAUGUGUCAUCAUUCGGGGUAGUCAUGCAAAAAAGAGGUGUAACAAUGAACAUAUGAAAGAAAUGCCCCAAAAUAAGUUAUGGAAAUUUUGUGAAAGACUAUAUGGUUCAUUUAUUUGAUGAUGUGGUAUCCAGUUAAAACCUUUGAUUUACUCUUGUGAUUUCCUUGUUCUUGCUUCAUAGUUCUUUCUAGUAAAAUGGUAUUUAGUUAUACAUACUAGUACUAUUCCAUGAUACUAAACAUCCCUUUUGCUGGGGGAAUUAUAUUUUUAAAUGAAUGUAGGUGGCUCCAUAGCGGAUAGUGUCGAUCGUGUGUAGCGGAGCAUCCUUCUUCUCAAUAUCUUGGUGAGCCCCCUUCUCUUCAAGGGGCUAUAUUGCACAUCUUUGUAUUGUGGACUUUCUCUUUUGAGGUAUAAUCGAGGCCUUGUUGCUCAAGAUCUUGGUGAGCCCCCUUCUCUUCAAGGGGCUAUAUUGCACAUCUUUGUAUUGUGGACUUUCUCUUUUGAGGUAUAAUCGAGGCCUUGUUGCCGGCGCUGUCACGUUUAUCUUUGAUAUCCUUAAAGGCUUCGUAGACAUAUAUGUGGGUCAUGUGAGGGUGUUGGAUGGGUGUACUAACUACGAUGUAAUUCUAGCUCUCGCCUCUUCAAGGUACAAAUGCAUGAAAUCUUGGAACUCAUCAGCGGUUUAAUGUUGUGUUUUAAAAUGAAUUAGUAAUGUGGUAUGGACUAUCUCCCUUUGUUGAAUAAAUGAAGCAUAAUCCCCAUAUUCGUAUUGAGUUGGGUAGGUAGUGUUUGGUAGGACUUGCUCAAUUGGUAUGAUGCGAUUGAGCGCCAGUCGCGCCUCCCGAGGUUUGGGGCGUGAUAAUAAAAUAUUGAAUCUCUGAACCAUGCACAGAGUAAACCUCCCUUCAAGUCAUUCACUGCUCCGAUACGUAGGCAAACAUCCUACCAUUAUAUCAAUACUGCGGGACAACCAUUUAGAAGCAUCAUGGAAACUUGUGCCUAGCCUCAGAGCUCUCAAAAGUACCGCUACUAAGCUGAAACGACAGAACAUCCUUCCAUAAGGUGACGAUAAUAGCUCAAAUAACCCCGCAUGGAGAAAUACCCCGCACAUUCGUAGUACCAGUACAAUUUACUUGCUCGUCGAUUCAUAACCAGCGUUGCGCGUUGCAUAAGAUUGAGUGGAAAGGAAAAGAAGGUAUAAGCCUCAAAGGAAUCAAACCGCACGACGAGGAAUCAAGAAAGGAAGUACUCCUAAUAGCCCUGCAGCCUCCCAAAGAUAAGUACAGACAUCUCUGUACCAAUACGCGAGACUCUACUAGACUUGCUCAUGACUCGUGAGACCUAAGGGAACCUAGUACUCUGAUACCAUGUUGUCACGAUCCAAAAUCAAAUAAGGGUCGUGAAGGUGCAGGACACCAUUGUCAAGCAAGCCAACAACAAAUAACUAGUAACUUAUCGUUUUAAAUGUUUCUGAAGUUACUACUUUUAUACGUUUAAGUAAUACUUAAUAAAUUCUACUGAACAAAUAAUGAAAAUAUUUAACAAUUUUUAAAUCUCAGAAUAAACCCAUGUCAUCGUUUAUACCAUGAAAAUAUAUGUAUAAACGAUAAAAAGGAGAAUUGAAAAUUUCCUAUAAAAUAAAGAAUUGCUUACUUGCUUUAUUCAAUUGAAUUAUAAUCAUGUUCAAAAAGAGAAGUUACUAGUUAUUUGUUGAUGGCUUUCCUGACAGUGUUGUCCGGCGCAAUCACGACCCUUAGUAAAUUUUGGGUCGUGACAAAGCUUGUGUGUAUAGGAUUUUCUGUCCGUACUCUAUCAAAUUCUAGUAUAGUUUAUGAUAUCGUCCCACAGAGAUUGGACAAUCUAAGCUAUUGUCAUGACCCAGAUUUCCCACCAACGAGAGUCGUGAUGACGCCUACUAAUGUGAGCUAGGCGAGCCAAUUAUUCGAACAAUUUGACCUUUCACCCAUUUUAUAUCCUUUAAUAAUUAUCGAGAUAUAACAUUUAAACAACGAACUUUAACAUAUGCGGAAGAAGAAAAAUAAUUAUCUGAACAUAAGCACCUAGUACAACUAUUUAAGUUUCGACUACCCAACCUGGUGUCACAGUUUCACAGAUGGUCUAAGAAUUCUACAAAUAAGGCCCGAAAGAAUUAAAUACAACGCUGUCUUUGGAAUUACAUGUAAGAAAUAGGAAAGUAGAUAGAAGGAGACGCCAGGGCCUGCGAGCACCUGCAGGCCACCUCGGGUCGCCUGAUGAACAAGAUCCAGCAAUCUCACUGUGGUCUUGAAUCCGCAACACUGGGGUCUGCACAAAAAAGUGUAGAGUGUAGUAUCAGCACAACCGGCCGCAUGUGCUGGUAAGUGUCUAGCCUAACCUCAGCGAAGUAGUGACGAGGCUAGGACCAGACUCCAGAUAAACCUGUGCAGUUAUAUAAUAUACAGCGGAAAAAUAAGCAAGUAAUGAACAAUUAAAGCUGGGGAAGGGAAGCAUGCUACGGGGAUAACAGAUAAUACAUAAAUUUCAAGAGAAUAAUAAGGAACAUCAAUAAUUUAUCUCUAAUACGGAUGGGGAAAAUAAAAGCAGACGUCGUCGUAUGUACACAUCUCGUUGCAGGUGUGCAAUCCUAUCCCAUUUCUCAAUGUUUCCAUGGUAGGUGUACCACCCGCUCCCUACUUCAUCAAACCUCGUGGUAGGCGUACCACCCGCUCCCAUUUCAUUAUAUCAAUAGUUCUUCCAAAUGAUAUUUACUCUAAUAACACAAUAAUUAAUACGAAUUCAUAAUACAAUAAGUACAGAAUAAUUAUAAUUCACCGAGGAAAACAAAUGAUGAGAAGUAGCAAUUAAUUAUGGGCUUUACGAAGCAAUUAGGAAUAUUUAGUAUUCAAUGUGUCGAAUGUCAAGUAGCAAUUAAAUCACAUAAUCACAUAGCAAUUAUGGCAUAAAUUCAUGACAUGAUGUUGCACAAGGAUACCUUGAUUCAAUAAUAACAAGCAACACAAUAAAGGGAGUUGUCAACACAAAGAAUCACAACCAUAGUGGAAUAAGACAAUUAAAUGAACUUGAACUGAUAACAAUAAGAAAUUAUAACAAAUGGAAUAGGUGCACCGCAUCACCCUUCGUGAUUUACUCUCAUCCUCACCAAAUAAUGAUAUAAUAAAAUGUACACGGCAUCACCCUUCGCGCUUUUCCUCACAAAAUGAUGGCACGGAAUGAUCCUUCGUGCAUAAACGCUCAUAUCAUGACACAGAAUGUUCCUUCGUGCAUUAAUAUUCAUAUUAUGGUACGGAAUGUUCCUUCGUGCAUUAGUAUUCAUAGCAUGGCACGGAACGUUCCUUCGUGCAUUAGUAUUCAUAUCACGGCAGGGAAUGUUCCUUCGUGCAUUAAUAUUCAUAUUAUGGCACGGAAUGUUUCUUCAUGCAUUAGUAUUCAUAUUAUGGUACGGAAUGUUCCUUCGUGCAUUAGUAAUCAAAUUAUGGCACAAAAUAUUCCUUCGUGCAUUAGUAUUCAUAUCAUGGCACGGAAUGAUGCUUCGUGCAUUAGUAUUCAUAUCACAAACGUGCACGGCAUCACCAUUCGUGAUUUAUCACUCUUCCUCGCCUAAAAACAAUCACAACAAUGGGGCAAGGGAAUAAACAAACAAAGAUAGGAAUCCCGACAAGGGAACAAUGUCAAAAAUCAAACAGCAAAACAUCCCGUCAAGGGAAUAACCAUUAACUCAUUAGCUUUCUUUCAUUUCUUACCUCAUAUCUCGCUUUAUCUAUUGAGCCAAGGCUCCAUGGAAUUCAUAAUCCUAUAUGCAUUCUCAAUUCGUAUCAAAACCGAGCCAAUGCUCCAUGAAGUCAAGUGAUCAUAAUGUCUUUCACAUGUUCUUUACAAUAUAUAGAAAUCCUCAAUUUAACAUGGAAUUCAGUACUAAAUCAUGAUAAUCACAUUUCAAGGACUCAAGGUCAAGCUAGACACCAAUGUAUAGAUACUCGUCAACAUGCCUAUACACCCUAUCGACCAUUAGCAAGUAGCAAACAAGACUCAACACUUAUUCCCUCAAGCUAAUGUUAGACCGAACACUUACCUCGAUGUCUUUUAACUUACUCUAGCCUCAAUUACAGCUUUACCCCUCGAUUCCUCCACCAAUCCGCUCGAAUAUAGUCACAAUUUACUUAAAUACAUCAACAAAUGCUAAGUGAAAUAAUUUGAAUGCAUAAAAAUGGGUUUCUAAAAGUUUUGUCCAAAAAUUUCUAAAAUACCCCCGGGCCCGCAUGGUCAAAACCCGAGGUUCAAUCAAAAACAUGUUUACCCAUUCCCCCAUGAACUCAAAUAUAUGAUAUAUUUUGAAAUCGGACCUCAAAUUGAGGUCCAAAACCCCCAAUUUUAGAAAACCUAGGUUCUACCAUAAAUUCUCAAAUUUCCUCGUUAAAAUCUUUGAUUGAAGUUGAGAUCAUGUUAAAAGAUGUUAAGGAGUGAAGAAAAUAGUUUAUAAAUCACUUACCAAAUGUUUUGAAGAAGAAGAAUUGCUUGAAAAAUCGCCUCUUAAGUUUUGGGUUUUGGAAAAGUGAGAAAUAACUAAAAAUCCCGUGUAUUUAUACUCUCAGACACGCCCAGCGCGGACUGCGCAAAAAGAAUCUCGGCCGCACUGGUGGAAUGAAGACUUGGUGGCUCUUUGAAGUUUUCCACGCGGACCGCACAAACACGAUCGUGGCCGCACGACUUCCACUACGGCCCGCGCCAAAUGGACUGCGGCUGCGCCAGAGGGUUUCGAGACCUGCAAUUUUCACCACUCUCUGAUUCUUCAUGUGCGUACCGCACAAAGAUGACCGCAGUCGCGCUGGCUAACUUGGGACCCUGCUAUUAUUAAGUCUAAGACCUUCCGUAACCUACUGGAAACUCAUCCGAGCCCUCGGGUUUCCAAGCCAAAUGUACACACCACCUCAAAAAUAACUCAAGGACUUAUUUGUACGAUCAAAUCGUCAAAAUAACAUCAUAUACAUAGAAUCAAGCCCCAAAGCUUAAGAUUUCUUUCAAUUCUUUAAUGAAACCCAAAUUUUCCAUCUUAAGUCCGAAAUACGUCCAAUGACGUCCACUUUCAACCAAACUUUACCAAAAGUGCUUAAAUCACAUAUGAGACUAGUAUCGGGCGUCGGAACCAAAAUACGAGCCCGAUACCAUAGUCUUUUAAUCAAUCCCAUUUUCCAAUUUCUUUAGUUAUUUUCAGGAAACAAUUUCACAUAAAAAUUCAUUUCUCGGACUUGGGGCCUUGGAAUUCGAUUAGGGUCAUAUAUUUUCUAUGGACCCUCCGGGACCUUCAAAUCACAAGUCCGGGUCCCUUUAUCCAAAAUGUUGACCAGAGUCAAUUUUAAUCAUAUUAAUAUCAAAAUUCAAUAUUUUUCACACAGAAUUCAUAUUUAAGCUUUUCGAUUACGUGCCCGGACUGCACACGCAGAUCAAGGCGGCCCUCAAUGAGCCUCAAUGAGGUUUUUAAGGACUCGGAGAUAUGAAAUGAGUAAAGAAACAGGUGAUGACCCUUUGGGUUGUCACAUUCUCCACCUCUAAAACAACCAUUCGUCCUCAAACGGACAAAAGAAAGAAGUACCUAAGUCGGGAAAUAGAUGAGGAUAACGGCUUCGCAUAUUAGACUCGGACUCCCAGGUCGAUGCCAGUAACCGAGCCUCCCCCGGCUCAAACCAUCCAACUGGAGACCAACAUCGUCUACCAUACAAUACCUCAUAAGGAGCCAUCUGAAUGCUGGACUGGUAGCUGUUGUUGUAGGAAAACUCUGCUAACGGCAAAAGCUGGUCCCACGAGCCUCCCAAAUCAAUGACACAGGCUCGGAGCAUAUCUCCCAAUAUCUGAAUGGUCUAUUCGGAUUGCCCUUCCAUCUGAGGAUGAAAUGUUGUGCUCAACUCCACCUAGGUGACCAACUCUCACUCAUCGGCUCUCCAGAAGCGCGAGGUAAACUGCGUACCCCGGUCCAAAAUGAUAGAUACUGGCACCCCAUGAAGGCGAACAAUCUCUCUGAUAUAAACUUCAGCAAACUCUCAGAUGAAUAAGUGGUUGCAACAGGAACAAAAUGUGCUGACUUGGUCAGUUUAUCAACAAUGACUCAAACUGCAUCAAACUUCUUCUGGGUCAACGGGAGUCCAGUAACAAAAUCUACAGUAAUCCUCUGCCACUUCCACUCGGGAAGCUCAAUCCUCUAAAACAGCCUACCAGGUCUCUGAUGCUCAUACUUAACCUGCUGACAAUUCAAACAUCAAGCCACAUAUGCAACAAUAUCUUUUUUCAUUCUGCGCCACCAAUAAUGCUGUCUCAGAUCCUGAUGCAUCUUCGCGGCGCCCGGUGAAUAGAAUACCGAGAUUUGUGGGCCUCCGCUAAGAUCAACUCUCGAAUACCGUUAAUAUCGAGCACACAAACUCGCCCCUGUAAUCUCAAGACACCAUCGUCACCUAAGGUCACCUUCUUGGAACCUCCACGCUGUACCCUGUCUCUCAGGACACAUAAAUGGGGAUCGUUAAAAUGUCGUUCACGGAUACGCUCCAACAAUGAAGAGCGAGCGAUUGUGCAAGCUAACACGGCUAGGCUCAGAAAUAUCCAAUCUCACCAAUCGAUUGGCCAAGGCAUGAACAUCCAAAGCAAGCGGUCUCUGGCUAACCAGAAUAUAAGCAAGACUACCCAUGAUGGUUGACUUCCUACUCAACGCAUCGGCCACUAAGUUGGCCUUCCCCGGGUGAUACAAGAUAGUAACAUCAUAAUAUUUCAACAACUCCAACCACCUUCUCUGCCUUGGAUUCAACUCCUUCUGCCUGAAUAGAUACUGAAGACUCUUGUGAUCCGUGUACACCUCACACGUCACACCAUAUAGAUAAUGCCUCCAAAUCUUCAAAGCAUAAACAAUGGCUGCCAACUCUAAAUCAUGAAGUGGAUAAUUCUUCUCGUGGAUCUUCAAUUGCAUCAAAGCAUAGGCAAUAACUCUGCCAUCCUGCAUCAAUACUGCACCAAGCCCAAUACGGGAAACAUCACAAUAGACUGCAUAAGGCCCUAAACCUGUGGAAAAACCAGUACCGGUGCCGUGGUCAAAACUAUCUUGAUCUUCUGAAAGCUUGCAUCACACACGUCUGACCAUCUAAACUAGGCACCUUCUUGGGUCAACCUGGUCAUAAGGGUUGCAAUAGAUGAAAACCCCUCCAUAAACCGACGAUAAUAGCCUGCUAACCCCAAGAAACUCCGAAUCUAUGUAGCUGAAGCUGGUCGAGGCCAGUUCUUGACUACUUCAAUCUUCCUCGGCUCCACCUGAAUCCCCUUUUGCCGAAAUAAUGUGACCUAUAGAUGCAACCAAAAUCAACCAGAACUCACACUUCGAGAACUUAGCAUAUAACUGGCUAUUCUUCAAAAUCGGAAGAACCACUCUGAGGUGUUGCUCGUGCUCCUCCUGGCUGCGGGAUCACACCAAAAUAUAAUCAAUAAAGACUAUCACGAACAUGUCCAAAUAUGGUCUGAACUCUCGGUUCAUUAACUCCAUGAAACCGGCUGGGGAAUUGGUCAACCCAAUAGACAUGACUAGGAACUCAUAAUGCCCGUACCGAGUGCGGAACGCUGUCUUAGGGAAAUCGGAUGCCCUAAUCCUCAACUGGUGGUAGCCAGAUCUCAAGUCUAGAUUUGAAAACACCUUUGCACCCUAAAGCUGGUCGAACAAAUCGUUAAUUCUCGGCAGUAGAUACUUGUUCUUUAUCGUCAGUUUGUUCAAUUACCGGUAAUCAAUGCACAUCCUCAUCGAACCAUCCUUUUUCCUCACAAAUAACACUAACGCACCCCAAGGCAAAAUAUAAGGUCUAAUGAAGCCCUUCUCUAGCAAAUCCUACAACUGUCCUUUUAACUCUUUCAACUCUAGCGGGGCCAUGCGAUACGGCGGAAUAGAAAUGGGCUGAGUGCCCGGAGCCAGAUCGAUACAAAAGUCAAUAUCCAUGUCGAGCGGCAUACCGGCAGGUCUGAAGGGAAAACCUCAGGAAACUCCCAAACCACGGGUACUGAAUCAAUAGAAGGGACCUCUGCGCUGGAGUCGCAAACAUACGCCAAAUAAGCUACACACCCUUUCUCGACCAUGCGUCGAGCCUUCAAAUAUGAUAUAACACUGCGAGUGGCAUUACCUAGGGUCCCUCUCCACUCCAAACGGGGAAAAUUUGGUAAAGCCAAGGUCACGGUCUUGGCAUGAUAGUCCAAGGUAGCGUGGUAAGGUGAUAUCCAGUCUAUCUCCAAUAUAACAUCGAACCAAUCAUGUCCAGAAGAAGCAAAUCUAUACGAGUCUCAAAUCCGCCAAUAACCACUAUACAUGAACAAUGGAUGCAAUCCGCCACAAUAGAAUCACCCAUCGGCGUGGACACAUAAAUAGGGAACUCAAAGAAUCACUAGGCAUGACCAGAUACGGUGCAGAAUAAACUUGAAGCUUCUCUACCACAUACCAGAACAACACAUGCACCUCCACCUCUAAUACCUUUACCUCCACCUCUAGUAUCUCUACCUCCACCUUUAAUACCUACUCAAGGCCUCCAAAGAUGAAAUUGAUCUAUCACUAGUCUGUGCUGCUACUUAGCUGAAUAAGCGGUACAUGACCUCGCCAUUCACGAAAAGGACAAGAGUACAAGUUUCAAUUUAGCAUUGAGAAACCAACCGGCACGAUAAAAGAGAACAAAUGUGAUGUUUUUCCUAACUCUGUAGCCUCUGGGGGGUAAAUACAGACGUGUUGGGGAGGCACACCUUCACUUCCUUCUUAAUGAAGGGGUUCCCCGGGAGUCUGACCUUGUCCUUUCUUUUAAUUGUCGGGGCCGUCAUGAGUGCCGAAACCUAUUUCGGUAAGAUGAUGAUGGCUCCUUCGGGCGCAUCAAGCUCUGAAGAUCCAAACUGGACGGAAGCCCUGAGAUCUUCUAAAGGGCAGGGAGAGACUUCAGAAAGGGAAAGCACAGGCACAUCGUCGUCCAUCAACCUACAUUGUCACGAUCCGGAUUUCCCACCAUCGGGAGUAGUGAUAGCGCCUACUAAUGUGAGCUAGAAAAGCCAAUUAUUCGAACAAUUUGACCUUUCACCCAUUUUAUAUCCUUUAACAAUUACCGAGAUAUAACAUUUAAACAGCGAAAUUUAACAUAUGCGGAAGAAGAAAAAUAAUUAUCUGAACAUAAACACCUAGUACAACUAUUUGAGUUUCGACUACCCAGACCUGGUGUCACAGUUUCACAGACGGUCUAAGAAUUCUACAAAUAAAGGCCCAAAGAAUUAAAUACAACGUUGUCUAUGGAAUUACAUGUAAGAAAUAGGAAAGUAGAUAAAAGGAGACGCCAGGUCCUGCGAGCGCCUGCAGGCCACCUCGGUUCGCCUGAUGAACAAGAUCCAACAAUCUCGUUGCAGUCCAAAAUCCACAACACUGGGUCUGCACAAAAGAAUGCAGAGUGCAGUAUCAGCACAACCGACCCCAUGUGCUGGUAAGUGUCUAGACUAACUUCGACAAAGUAGUGACGAGGCUAGGACCAUACUCCAGAUAAACCUGUGCAGCUAUAUAAUAUACGGCGAAAAAGUAAAAACAAGUAAGGAACAAUUAAAGCUAGGGAAUUGAAGCAUGCUACGGGGAUAACAGAUAAUACAGAAAUUUCAAGAGAAUUAUAAGGAACAUCAAUAAUUUAUCUCUAACACGGAUGAGGAAAAUAAAAGCAGACUUUGCUGCCUGUACACAUCUCGUUGCAUGCGUGCAACCUGAUCCCGUUUCUCAUAUUUAUGUGGUAGGCGUACCACUUGCUCCCAUCUCAUCAAACCUCAUGGUAGUCAUAUCACCCACUCCCAUUUUAUUAUAUCAAUAGUUCUUCCAAAUAAAAUUUACUCUAAUAACACAAUAAUUAAUACGAAUUCAUAAGAUAACAAGUACACAACAAUUAUAAUUCACUAAGGAAAACAAAUAAUGACAAGUAGCAAUUAAUUAUGGGCUUUACGGAGCAAUUAGAAAGAAUUAGUAUUUAAUGUGUCGAAUGUCAAGUAGCAAUUAAAUCACAUAAUCAUGUAGCAAUUAUGGCAUAAAUUAAUGACAUGACAUUACACAAGGAUACCUUGAUUCAAUAAUAACAAGCAACAGAAUAAAGGGAGAUGUCAAUACAAAGAAUCACAGGCAUAAUGGAAUUAGACAAUUAAAUGCACUUGAACUGACAACAAUAAGAAAUCAUAACAAACGAAAAUAGGUGGACGGCAUCACCCUUCGUGCUUUACUCUCAUCCUCACAAAAUAAUGAUAUAAUAAAAUAUGCAUGGCAUCACCCUUCGUGUAUAAACGCUCAUAUCAUGACACAGAAUGUUCCUUCGUACAUUAGUAUUCAUAUCUUGGCACGGAAUGUUCCUUCAUGCAUUAGUAUUAGUAUCGUGGCACGGAAUGUUCCUUCGUCAUUAGUAUUCAUAUUAUAGCACGGAAUGUUCCUUCGUGCAUUAGUAUUCAUAUUAUGGCACGAAAUGUUCCUUCGUGCAUUACUAUUCAUAUUAUGGCACGGAAAGUUCCUUCGUGCAUUAGUAUUCGUAUUAUGGCACAGAAUGUUCCUUCGUCCAUUAGUAUUCAUAUCAUGGCACAGAAUAUUACUUCGUGCAUUAGUAUUCAUAUUAUGGCACGAAAUGUUCCUUCGUGAAUUAGUAAUCAUAUUAUGGCAUGGAAUGUUUCUUCGUGCAUUAGUAUUCAUAUCAUGGCACGGAAUGUUCCUUCGUGCAUUAGUAUUCAUAUUAUGGCACGGAAUGUUCCUUCGUGCAUUAGUAUUCAUAUUAUGGAACAGAAUGUUCCUUCGUGCAUUAGUAUUCAUAUCACAAACGUGCACGGCAUCACCCUUCGUGCUUUAUCACUCUUCCUCACCCAAACAACAAUCUUCCUUCGUGCAUCAGUAUACAUAUCAUGGCAUGGAAUAUUCCUUCGUGCAUUAUUAUGCAUAUUAUGGCACGAAAUGUUCCUUCGUGCAUUAGUAAUCAUAUUAUGGCAUGGAAUGUUUCUUCGUGCAUUAGUAUUCAUAUCAUGGAACGGAAUGUUCCUUCGUGCAUUAGUAUUCAGUAUUCAUAUCACAAACGUGCAGGGCAUCACCCUUCGUGCUUUAUCACUCUUCCUCACCCAACAACAAUCACAACAAUGGGGCAAAGGAAUAGACAAACAAAUAUAGGAAUCCCGGCAAAGGAACAAUGUCAACAAUCAAACAGCAAAACAUCCCGGCAAGGGAAUAACCAUUAACUCAUUAGCUUUCUCUCAUUUCUUACCACAUGUCUCGCUUUAUCUCUUGAGCCAAGGCUCCAAGGAAUUCAUAAUCCUAUAUGCAUUCUCAAUUCGUAUCAAAACCGAGCCAAUGCUCCAUGAAGUCAAGUGAUCAUAAUGUCUUUCACAUGUUCUUUACAAUAUAUAGAAAUCCUCAAUUUAACAUGGAAUUCAGUACUAAAUCAUGAUAAUCACAUUUCAAGGACUCAAGGUCAAGCUAGACACCAAUGUAUAGAUACUCGUCAACAUGCCUAUACACCCUAGACAUUUCAAGGACUCACGGUCAUGCUAGACACCAAUGUAUAGAUACACGUCACCAUGCCUAUACACCGUACUCGACAAUUAGCAAGUAACAAACAAGACUCAACUCUAUUCCCUCAAGCUAAGGUUAGACCGAACACUUACCUCGAUGUCUUGAACUCAUUCAAGCCUCAAUUACAGCUUUACCCCUCGCUUCCUCCACCAAUCCGCUCGAAUCUAGUCACAAUUUACUUAUAUACAUCAACAUAUGCUAAGUGAAAUAAUUUGAAUGCAUAAAAAUGGGUUUCCAAAAGUUUUGCCCAAAAAUUCCAAAAAUACCCCCUAGCCCGCAUGGUCAAAACCCGAGGUUCGAACAAAAACUCGUAUACCCAUUCUCUCAUGAACUCAAAUAUAUGAUUUAUUUUGAAAUCGGACCUCGAAUUGAGGUCUAAAACCCCCAAUUUUAGAAAACCUAGGUUCUACCCUAAAUUCUCAAAUUUACCCAUUAAAAUCUUUGAUUGAAGUUGAAAUCAUGUUAAAAGAUGUUAAGGAGUGAAGAAAAUAGUUUAUAAAUCACUUACCAAAAAUUUUGAAGAAGAAGAAUUGCUUGAAAAAUCGCCUCUUAUGUUUUGGGUUUUUGUAAAGUGAGAAAUAACUAAAUAUCCCAUGUAUUUAUACUCUCAGACGUGCCCAGUGCGGACAGCGCAAAAAGGACCGCGGCCGCACUGGUGGAAUGAAAACUUGCUGGCUCUUUGAAGUUUGCCACGUGGACCGCACAAAGACGAUCGCGGCCGCGAGGCUUCCACCGCGGCCCGCGCCAAAUGGACCGUGGCCGCACACGUUUUCAAGGCGCUAGAGGGUUCCGAGACCUGCAAUUUUCACCACUCUUUGAUUCUUCAUAUGCGGACCGCACAAAGACGACCGGGCCUCGCUAGAUAACCUGGGACCCUGCUAUUACUAAGUCAAAAACCUCCUGAAACCUACUCGAAACUCAUCCGAGCCCUUGGGGCUCCAAACCAAACAUACACACCACCUCAAAAAUAACCCACGGACUUACUCGUGCGAUCAAAUCGCCAAAAUAACAUCAUAUACAUAGAAUCAAGCUCCAAAGCUUAAGAUUUCUUGCAAUUCUUUCAUGAAACCCAAAUUUUCCAUCUUAAGUCUGAAAUACAUCCAAUGACGUUCGUUUUUAACCAAACUUUACAAAAAGUGCUUAAAUUACAUAUGAGACUUGUACCGAGCGUCUGAACCAAAAUACGAGCCCGAUACCACAGUCUUUUAAUCAAUCUCAUUUUCCAAUUUCUUUAGUAAAUGCUUAAAUCACAUGUGAGACUUUUAUCGGGCAUUAGAACCAAAAUACGAGCCCGAUACCAGUCUUUGGAUAAAUUUCAUUUUCCAAUUUCUUUAGUUAUUUUCACGAAAUAAUUUCACAUAAAAAUUCAUUUCUCGGACUUGGGGCCUCGGAAUUCGAUUUCGGGCAUACUCCAAAGUCCCAUAUUUUCCUAUGGACCUUCCGAGACCGUCAAAUCAUGGGUUCAUAUCCGCUUACCCAAAAUAUUGACCAGAGUCAACUUUAAUCAUAUUAAUAUCAAAAUUCAUUAUUUUUCACACAAAAUUCAUAUUUAAGCUUUUCGGUUACGUGCCACUCCGCGAGCAAGGAGUGCCACGCACGAGCGGAGCAAAAAGAAAGCAAGGGAAAUUCUUCUCUUUUUUGGGGAGAAAUCCUUUGAUUGCGUAUUGAAUAUAGAUCCAUGUCUUUCUUGUUCCACUAGCUAAGACCAAAUUCUCACAUGUCCCUUUCGUUAGGUUUCCAAGGCCUUGGAGACACGAAAUGAGUAAAAAAACAGGUGAUGACUCUUUGGAUCGUCACAGCUACAAACUUGUAAUAUUUUGACUAAUAUGUAAGAGAACCAAAUUGAUGAAAGGUGUGUUUGAAAUUAUAAAUUAAGACAAAUUUCUUCCAAAAAGUUUAUAUUUAAAAAGAGUUGGAAAUCGUUGAAUUCACUUGAUAUAUCAUUACAAUAAAAUCUCAGUUCAUACAUAUUUCUCUAAAGAAUAAUUGCUUAUUGCUAAUACAAUUAUAUUAUUACACUAAGAAAUAAAUAAAUAAUUAACACUCCGUGAGGUUAUUUCAAUUAAUUGAUUUAAAACUAGUGAUGAUUAAACUUAAAUAUCUUACCUGAAUUGUGCUCAAGCAUAAUAAAAAUUUUGUGAGAAUUUUUUUACUAGAAAAUUGAUAUUCUUGCCUUCAACAAUUUCUCCGUAAGAAUUAAAACUGAGAAUGCAAGAUUACAUACUUGAAACAAUAAUCUUACUAAAAAUUACUUUGACUCUAAUAUAAUGUGUUCAAGUAUAGUAACUUCGUGAGAAUAUUUUUACUAGAAAAUAAAUAAUAUUACCUUCAACAAUUCCUUUGUGAGAAAUAAAAAUGAGGAAAGCAAGAUUACAAACUUGAAAUAAUAAUCUUACUAAAAAUUACUUUCACCCUAAUUUUCUAUUCAUCAGUUUAUAUAUUAAUUUUGCUCCGUGAGAGUUACAAACUUAAUAUAAGAAUAACUUAGAUAUAAAAUAUGUAGAUGUGAUAAUAAUGAUUAAAAACUUACAAUUACAUCACAAUAUAAAAUGUAAAUACAGUUUCAGGCCAAGAAUGUAUUGAAGAGAUAGUAUUAUAAUUAUAUCAAGAUUUCUCAACUAUUUCAACGAAAAGAAAUUACUCCAUUAUGAAGUAAAAAAGGCUAAAAAUACUUUCAAAAGACUAAGAAUAAUUUCAAUACAAAGAGAGCUAGAGAAAAAGACCAAAAUUACUCUUCUCUUUCUCUUUAGAACAUAAAAAAAAAAAACUAGAUAGAAAAGUGGAUACAAAGUGGGAUGAUAUUCUUCUACAAAUAUAUGCCUAUUUAUAGGAAAUUUUCUCCAAGACCUUAGUGAGAAUUUGUAAUAUAAUAUCAAUAUAUCCUAUAGCGUUGAUGAGAAAUUGACAUGACAAUUUGUCAUGAAAUUUUGGUGAGAUUUUUUCAUAAUUUUUAUAUCUUUUGACUUUAUGUAGUCUUAGAUGAAGUUGUCACGGAUGCAUCCUUCUUCCUAGAACCGUAGGUUCUUUCUUUUUCUCUUUUUCCAUGUAUUCUUUUUCCUGCAAGAAUUAUUUAGAAAAAUGUGAGAAUAGGAUAUAAAUUAGUCAUGUUAUAUAUCUAAAAUAUUAUAUUUUUAUAUUAAAAUAUAUAAAGAAUGUAUAUUCAUCACGGAUAGCACACACAUAGGAUACGACUUGGAAUUGAAUUAAAACGCCUUUAGGUAAACAAUUUUAACAUAGUAAUCGGAUAUCAGGAGAUGCUACUCAGUGCCCGCUGAAUAAUAUGAACAAUUCCUACUCUAAGAGAAUUGUGAAGUAUUAUUUAUGUUGCACGAUGUAAUCCUUUAGGCUAAAAAACGUAGGACCCCUCCCCUUUUUUGUAUACUUGUCAUUUAAUCUAGUAAUUUGACAUAGACCAAUGUAUUUGUACCCUUGUAAUCAUUAAGAUUUGUACCAAUUCCCAUUGUGUCAUGAUGAGACUCUUCGCCUCUAUUUCCUUUCUUUAUUUGAUUACCUAGCUUAAUUACAUAAUUCGCUUAGUUUUGAAGUUUACUUUGGAUCCAAAUGAAGAGUGUUUAACACCUUCUUUUUGAGGUAAUUUGAGCCUUGAUUCGAUCUUUGGUGGCGUUGACUAGUGAAACAGAGUUAUUUGCAAAUAGGUUCCCUAAUGCACCUUAAUCAUUAGAUGACGACUCUUCUAUUUUAAUACCUCCUUUAAAAGAGUUGUCAUACCUCGAAACCCAUUUUCGCGAGAAAACAGGACGAGAUAGCGAGUAAGAGAAUAAAUCUACAAAACAAGUUACAAUUACCAAGUUUUUCAUCAAUCUUGAAAGAAUAAAUAUUUUAGGUAGUUUUAAAAUAUCCGACUUAGAGUUUAAAUCUUUAUACGUUUAGUUAUGAAUUUAUUAAUAAUGUAUUAGUUUUAUUUCAAUAUUUAGCUAGUGAAAUAUGUAUAUUUUUUGAGAUUUUAAAUUUGAAUAACUUUUAUAUGUGCCAUUAAAAAAUAAAAUAAUUUUUAAUAAUUUCUAUUUAUAGCAACUAAAAUAUAUUUAAAUAUUAAAUGAUAUUAUAGGUGUAUAACAACCGAACGAAAUUAUUAUAGAAAAAAACUAUUAAAAAAUUUGUUUAUGUAGCACUCCCUUCUUAAAUAUAGUUACCAGGCGGCACAAUUCGAAAUUAGCGGUGAUUAUUAUAAAACAAUAAAAGAAGAAGAGCAAUAUUGCAGAGAAAGAGAGAGAAAAUUUUUAUUGAAUUUUGGGGUCAUUUACAAUGGGAUAAGACCCCUCUAUUUUUAGGAGGAAAAAUGACUUAGCCUCAAAGUAAAACUCUCUACAAGAUAGACAUUCACUCUAAAUAGAAUUCUAUUCUUAAAGUCUCAAUAGUUUUAUUAAGCAUAACAAGGCUUUAAACAGCCAGUAGGAACAUAAUCCGUAGAAAAUCUGCAUAACAAAAAUUUAAAAAAAACUAAAAUAUCUCAACAAACCUAAAAAAUCUAACUGAAAUUUGAAUUAAAAAAGAUAGUUUAUCCUAAAACUAAGUUACUUAUUAUGCUAAAAAAGUUACUGAAAGCAACAGCACAUGUUCAGAAAUGCACAUAUUGGUUGCCUCGUUAAAAACCUUGCAAGGAAAACCCAGUGGGACAAAAUCUCGUAAGGGAAAAAGAGUGCAACGCGCGUUAACUCCCCCUGAAGAGAGCAUCAAUUCACAUCCAUGAGCCUUCACAUUCCAAUCUUGUGCACCAUCUUCAAGAGAUCCUUGGUAGAGAAUUGAUAAAUAAAUCAGCCAUAUUAACUUGAAUGAAUAUUUGCACCUCGAAAUCAUCACUCGUGAUAGAUAUAUAACGUUUUCACAAAUAUCGUGGAAUGGCUCUUCAAUAUUUUCAUAUAGGUAUCAUCGCUAUCACAUUAUCAUGCUUAUAGUUAUAGCAAGAUACAUUUGUACACAAAUUGCACUGAGNNNNNNNNNNNNNNNNNNNNNNNNNNNNNNNNNNNNNNNNNNNNNNNNNNNNNNNNNNNNNNNNNNNNNNNNNNNNNNNNNNNNNNNNNNNNNNNNNNNNNNNNNNNNNNNNNNNNNNNNNNNNNNNNNNNNNNNNNNNNNNNNNNNNNNNNNNNNNNNNNNNNNNNNNNNNNNNNNNNNNNNNNNNNNNNNNNNNNNNNNNNNNNNNNNNNNNNNNNNNNNNNNNNNNNNNNNNNNNNNNNNNNNNNNNNNNNNNNNNNNNNNNNNNNNNNNNNNNNNNNNNNNNNNNNNNNNNNNNNNNNNNNNNNNNNNNNNNNNNNNNNNNNNNNNNNNNNNNNNNNNNNNNNNNNNNNNNNNNNNNNNNNNNNNNNNNNNNNNNNNNNNNNNNNNNNNNNNNNNNNNNNNNNNNNNNNNNNNNNNNNNNNNNNNNNNNNNNNNNNNNNNNNNNNNNNNNNNNNNNNNNNNNNNNNNNNNNNNNNNNNNNNNNNNNNNNNNNNNNNNNNNNNNNNNNNNNNNNNNNNNNNNNNNNNNNNNNNNNNNNNNNNNNNNNNNNNNNNNNNNNNNNNNNNNNNNNNNNNNNNNNNNNNNNNNNNNNNNNNNNNNNNNNNNNNNNNNNNNNNNNNNNNNNNNNNNNNNNNNNNNNNNNNNNNNNNNNNNNNNNNNNNNNNNNNNNNNNNNNNNNNNNNNNNNNNNNNNNNNNNNNNNNNNNNNNNNNNNNNNNNNNNNNNNNNNNNNNNNNNNNNNNNNNNNNNNNNNNNNNNNNNNNNNNNNNNNNNNNNNNNNNNNNNNNNNNNNNNNNNNNNNNNNNNNNNNNNNNNNNNNNNNNUUCCUCAACUUUGGAAAUCCAUCUUUGUGCAUUAUGGUGUUAAUGAAAAUAUACACCGCACAUCAAUAAUAAUAAUAUGGAAUUAUUUGAUUCCUAACUUUGAACCACUUGUGAGGGGAGAAUAUAAUAUAUUAUCGUAUCUAACGUAUAUCAUAAUGAUAUAGAUAACUUUGUUCUCAUAAGAAAUAGUUUAGCUAUUAAGUGGAGGCACUCAAUAAGUUAUCUUGCUAAACCAACUAUGAUGUAAACCAACUUAUCAAGAUGAACUAUCUUGAAUAGAAAAGAUGGAAAUUGUGCUCUAAAUUGAAUUAUUGAGCAAGUCACCUCGCAAAACACCAUAUUGCGGGUUAAUAAUAAUCGCACAUGUAACCAUCUCAUAGAUGCANNNNNNNNNNNNNNNNNNNNNNNNNNNNNNNNNNNNNNNNNNNNNNNNNNNNNNNNNNNNNNNNNNNNNNNNNNNNNNNNNNNNNNNNNNNNNNNNNNNNNNNNNNNNNNNNNNNNNNNNNNNNNNNNNNNNNNNNNNNNNNNNNNNNNNNNNNNNNNNNNNNNNNNNNNNNNNNNNNNNNNNNNNNNNNNNNNNNNNNNNNNNNNNNNNNNNNNNNNNNNNNNNNNNNNNNNNNNNNNNNNNNNNNNNNNNNNNNNNNNNNNNNNNNNNNNNNNNNNNNNNNNNNNNNNNNNNNNNNNNNNNNNNNNNNNNNNNNNNNNNNNNNNNNNNNNNNNNNNNNNNNNNNNNNNNNNNNNNNNNNNNNNNNNNNNNNNNNNNNNNNNNNNNNNNNNNNNNNNNNNNNNNNNNNNNNNNNNNNNNNNNNNNNNNNNNNNNNNNNNNNNNNNNNNNNNNNNNNNNNNNNNNNNNNNNNNNNNNNNNNNNNNNNNNNNNNNNNNNNNNNNNNNNNNNNNNNNNNNNNNNNNNNNNNNNNNNNNNNNNNNNNNNNNNNNNNNNNNNNNNNNNNNNNNNNNNNNNNNNNNNNNNNNNNNNNNNNNNNNNNNNNNNNNNNNNNNNNNNNNNNNNNNNNNNNNNNNNNNNNNNNNNNNNNNNNNNNNNNNNNNNNNNNNNNNNNNNNNNNNNNNNNNNNNNNNNNNNNNNNNNNNNNNNNNNNNNNNNNNNNNNNNNNNNNNNNNNNNNNNNNNNNNNNNNNNNNNNNNNNNNNNNNNNNNNNNNNNNNNNNNNNNNNNNNNNNNNNNNNNNNNNNNNNNNNNNNNNNNNUCUAUUGCCACGUCCACAUCCAUUGAUACCUUCAUGGUAAUAAUUUUUGUCUUCUUUCAGACUUAUCACAUACUGCUAUCACAUUCUCUAAAUAGAAUGAGAAUGGAGCAAAUUCAAUGGGAUGAGUUUUCAAUUCUUUGCCCACAAUCAUACAUGAAUUUGAUCAUGACAAGACAUAUAAAAUUUACCACGUUGGGUGGUUAUAAUAUCUUUCAAGCUACCUUAAAAUUGCAAUCAAAAUUUACCGUCUAUGCUUGUAUUUAUAAUCAAAUUAUAGGAUUACAAGAAUUUGAAAGAGAAAAGUAAAAUACUUACCUUAAAUCCAGAAUUAAUCUUGAAGGAAGUUCAUAGAACGAUUAACAGUCAUUAUGAUCAAUCUCAAAGCUUCUACUCAAUUGAUUAGAGUCUCGUGUUGAUAACGUGUUAUAAAACAAUAAAAGAAGAAGAGCAAUAUUGCAGAGAAAGAGAGAGAAAAUUCUUAUUGAAUUUUAGGGACAUUUACAAUGGGGUAAGACCCCGCUAUUUAUACGAGGAAAAAUGACUUAACCUCAAAAUAAAACUCUUUACAAGAUAAAUAUUCACUCCAAAUAAAAUUCUAUUCUUAACUGUGAUAAAGAAUCUAGAAAUUUUCUACUAUUUGUCACCCAAAAAGUUUAAAAGAAUCCAAUUCCACAUCUCACGAGACUUAACUAAUUUGAAACUUCGAAUUGUCGGGCCUCUACCUACUAGCUUGUUUGGAUGGUCAUUACUUAUCGUAUCGUUUCAUAUUGUUACUUUAAAUAUAAUAUUUAUUUUAAUUGUUACUUAAAUUUUAUUAUAUCGUAUUGUUAAAUUCGUCAUUACGUAACGAUAAAAUAUGCCACUUUAUAUAACGAUUGAUUUAGUAUGAUCAUAUUAUUUCCUUAUAUUUGUUUCUCAAUCUCACCCUUUAUUAUUAUUUAUCUUAUUUUUUUACAUAUCCUAUCAUAAUUUUUGUUUAUAAUAUUACAAAUUUAUAACAGAUGUGUGAUACCACGAAACACGUCAAAACGACACAAUCCAAACAAGCUGUAAAAUAGCUGAUAUUUCCGACAAUCCUCGAGGCAUCCGCUAAAAGAAGAACAGAACAUCCAUAGCUUUCGCAUUUUAUUGUCAUUUCUAAAGGGCAGAGUCUUUUCUAGAUCUGCCCCUCUUUCUCGCUCUCUCCUGAUUCGUUGUUCAUCACUGUAAGAUCUCUCUUCUCCAAUUCAUUGAUUUUCAUCACACACACACAUCGUUCGGUUGCUAACAAUUGAUAUGAUAAAGUUUGUUUAUUUGUGUAUCUAUUUUGUUGAUCGAGAAGUUUAUGGAAUUUAAGAUCUGGAUUUAGGCCGUUUGGAUCUGGGGUUUUAAUAAGGUUUUCAUCUUUAUUUGAUAUUCAUGUGCAUUCUUCGUAUUUCUAUUGAUUUGAUCUGGUUAUGCUUUCUGUAUUAUGUCAAUUUUUGGAUGUGGAUUUUUGUUCUUUUUUGUUAAUGGAUCUGGAUUUUGGUUAGUUAUGUCAAUGUUCAAGGAUUUGUUCUUUUUUGUUAAUGGAUCUGGUUUUUGGUUAGUUAUGUCAAUGUUCAAGGAUCAGAUUUACAUACACGGGUCCUUGAUUCAAUUGAUUAUUAAACUUAUUGAUAUGGAUCUCUAGAUAAAUAAAGGAACAUUGAAAUUUAAGAUGAUUUAAAAAAAAGGAUCCAAAAGUUGCUUUUUUUAUCACCAUAUUAUAUUUGGGAUUUCUGUUGGCUUGAAAGAAAUUUAAGAUGAUUUUCUUAAACAAAAAAAGAGGAACCAGAAGUUGCUUAUUUGAUCACCAUAUUGUAAUUGAGAUUUUUGUUGGCUUGAAAUCUUAGCUCUGGUUCUCAUUUUCCAAUGCUUGUGCUUUUUUGAAACCUGUCGAUACAAUAAAAUCCAUUGGUGUAAGUUUGACGGUGAAUUUAGAUGUGUGGUGAUCUGAGUUUUUAUUUUUGGUCCAACAGGCAUUGAGAAAAGAUGGGUUUAUCAUUUGGGAAGCUUUUUAGUCGGCUGUUUGCCAAGAAGGAGAUGCGUAUUCUGAUGGUCGGUCUUGAUGCAGCUGGUAAAACCACCAUAUUGUACAAGCUCAAGCUGGGAGAGAUUGUUACCACUAUCCCUACCAUUGGUAAGUUAUGUUUUUGUACUAUAUGAAUGAUCUAUAAUUGUUGUAUUGCUUGUGCAUUCCUACCAUUGGUAAGUUAUGCUGUACAUACAAUAUGAAUGGUCCUUAAUUAUUUUAUUGCUUGUGGGACUGAUCUUGUGCUUUGAUAACUAUUUUAUUACACCCUCCAUUUCAAAUUAGAUGAGGUACUUUCCUUUUUAGUCUGUUCCAAAAUAAAUGACAUAUUUCUAAAUUGGAAACAAUUCAACUUUAAACUUAACUACCUCAUCUAAAUUGAAACGGAGGGAGUAACAUUGUCUUUCUGUUUUUCUUUUUUUGAGUAAUUGCUUUCUGCUAUUAGAGUUUUUUGAAGUACACCUGUAAAAUAUCAAUGUGAACAAAAAUGCAUUCUUAAAGUUUCCCGAGUAGGUUUCGUCCUUCCAUUAUACACCUUAAAAGGAUUAAUGGAAUACUCACAUACAUGACAUGUGGCAUCCCAAUUUCCAUUCCCAAAACAUUCAUUGCUCGACCAUCUUACUAUAGAGUUUCCUUGCAAUAUAACCUUCACUGAAGAGUAAAUGCUUCCAAAUAUUGGACGAUAGGGGUGUUCAAAAUCGAACCGAAACUGAAAACCGAACCGAAAUCGAAGCUUAAUGUCUUAUUGAUAUCGGGUUAACAGUUUAACGGACGGGGAAUGGAUUUUGAAAUUAUUUCAUUAACGGCUUAUCAAUUUGGGG
Molecule: long non-coding RNA, 89139 nt
Filed under: Nicotiana benthamiana
Lineage: Eukaryota; Viridiplantae; Streptophyta; Magnoliopsida; Solanales; Solanaceae
Description: long non-coding RNA (NBEN_LNC008897)
Source: RNAcentral